CGGAUGGGGAGAGUUAAAGAACAAGGGUGGAAGUGCUAAGGCAAAAAUCUUUGCUUCCUUUGAAGAUUUAGGAGAGGUGAGGAAUAUUUAGGUUUUGCAAGUGAUUUUGAAGGGUCUGGAAAACUGUUUUGUCCUAACUAACGUUCGUGCUAACUAAGGGAUUCCUACAGUCAGGAUGGCUCUCAUACCAGCUGUGUCAGGACCCUGACUUAUAAGUUGUGAUCACCGAAUGUACAUGCAUAGUGAUCCCACAGAUCAAUGCUCACUGAACACAUAGAAACUGAAUAAGAAGAGUCUUACAUCCAUUACGUACUGUUUAUGCAGAUAUGGCCUCCAUGACCAAGUCUUCAUAUAUAUUGAAGUGGAAAAUCUUCAUUAGUAACACGAACCCAUGCCAUCAGCCAUAACCCCGGAGGCAUUCUGACUGGUAAGCGUCCUAGCUCGCUCAAACAUCACCAAUACAUUCUUAACCAUAUCUUAUUCUCUCAUACCUGGUCAAUGAAAUAACCAGUGGCAAUCCAGUGAGUACUUUGAACAUACUCGCAAGCAACCCAUGUUGUGGAACAAGGCAAUAAUGAAGCAUGGUAUAACACUCGUAAGCAAUCUUUUGUGGGAAGCAGAUUUUUCCCGUGCGGGCAUGCAUCAUAAGGUAAGUGACAAUCAUGUAAACAUGUUACAUAUAUCAAUAUCAACUCAGGGUUGAACCUCCCAUGUUCACUCAUCAUGCCAAGUCGCUGACUUAGCUUAGCAUUCAUACCACCACCAAUCUCACGUAACCACCUUUAUCACACACACACACACACACACACUAGGUUUAUGCGAAAACUUCUGCACGUAGUUUAAGCAGCACCACCCAACAUUCCUUGAUAGUGGACACGACUAUUCGAAUAGUUUUACACUCAUCAGAGGUUGCACACUUUACCCACAAGACUCAAGAAACUUCCGUGUGAGGACAUGACUCGCGACAUUUCUCAUACCCGAGGUAAGUACCCGAACACCACCUUUCCCAUGACGAUACUAACAAAGAGACCACUCGUUGGUGACAAUCCCUCGUGAUGUACAUCACACGUGUAUUCCACGAGGGCACGCAACGGUGUGCCCGGUGUCUGUGAAAAGAGCCCAUCGUUGCCCUUUCUUGGCAUGACCCCGUCUCGAGAGUGACCACGUCACUCCCGCCACUAGUAAUGCAGGCUCUCUACACCGACCAUAGUAAUCAACAAAGCCCCGUCGCAUAAGGGGCAUUGUGGUGGUACAUGUAAGGUUGGGACGGUCAUCAAAUCUUAAAUCUGUUGCGUUUUUUUGAAACUACUCACACAACUGGCCUCGGUAUACCACUCCCUUAUGAAGUGGUUACCUAGCUCAACACAUCACUCUAGGUGUGACGCCCAAGAUGCGGUCCUAUCCUUAGUUUGGCGCGAGGGCUUCACGAGGGAUAGAAACGCAUCUCGUCGUUUUGCAAGAAUGGAUAUUGUUACAAGUACAUGUAGUGAAAAGAUGAGUAUAAGGAGUUGGCUUACACUCGCCACAAGCUACAUCAGAGUCACAUCAAUACAACAAUAUAUAGUCAUCAUGAAGACGAGCAGGGUCCGACUACCGACGAAAAACAAACGAUAAAAAAAUGACGUCCAUCCUUGCUAUCCCAGGCUGCCGACCUGGAACCCAUCCUAAAUCGAUGAUGAUGAAGAAGGAGAAACUCCAAAUAGCACAAUCAACGUGCUCACGUAAAAGUAACUCUUUACCUGUACGUGCAACUAGUGUUGUAGUAAUCUGUAAGCCAUAAGGGACUCAACAAACUCAUUUCCAAAGGUAUCAAGACUAGCAAAGCUUAACGGGUGAGAUAUGGUUAAGUGGUGAGGCUGCAACAAGCGACUAAGCAUUUAUUUGAGGUGGCUAACCUACGAGUACAAGAAUACAAGAGGGGGAAGAUCUACGCAUAGCGGAAGUGAACUAAUAAUGAUCAACUGAAUGACCCCGAACACCUAUUUAUGGCAGACAUAACCCAACCAUGUCCUCGAUCAGAGAAGGACCUCACGAAAGAGACAGUCAUGGUUACGCACUCAGUUGGUAAGUUUUAAUUAAGUUUACUUCAAGUUAUCUAGAACUAUAUGUUAAACAAAAUUUUCACGUUGCCACAUAACCACGGGCACGACUUUCCAAAAUAUUUAACCCUGCAGGGGUGCUCCAACUAGUCCAUCACAAACUACCACACGCUGCGCCGGAAUGACCUCGAUCAGGGAAAACCCGCGAUCUCCUCGGUUUCCUAUCGGAAAACCUCAACCUCGAGAUAACCUAAAGCAUCCUCAGAAUCCCUCGCACAAGACGCUCGAGAAAGGUAAAACAAGUCCAGCAAGGCCGCCCGGCGUGUCGACGAUCCCGAUAGGAGCCGCGUAUCUCGUUCUCAAGACACGACGGAUAAGCUAUGCCUACGGUGGCCUAAUAGAAAUCACCCAAGUUGCCCUGGGUUGGCCCCACACAGUGCUCUGUUUUGGACCAGCAACAUCAACAUUGGCCCUCCCUGUAUUAUGUUGAAUUACUCCUCAGGUUCAUGACGCCCUAUGUUACAGUAUUAUCGGGAUUAUUAUGUUGGGCAAAUAUACUACCAAUGUUGGGCAAGAUGAGUAUUAUCGGGAUUAUUAUGUUGGGCAAGAUGAGUUUUAUCCCAAAAAGAGAAUCUAGGGGUCCCCAUAAUAACCCCAAGCAUGUUAGGAGCGCUCAUUUAUGAAACAUAACACCGGUAGCCGAAACUAAGGCGACAAAAGUGGAACAAAACACCAGGCUAUAAAGCCAAGCCUUCCACCUUUUACCAAGUAUAUAGGUGCAUUGCAUCAAUUAGCAAUAAAAUAGUGAUAUAACAAGGAACCCAUGUUUUCACAUGGAAGCAACUGCACCUGCAACUAGCAACGCUAUCCAAUGGUUAAGCAAGCGGUAACACAGCCAAACAGUGGUUUGCUGGGUAGUGGAAAGGUUAGAGGUUUUCAUGGCAAUGUUGAGAGGUUGAUAUUUAACAGGUGGUAGGCAGCGAGACAUAGCAGAAGAACGAGACAACUAGCACGACAGUGGUAAUAAUGGUAUCUAGGGAAAUGAUCCUCUCCCNNNNNNNNNNNNNNNNNNNNNNNNNNNNNNNNNNNNNNNNNNNNNNNNNNNNNNNNNNNNNNNNNNNNNNNNNNNNNNNNNNNNNNNNNNNNNNNNNNNNGUCGUGUCCUGAGAACGAGGUACGCGACUCCUAUCGGGAUCGUCGACACGUCGGGUGGCCUUGCUGGAUUAGUUUUACCUUUGACGGAAUAUCUUAUGCAUCGGGAUUCCGGUGAUGCUUUUGGUAAUCUCAGAGUUGAGGUUUUCCAUUAGGGAAUCCGACGAGAUCGCGAGCUUCGUGAUUGAGGAUUUCUAUGCGGCUUGUGGUAAUUUGUGAUGGACUAGUUGGAGCACCCCUGCAGGGUUAAAUCUUUCGGAAAGCCAUGCCCGCGGUUAUGUGGCAACGUGAAAGCUUUGUUUAACACUGGUUCUAGAUAACUUGAAGUUAACUUAAUUAAAACUUGCCAACUAUGUGCGUAACCGUGACUCUCUCUUUCGUGAGUUCCUUCUCCGAUCGAGGACACGGUGGGGUUAUGCCUGACGUAGGUAGGUGUUCAAGAUCAUUCAUUUGAUCAUUCGUAGUUCACGUCCGUUAUGCGUAGAUCUUCCCCCUCUUGUUUCUUGUACUCGUAAGUUAGCCACCAAAUAUAUGCUUAGCCGCUGCUGCAACCUCACCACUUAACCAUGCCUCACCCAUUAAGCUUUGCUAGUCUUGAUACCUUUGGAAAUGAGAUUGCUGAGUCCCCUGUGGCUCACAGAUUACUACAACACCAGUUGCAGGUACAUGUAAAGGUUGCUUGACGCGAGCGCGUUGAUUGUUCAUUUGGAGCUGCUUCUUCUUCUUAUUUUUCUUCUUCUUCAUCGAUCUAGGAUGGAUUCCAGGCCGGCAGCCUGGGAUAGCAAGGAUGGACGUCGUUCUUAUUUUUCUCAUUUGUUUUCGUCCGUAGUCGGACCCUGCUCUUACUCUUGAUAUUUAUGUAAUGUACUGAUGUGACUCUGAUGUAGCUUGUGGCGAGUGUAAGCCAACUCUCUUUAUAUAUCUCUUCUUUUCAGUACAUGUACUUGUAACGAUAUCCAUUCUUGCGACACGACGAGAUGCGCUUCUAUCCCUGACGAGGCCCUCAUGCCAAAUUGAGGAUAGGGUCGCAUCUUGGGCGUGACAAGUUGGUAUCAGAGCAAGGACCGACCUAGGAGCCCCCUUGAUUGAUCGAACUUGGCCGAGUCGAGUCUAGUGAAAAACUGCUUUGAGCCUAGUUAUAUAUCGGAGAGUAGGAUUCUUUUUUCUCCUCUUCUAUGCUCUGGUGAGGAAUCUUGACGUAAUAAUUUAUUCUGCUCCUCUUCUCACUCAAAUUUUUUUUAGGAUCACGCGGAUAUUUCUGGAAUCUAUAUGAUGCUGAUGUGACGGAGUUCUGUCUUGGUGCCUCCUGUCUGACUUGAUUUUCUUCCGGGGAGUUGAGCUCCAGGGGAUCCUUGAGCACAUCGUUAUCAUUUAGAUUUGUUAGUAUCUCAGAACGAAGGAUGUUUGUAAUUGCUUCAAUACUAGUAGUGGCGAGAUAACCCCGAUGUCCCCAGUACUGGUGCAGAUUGUUCGGGAGUACUGCCAUACUUUGUAUCGUUGUGGUUACGAGGGUCUGUUGUAGAUGAAGGUCCGAGAUUCUGGUUGUGUGUUGACGGAUGUGAUACAGGUGACGGGUUAGUAUAGGAGUUGUGUGACUAUUACUCCUUGUAUCCGUGUACCAGAUUGCAUGACCAGAUAUUUCGGGAAUUCAUAGGUGGGAACUCAAGUAGUUACUUAUAGGACAUUCUUCCAACAAAUGCAUGAUGUUAGGUUGGGGUUCGACAUCUAGUGGAUUCGUUUGUUCACGGCCGACUUACAGCGGUACACGUUGUGUCUUAAAGAGUCCUUGUAGCUUGCUACGACUCGGGGACGCUUCGUAUGUCGGGUGCACUGCCUUGCACUUGAUGGCUACUGUAAGGAUCGAGCCCGUGCGAUCCUGUCCAUGAAAAUAUCGGACGAAAUCUUUCUCAUGAGUUUGUUCUGGCUAAUUGCAAGCCGCAUCCUUGUUUUUGUUGAAUAUGGUAAUUCAAGUUGCUUCGAUGUCAAGUGGUGAUUUCAGAUCUUUCCUAAUCUGUGUUCUCACAUUUUUAUGGGAAUGCAAAUUCUUUGCUCAAUCAGAUCGUCGUAUCAAUUCCAUUUAACCGGUGUGUUUCUCUCCAAGUGGAUUCAAUCCUCGCUAUUUUUUUUGCAAGAUCAGUCUCUCUUUUAUGCCGGAGUUCAUCUCAUCUGUUCCAAGUCGUCUUUGUUUUUCCCCGCCCUCCCACCCUUUUUCUCAGUGAUUCAAUUUUCAUUAAGAGUUUUCUUUUCAUGGUGCUUCCGCUGUCUGUUCUUUCUCUCUUACCCGGUGAAUUUAAUUCAGUUGUCCGUGUUCAUCAUAUCCUUUUCAUCCUUGUAAUUCUUUCCUAUGUUGGAAAUUUUUAUCAGUCUAUCUUGUUUAUUCAGUUAUCUCUAUUCUAUCCGGUGUGUUGAAGACAUCUCAGAGUUUCUUGUUUCAGAUCUUUCAUUAUUUCGAGGUUCUAACCUCAUCUAGUUCUCUUCAUACCGGUGCAAUAUCAAUCUUUCCAGAAUCUUUCUAACGGUGGUUUCUUUGAGUGGGCCCAUAACCCACAGGUUUUUCCAGGAUCUUGUCUAGCUCUUGUAAUCUUUCCCGGAGAUCUCUAAUUCUUUCAACUAUGACGUACGUAUGAAUUUCAUCAGUCAUAUCCCCUCGUCAAGAUCUAUUGGAAUUAAUUCUCAUAUUGGCUCAACCUUGCAUUUUUCUUUAUUCCGGAGUGUCUCAGUAUUCUUGGUGAUGUUCUUCUCGUCAUUCUCUCCUUUGAAGAUUCGAAGGAGUGUUUCUCUCAGUCUUGUUCCAUUUUUGUGAAGAUUGUCAUCUCAGCUUCGUGUUAUCCUCUCAUUUGUUCCAAUCAUGAGUAAUCCAUUUCUCGCUAUCCGGUGCUUCUCUGAGUUGUUUUUAUUCUCGAUCCUCCGAAGGACAUCACUCGAGAAGAUUCUUCGUUCUCAUCUUUCAGCUUUCAUCCUCGAUUCUUCUCAACUGUUGUCUCUUCGUUUGUCUCUCGAUUAUUCCGGUGCUUUGUUCAAAGUUUUCUCUCAGGCGGCUAUUGAUCUCUUCAUUCUCAUAUAUCUCCAUUCAUGCAUGAUUGCCUCAUUUGUCCCAAUUCUUGCCGGUGGUUGUUUCAAGACUUCUUAAGUUUGGCUUUAUCUAUCUCUCUGUAAUCUUUUCAAGAGGAAUAAGUUGUAUGCUAAAUCCGUUGCUUGUCAUCAAUUUAAUUUGAUGAAGGAUGAGCUUAAUAUAAUUCUUAUUCUUGUUCUUCCUUCUUCCAAGAGAUUUCAAUUCUUCUUCCGGAGUGGCGCAUGAUAUCAAUUCUUUUCUCAAGUGCUUAUCUUUCUUUUCCGGAGUUCUAAGUUUUCUCAAGUAUCUCUUUGUGAGGCUUCAUCUAAAUCUUGGUAAGGUCAUAAUCUUAUUCUUUUCUACCUUGUUAUCUUUGCAUCGUUCAUUUGUAUACGGAGGUCCUUCUUGGUGGUGCAUCAAGGUUUUAAUCCUUUAUCAAAUGUUCUUCAAGAUUCUUGUUGGAGAACCUUAAGUAUCAUUUCUCUUGCAUUUAUAUGUGCAAUUGUUCUUACUUUAUCCUUUGACGUGGUAUUAUAACAUUCUUGUUAGUGUAGGAGUCUCGAAGGGAAUUUAUUUCAAGAAUGAGAUAAUUAAACCCACCAAAUUCUUUGAUCAUGAGAUAUUUUAACCCAUGAUUUCUUCAUUGAGCUAUCUUGGUUUGGAUUUCACCUAAAGCCUUUCCUAUGGAUUGUUGCUAUCAUGGUGCUUGUCAUUAAUCCAAGUUCUCGUUGUAUCCUCUUGGUGUAAGAUUUGUUCAUAUCUUGUUUCUCCCAAUCAAUCCUUGUUUCUUUUAGUGGUUGGUUGUCACCUCAUAUUUGUUGAGAUGAUUUUCAUAAGCCCACUACUAUCUUGUUCUUUUCGUUGUUGGUUUUCCAACUACUCCGUCUAUUCUUCUAUCCAGAGGCUCUUCAAUUCUAUUGUGAUGAUAGUUGUCAUUCCUUUCUUCAUUCUCUUCUUCCGCUUGAGCUAGUUCCUAUUCUAUUGUUCCGGAGGCUUUGUGUUAUUGCUCUUUUGGGUCAAUCUUGUUGUUCUACCAAGAUCAUGGUGUUCCCUUGCUCUAUUUAGUUGUUUGUUAUGAAUAUUGUCUAUUUCUCUCUUCUUAUCGAAUUUUUGUCCCACUUUCCUACCGAAGUGUUGCCGAAAUUUUCCGUGAAUUCUUGCUUGUUUCUCAUAUCAUUCCUCAGCUCCUUGCAACCUUCAAGGAUCGUUGGUUUCACUCGUUUGUCAAGAAGCGACUAAGUUUUACCUUUUGCUUUUCUCAUCCUCUCCCCCUUUCAUUCUUGGAUCUCGGGGCGAGAUCUUCUUGUAGUGUAGGAGAGUUGUGACAGCCCGAUGCCGACGCCCCAGAAGAUCCCCCUUUCUUUCCGUUUCCGUCGUGUGGUUAUUUUUUUCGUUUGUUGCAUCGUCAUUUAGUUUGCAUCAUCGCAUCAUGCAUGGCAUCACGUCAUCGGUGUUUUGUCGGUGUUGCUUGUUGCCUGUUGUUGGGUGUUAGAGNNNNNNNNNNNNNNNNNNNNNNNNNNNNNNNNNNNNNNNNNNNNNNNNNNNNNNNNNNNNNNNNUGUGACGCCCUCGGCUUAAUCGUACGCUAAUCAUACACGCAAAUGCGUACGAUCAAACCCAAGGACUCACGGGGAGAUAUCACAACACAACUCUAGACACAAAUAAAAUAACAUCAGCUCCAUAUUACAAGCCAGGGGCCUCGAGGGCUAGAAUACGAAAGCUCGAUAAGCACACGAGUCAGCGGAAGCAACAAAUAUCUGAGUACAGACAUAAAACAACAUGGGGGUGCCUUAGAGAAGGCUAGCACAAAAGAUACAACGAUCGAACGAGGCGAGGCCUCCUGCCUGGGAACCUCCUAACUACUCCUGAUCAUCAGCGGCCUCCACGUAGUAGUAGGCACCGUCGGGGUAGCAGUCGUCGGUGGCGGGGACCUCCAUCUCCUGGGCUUCAUCAUCUGGUCGCAGCAACCGGACCAAGGGAACAAGGGGGGAGCAAAGCAGCGGUGAGUACUCAUCCAAAGUACUCGCAAGUCUUACAUCAGAACUAUUCUAAUAAUGCAUCAGUAUCAAAGAAGGGGGUUAUAUGUGGACUGACUGCAGCAAUGCGAGAAAAGAGAGAGAAUGCCUAGUCCUAUCGAAGACUAGCAUCUUCAGGGUCUUGCAGCAAUAGACGAGAGUAGAACAGGGGGGUAACACAUUAAUAGUCAUAUUGUUGCAGCAAUAUUAAAGUGAGGUCACGCCUGAAGAUCCUCCCUCGACUCCCUGCGAGGAAGCAAUCCCGAGGCAAACUAAUUCCAGUUAAGUAACAAUUGUAGUUGUAUAAGAUCGGGGCACAACUCCAAGUCGUCCUGUAACCGUGGACACGGCUAUCCGAAUAGUUAAUUUUCAUCCCUGCAGGGGUGCACCACAUGUCCCGUCACGCUCGAUAACACUCUGGCCGGACAUACUUUUCUGGGUCCUGCCCGGCCUCGGAAUAUCGACACGUCGCAGCCCCACCUAAGACUAAUCAGAGAGGCCAGCCCGCCGGUCUAAAUCCUAAGCACAAAGGGUUCAUGGGCCCAGUUCCCCUUCACGCUCCUGCACGUGGCGUGGGCGGCCGACGUCAGUCCUAGCAUCCCUUAAUCACAAGCGCGAUGCAUCUCGGGACCACUCGGGUGCGCGCCGCUACACUGCUGGCAUCUGAAAAGCUUCGGCUGAUACCGCGACGUCGAGUACCCAUAAUUCUUCCCGCGUAGCCGGUUAGUGCGAAAAGGUCUCCGACCAACCCAGAUCAAAUACCCAAAUCCAUUAGCAUUUUAAUUAGGCCAACAACACAGUCUCGCGGGAAUCCACCCGUCUUACAACUAAUCACCAAUGAUCCCAGUAACAUGGUCGAGUAACUGUGUGGUUGUAACAUCGGGGGAAUCCGAGGUAUCACCCUCGUUGGAUUCCGAACGACGUACCCGGCAAGGUGGGCUUAGAGGAAUCACCCUCGGGGGUCCCACACUCGCGGGGUGGCACGACAGAGACGUCAUCGGGAAUGGUGAAAGAGGAAUCACCCUCGAUAACCACGACCGACUAGCUAUACUACAGAGAUAUCAUCAGGAGUACUUAGCGAGGUGUCACCCUCGGUACCCGAUAGUAUCCCUGUAGCGUCGUACAACGAAGGGGGGUGGACGUGCUGUGUCGGGUCUGGCUCGUCGAUCAGAGAUCGAGAUUUGGAAACAAGCGGGGCAACUGAUCUACGGGGUCAGAGGGGAUGACUGCUCCACCUAUACUAAGCAUAUUAAAGGUACAUGACUGAAAGUAGCAGUUCAUCAAAAAACAGGCUAUGCAUCAGAUAUAGGAGCUAACUACAACAGUAGCAAAAUACUAAUGCAAGCAGUAGGAAGAAAGACAUAGGCGAUAUAGGAAUGAUCAAGGGGAGUUUGCUUGCCUUGCUGCUCUGCGGCAAUGGACUGAUCAGCAGGGUCGUAGAUGUACCCGGCAGCAGCGUCAGUCUCGGGGUCUACCGGUAAGAAGAGGGGGAAGGAACAAUAAAUAAUAGCACCGAUGCAACACAAAGCAUGACAUGGAAAUAUGCAGGCUAGACAUGAGCUAACGGAGCAACAUCCGUCAUAGACGGGUCGGAAGAAUAUCUAACGAUAUUUUCCGGGUCUCGGGCUACUACCGGUUAUACUGGAAACGAUGGAAAAGUUCUAUGCUUGCUAUGCUAGGGACGCGUGACAGACGAACGGGCCGUGGAUCCGGGUUCGUCUCGCUUUGCUGAUCAACUUUCAUGUUGAAAAUAUUUUGAUCUGACUUACGGAUUAUUUAAUAUUAAUUUUUAAAGUUUUAUUAAUUAUUUAAGAAUUAAAAACAGAUUUAAAAGAUUUAGUAAAAUCCUAUUAUGACAUCAUCGCGAUGUCAGGCUGACAUCACAUUUGACCGGUCAACUGACCAGCGGGUCCCGAACGUCAUAGGCACAAGUUUUAUUUAAGAUUAAAUAUUUAUUAAUCAGAUUAAUUCAACGAGGGACCCACGUGUCAUACUCUAAUUAUGUUAAUUAAUUAUUUUAACUAAAUAUCUAUUUAUUUAUUUAUUUAAGAAAAACAUUAUUUUUAAUUAUCGCGCGGGGCCUCCCUGUCAUUGACAGCGGUGCAUUGGCCCCACCGGUAAGUGGCUUAAGGUUAUUUUCACAUUUAUUUUUAUUAGAUACCUAACCGUUCAAAUACCGUAUUCCUCUAAUUAUCCAAAUACACAAAUACAUACAUCACAUCUCAUACAUACAUACAUACAUACGCAUCUAAUACACCAUUUAUUCUUUUUCAUUUAUCUUUUCUCUCACAACACUCAUCUCUCUCUCUCUGUUAACAGAGACAGAGAAGUUCUUUUGCUACUCCACCUAGAAGAACACCAACUUCGAAUCCUUCUACCGGAGUCCACCGUCGACGGAACGAGGCCCCGUUUGCCGGAACGGAACCGUGACGUCGAGGAGAACGGUAAGGUGGGAGGAGCCCGAGGAGGGGCUCACCGACGGUGACGUGACGGCCCGGUGAAGCCGGAGUUCGCACGUAGUUGACGGUGGAGACGGACGUGGAGGCGGUGCCGGUGCCGACGAGGGGGAGCCGGUGAGGAGGGCCCCCCGGAGAUGGAGCCGCCGAUGGUGAGGGGCUCGGCCGGCGUGGUGAGGGGGCCGAGAGAGGCCGGCCGAGGUGGAGGCCGAGGGAGCCGGGGCCCCCUGCCGGCGGGGGUGGAGGCCGAGGUGGCCGGCGUGGUGGAGGGGGGGCCGCCGGGUUGGGUGCUAGGGUUUGGGGGUGGGGCGUGGGAGGUGGCCGGCUGGGCCCCUUUUGGCCCAGCUGGGCCGGCUGGGGGGGGGGCUUUCUCCUUUUUUUUUUNNNNNNNNNNNNNNNNNNNNNNNNNNNNNNNNNNNNNNNNNNNNNNNNNNNNNNNNNNNNNNNNNNNNNNNNNNNNNNNNNNNNNNNNNNNNNNNNNNNNNNNNNNNNNNNNNNNNNNNNNNNNNNNNNNNNNNNNNNNNNNNNNNNNNNNNNNNNNNNNNNNNNNNNNNNNNNNNNNNNNNNNNNNNNNNNNNNNNNNNNNNNNNNNNNNNNNNNNNNNNNNNNNNNNNNNNNNNNNNNNNNNNNNNNNNNNNNNNNNNNNNNNNNNNNNNNNNNNNNNNNNNNNNNNNNNNNNNNNNNNNNNNNNNNNNNNNNNNNNNNNNNNNNNNNNNNNNNNNNNNNNNNNNNNNNNNNNNNNNNNNNNNNNNNNNNNNNNNNNNNNNNNNNNNNNNNNNNNUUCUUUCUUUUAUCAUUACUAUUUCUUCAAUACUUUCCUCUUAUAUGUAUAUCCUUUUAAUACUUGUAAUGAACCGAUAAGGUGCUUCCCAUUGCUUUCAAAUCAUCGAUCCGGACAGACGCGAAACCACGCGGGUCUGAGAUGGGAAUUCGAUGACGUGGCAUCAUUAGCGGUGAUCACUGUAGCUUAAUUACAAUUACUACUGUAGCAAAANNNNNNNNNNNNNNNNNNNNNNNNNNNNNNNNNNNNNNNNNNNNNNNNNNNNNNNNNNNNNNNNNNNNNNNNNNNNNNNNNNNNNNNNNNNNNNNNNNNNNNNNNNNNNNNNNNNNNNNNNNNNNNNNNNNNNNNNNNNNNNNNNNNNNNNNNNNNNNNNNNNNNNNNNNNNNNNNNNNNNNNNNNNNNNNNNNNNNNNNNNNNNNNNNNNNNNNNNNNNNNNNNNNNNNNNNNNNNNNNNNNNNNNNNNNNNNNNNNNNNNNNNNNNNNNNNNNNNNNNNNNNNNNNNNNNNNNNNNNNNNNNNNNNNNNNNNNNNNNNNNNAUUACUACUGUAGCAAAAGUCGAGGAUGUCACAAUUCUCCCCUACUAACAAGAAUUCUCGUCCCGAGAAUUAAGAGGUAGAGGGAAAGAGCCCGGGGUAUUCAUCACGAAGAUGAUCCUCGCGUUCCCAAGUGGCUUCAUCUUCAGAGUGAUUUGACCACUGCACCUUAAGGAACUUAGUGACCUUGCGACGAGUCUUACGUUCAGCUUGGUCGAGAAUGCGGACCGGAUGCUCUUUAUAAGAGAGGUCUUGUUGUAGCUCAAGCAUAUCGUGAUCCACUGCUCGAAUAGGGUCCUUGAAGCAGCGACGGAGCUGAGAAACAUGGAAGACAUCGUGAACCUGAGAAAGGUUCGCCGGCAGUUCCAAUUGAUAAGCCACUCUUCCACGCCUUUCAAGAACAGUGAAAGGACCAAUAUAACGAGGAGCUAACUUGCCCUUGAUUCCGAAACGGUGUGCACCUCUCAUUGGUGUGACACGAAGAUAAGCCUUUUCGCCAGGUUGAUAGACCAUAUCUUGAUGAUGACGGUCAUACUGACUCUUCUGACGAGACUGAGCAGCCUUCAGAUUCUCAUGAAUAAUGCGGACUUGAUCUUCGGCAUGUUGAAUAAUAUCCGGACCGAAGAGUGAUCUUUCCCCAGUUUCUGACCAAUUCAGAGGAGUUCGACACCUUCGCCCAUACAAUACUUCGAAAGGGGCCAUCUUCAGGCUAGCUUGAUAGCUAUUGUUGUAAGAGAACUCGGCAUACGGGAGAGAUUCCUCCCAUUUUUACCGAAAGAAAUGACACAAGCUCGAAGCAUGUCUUCGAGAAUUUGGUUGACUCGUUCAACUUGUCCCUGGGAUUGAGGAUGAAAUGCAGUGCUGAAGGACAGAUGAGUCCCCAUAGCCUUCUGAAAACUUUCCCAGAAUUUUGAAGUAAACAAGCUGCCACGGUCCGAACUGAUCACCAACGGAAUACCGUGCAGUGAAACAACUCUUGACAUAUAAAGAUCUGCCAGCUGACUAGCAUUAAUCGUUUCUUUGACGGCCAGAAAAUGUGCAACUUUGGACAGUCGAUCAAUGACGACAAGAAUAGCAUCAUUACCUUUCUGAGACCUGGGAAAACCAGUGACGAAGUCCAUUUCAACGUGAUCCCAUUUCCACUCGGGAAUAGAGAUAGGUUGCAGAGUUCCAGCAGGCUUUUGGUGUUCUGCUUUGAUACGCCGGCAUAUAUCACAUUCUGCCACAUAGCGUGCAAUGUCUUGUUUCAUAUUGGGCCACCAGAAUCUUUGCCGGAUGUCUUGGUACAUCUUGGUACUACCCGGGUGAAUAGACAAUGGUGUGUCAUGAGCUUCUUCCAUCACCUUCCCAGUCAUCCUGAGAUUUUCCUUCUUAUUUGGGACGAAUAGGCGACCCUUGAAAUACAAGGCGCCACCUUCAUCAACAGUGAAAAAGGAGGGUUUACCCUUUGCAAUAUAGCUCUUAAUCCUGUCGACAUCAUCGUCAAAGUUCUGUAUAUUCUUUAUGGAGCUCACAAGAUCUGGUUCAACCACUAGGUUACUGAGGGAACCCUGAUUAACAACACGAAGGUUCAUCUUUUGAUACUCUUCAGGAGGCGGGACAAGGUAACCCUGAGGAACAAUGUGGAGGUUCAGCUUACGGAAUUCCUCUUGCAGACGAUCGUGAACCUGAUGAACCUGGAGGUGGUUGCAGUAUGACUUGCGACUUAAGGCAUCAGCCAUUACAUUAGCCUUGCCAGGGGUAUAUGAUAUACUACAGUCAAAAUCUGCUAUACGCUCCAUCCAUCUUUGUUGACGCAGGUUCAGCUCCGGUUGAGUGAACAAGUACUUCAAACUUUGAUGGUCGGUGUAGAUUUCACAGCGGUUACCGACAAGGUAUUGUCGCCAUUCCUUCAAUGCAUGAAUGACUGCGGCAAGCUCGAGAUCAUGAACUGGGUAGUUCUCUUCAUGAGCACGCAGUUGACGUGAAGCAUAAGCGAUCACCUUGCGAUCCUGCAUUAGGACACAACCUAUUCCUUGACGAGAAGCAUCACAGUAUAUGACGAAAUCCCUUUUCGUAUCUGGAGGAGCAAGUACUGGAGCGGACGUCAGCUUGUCCUUGAGUGCCUGGAAACUUUCCUGACAUUUAUCAGUCCAUUCAUACUUAACACCUUUGUGAAGAAGGUUGGUUAAGGGCUUCGCAAUCUUGGAGAAGUUCUCGACGAAUCGACGGCAAUAGCUGGCGAGUCCGAGAAAACUUCUGACUUGCUUGACAUUCUCCGGGGGAGUCCAAUCAAGAAUAGCUUGAAUUCGUUCGGGGUUGACCGCAAUACCAUCCUUGGAAAUCACAUGACCAAGGUAAGUCACUUCGUCUAGCCAGAACUCACAUUUGGAAUACUUCGCAUAGAGUUUAUGCUCCCGAAGCUUAUCCAGUACAAGACGAAGAUGUUCAACAUGCUCUUCUUUGUUCUUCGAAAACACCAGAAUAUCAUCCAGAUAUACCACGACAAAUUUGUCGAGGUAGUCCAUGAAUAUAUAAUUCAUCAGUCGAGAGAAGGUUGCCGGUGCAUUGGUUAAGCCGAAGGACAUGACGGUGUACUCGUAUGAUCCAUAUCGAGUAACAAAGGCGGUCUUUGGAAUAUCCUCCUUGCGAACACGGAUCUGGUGGUAUCCCAAUCUCAAGUCGAGCUUAGAGAAAACGGUGGAACCAGCAAGUUGAUCAUACAAAUCAUUUAUCCGAGGGAGAGGAUAUUUGUUUUGAAUAGUGGCCUGGUUGAUAGGACGAUAGUCUUGAACCAAUCGAUUUGUCCCAUCCUUCUUCUUAACAAAGAGAGAAGGUGCUCCCCAAGCAGAGGAACUCGGACGGAUGAAACCCAGACGGAGCGAGUUGUCAAUUUCUUGCUUAAGUUCAAGGAGUUCAUGUGGUGGCAUUUUAUAAGGACGCUUGGCAAUAGGAGUGGUACCGGGUACCAAGUCAAUGACAAACUCGACAGCUCGAGCAGGGGGAAUCCCCGGAAGUUCUUCUGGAAAGACAUCUUGAAAUUCUCGGACCACUGGAAUGUUUUCAAUCCCUUCAAGAGGCGACGCAUUUAAUGCAUUCAAGGCAUACAGCCGUGCCUCAGCAUUACGGACGAGAUGAGCAUGGUAGCUUACUAGUUCAUCUGAAGGGUGUAGGAGGUGGACGGUCUUGGUGGCACAAACGAUCGAUGCCGUAUGAGCUUUCAACCAGUCCAUCCCCAAUAUGAGAUCAAUGUUGGAUGACUUUAGUAGGAUGGGGUUGGCAAGGAAUUCUAAUCCUUCAAUUUCAACUGGAACAUGGGGGCAAACCACAGAGGUUCGACAUUCGCCCCCAGGGGUGUUUACCACUAUCGGGAUGUUCAUCUCUUCGCUCCUAAUGUCAUGCAUGUAUGCAAAAUUUUCCGACAUAAAGGAAUGCGAUGCUCCUGUAUCAAACAAUACAGAAGCAGGUACUGAGUUAACGAGAAGUGUACCCAUCACGGUAGCAGGCUGGUCUUGAGCUUGACCCAUAUCAAUGUUGUUGGCCUGACCACGAACAUAAGCAGGCUUAGUGUUGAAGUUGCGGUUCUGGUUGUUGCCACGGCCAGUUGCGGGAAGUGCCAGCUGAUUCUGAUUCUGCCUGCAGUCUCUAGCACGGUGACCUGGACGGCCACACUUGAAGCACAGCCCGUCCUCAGGACGGGAUGGAGGAACUCGAGGUGGUGGAGCUGGAAGCCUCGGCUGCCUAGGUGGUGGAGGAGGCAGGCGAGGUGCAGCAUAGGACGGCCUCGGAGUAGGAGCAGGUGCAUGGUACAUGUUGUUGGGAAUCCAGAUCUUCCGCUUCUGUGCAGAUGAGCCCGAAGAUGAGCCCAUGUCACGGUUGCGCUUGCUGCUAUCUUUGUAUUCCUACAGACCAGUCUCAACCUGAAUAGCCUUGUUCACGAGGGUGGCGAAAUCAGCAUAGUCCUGAACGAGGAGUGUCAGCUUGAUAUCAGGGUGGAGGCCUUCACGGAACUUCUCCUGCCUGCGUGCAUCAGUCGCAAUGUCUUCUUCAGCAUAGCGAGAUAAUUCCAGAAAUUCCCGCUGAUAAGCAUCCACAGUCUUGUUGCCCUGGACUAAGUUGCGGAACUCACGCUUCUUCCGGUCCAUGAUUCCCUGGGGAAUGUAUCGAGCACGGAAAGCAGCCUUGAACUCUUCCCAAGUGAUGAUAGCUCCAACGGGCUGAGAGCGCCUGUGGCUGUCCCACCAUUGAGCAGCGGGACCCUUCAGAAAGUAUGCGGCAAAGUUGACAUAGCUCGCCAGGGGCACAUUGGCAGACUCUAGCUCAUAAGAAAUGUCACGGAGCCAGUCAUCAGCAUCUAGAGGCUGAGUUGAGCUGCGGUAGAUCACAGGGUUGAGACGGCAGAAGUCUUGCAGUGUCACGCCUUGUGGUUGGUUCAUGUUCGGCCUUUGGAACUGAUCCAUGAGCCCUUGCAUAAACUGGCGGUUCAGCUCAAACUGUUGGAUCAUCCCCGCCAUAUACUCAGGAGGCGGGGGUGGUGCAUCGUUGGCACGGCCACGCGGGCGGCCAGCUGGUCUAACCAUCCUGUUAAAUAUUUAGCAGCGGUAGUUUAGCUUAAAGUAAUCGGAAGGCAUCGCACGCAUUCAUGAAGUAAUCAAGUAUAAUGAAAGGGAAAUGCGAUAGAUACUCCAUAGUAGUUGAGUUCGACAUACAGACCCAUACAUAAGUUCGAUUACAGACUAACGAUUAAAAAAACUCGAAAUUUGGCGAUAGCCCGGACGCAUUUGACGAUACCCUGGACUCACUAGGCGGCGCGCAGGCACGCGAUGGAAGAGUACCACAACGAGAUGUAGCGAUAAGACUACAUCAACGUCGGAGAGGACGAACGAAUCCUGGUAGCUGGCGGUGAUAGAAGGUAGGGACAGGACCCUGUGUCCCGUUGUGACUCUGGUGACGGUACCGCAUCCAGUCGAGGAGCUGAGGUCCAAGUGCAGGGGUUCUACCCCCAACAUCUGUCCACUCGAGAGCUGAUGGUAGCUCUGUCCUGCUCGGCUCGCGGAUGCGCAAAGGGGGAACCCUCGGACAGUGUGAUGGCUGCAGCUCUGUCAAUGCGUCGUAAAGACGAGUGCGCGUAGCAUACAACUCCACAGUCAGAGCUCGGAAAGCACGAUCCAUUGCCUCAGUGUACUGCACCAAAAUCCGCGCGUCGUACCGACGCGUCACGUAGGGGGCGCAGACAGCGACGUAGGAACGGUCGUUGCGCUCCCGAACGUCAGAAGCGUAGGCAGUGAGAUCAGACCCAGUCUCAUCCCCAGCAGGAGCAUGCGGGAUGUAUCUGAAAGGGCUCUCCUCCAGGUGAGGGUACGCUCCACGGAGACGGGUGAUGGCGAUGUAGGCCGCAUCAUGGACGGCCAUCUCGACCGACACUCCAAUACCACAGAACACGUGGCGCUCGAGGGUCUCGCCGCCCCUCUGGUCGAAGAUGCGAACCUCAGCCUGGUACUGGCACUGGUUGUACUCGCGGAAAUCCUCGAACACGGUGUACUCGGGGUACCAGCGAUAUCCCAGCCUGGUCAGGAGGUCGACCAAAAUGGCCGGGAACCCAGUCGUCUCGGUGGCCUGUGUCAGGCGCACGUGCUGUCUUGCGGGACGCAUCUGAAAAUAAGAUUGACGAAUGUCAAUGACAGUGUGUGUAAUACAUAUUCAGGAGAAAAAGAGUAGAUAGUCCAGCGCUCCGGAUUGAUGUGAUUCGAGAACCUAAUGUUAGAGUUAGUAAAACCUUUGACCCGAAAGAGAAGAGAAAGUAGAGCCCAGAGUAUAGAAAAGGAGUAAAAGAUACUAAUACCACCCAAUUGAGAUGUGGGCCCAUAACCCACAACAUCAGUGUUAGUAAAGUUUUUCAAACACUAGACUCAACUUCGGCCAAGGAGUUGGAAAGGGGGGCUACCUACAGGCAGUUGGCUCUGAUACCAACUUGUGACGCCCUCGGCUUANNNNNNNNNNNNNNNNNNNNNNNNNNNNNNNNNNNNNNNNNNNNNNNNNNNNNNNNNNNNNNNNNNNNNNNNNNNNNNNNNNNNNNNNNNNNNNNNNNNNAAUCUGAGCAUGAUUAGUAUAUUGAUUGUCAUCCUUUGCGUGGCGGUCGGGAUCGCGCGAUGGUUUAUACCUACCAACCCUUCCCCUAGGACUAUGCGUUGAAUGCUUUGUUUCGAUUACUAAUAAAACUUUUGCAACAAGUAUAUGAGUUCUUCAUGACUAAUGUUGAGUCCAUGGUUUAGAUGCACUUUCACCUGCCACCAUCACUAUCUUCUUAGUGCCGUGCAACUUUCGCCGGUGCACAAAACCCACCAUUAGCCUCCCUAAAAACAGCCACCAUACCUACCUACUAUGGCUUUUUCAAAGUCAUUCCGAGAUAUAUUGCCAUGCAACUACCACCAUGACAUGUGCCACCACGUCUACAUUGCCAUUGCAUGAUCGUAAGAUAGCUAGCAUGAUGUUUCCAUUAAUGUAUAUGCCAUGCUAGAUCAUUGUCACGGUACACUACCGAAGGCAUUCCAUAUAGUCAUAGUUGCUCUAAAUUUUGAGUUGAAAGUGUGAUGAUCAUCAUUAAUGGAGCAUUGUCCCAUGUGAGUAAAUAAAAGAGGCCAAAUAAGGCCACCAAAAAAAAGAGGCCAAAGAGCCCACAAAAAAAUGAGAGAAAAAGAGAGAAGGAACAAUGCUACCACUUUUUCCACACUUGUGCAUAUUAAGCACCAUGAUCUUCAUGAUUGUGAGUCUCUCAUUUUGUCACCACCAUAUAGCUAGUGGGAAAUUUUCAUUAUAUCACUUGGCUUGUAUAUUCCAAUGAUAGGCUUCAUCAAAAUUGCCUUAGGUCUUCGUGAGCAAGCAAGUUGGAUGCACACCCACUAGUUUUCUUUAAGAGCUUUCACAUACUCUUAGCUCUAGUGCAUCAUUUGUAUGGCAAUCCCUACUCAUUCACAUUGAUAUCUAUUGAUGAGCAUCUCCACAGCUCAUUGAUAUGCCUAGUUAAUGUGACUAUCUUCUCCUUUUUUGUCUUGCAACAUCCACCAUACUCCACACCAUCUAUAGUGAUAUAACCAUGGCUCAUGCUCAUGUAUUGCGUGAGAGUUGAAAAGGUUUGAGAAAGUAAAGGUGUGAAACAAUUACUUGGCCAAUACCGGGGUUGUGCAUGAUUUAAAUUCAUUGUGCAAUGAUGACAGAGCAUAGCCAGACUAUAUGCUUUUGUAGGGAUAACUUUCUUUUGGCCUUGUUAUUUUGAAAGUUCAUGAUUACCUUGCUAGUUUGCUUGAAUUAUUAUUGUUUCCACGUCAAUAGCAAACUAUUGUUUUGAAUCUAAUGGAUCUGAACAUUCACGUCAUAUAAGAGGAGUUACAAAGGACAUCUAUGCUAGGUAGCAUGUAAGAAUAAAAAAUUCAUUCUUUAUCACUUCCCUACUCGAGGACGAGCAGGAGUUAAGCUUGGGGAUGCUUGAUACGUCUCAAACGUAUCUAUAAUUUUUGAUGGUUUCACACUGUUAUCUUGUCAUCUUUGGAUGUUUUAUGUACCUUUUAUAUCUUUUUCGGGACUAACUUAUUAAUUCAGUGCCAAGUGCCAGUUCCUGUUUUUUUCUGUGUUUUUGGCUCUUUUCAGAUUUGAUUUUGGAACAGAGUCCAAACGGAAUAAAAUCCCCGAAAUGAUUUUUUCCCGAACGGAAGAAGAUCAGGGGGCCUGUGGGCCAAUCCAGGAGGGCUCCUGGGAGCCCACAAGCCCCCACUCCGCCACCAGGGGGGAGGCGGCGGUGGCAGGGCUUGUGGCCUCCCUGGCCACCCCCUGACCUAGAUAUUUGGCCUAUAUAUUCCCUAAAAUACAGCAAAAAAUCAGGGGAGCCUCGAAAAUACUUUUCCGCCGCCGCAAGCUUCCGUUUCCGCGAUAUCUCAUCUGGAGACCCUUCCCGGCACCCUGCCGGAGGGGACUUUGGAGUUGGAGGGCUUCUUCUUCAUCAUCAUCGCCCCUCNNNNNNNNNNNNNNNNNNNNNNNNNNNNNNNNNNNNNNNNNNNNNNNNNNNNNNNNNNNNNNNNNNNNNNNNNNNNNNNNNNNNNNNNNNNNNNNNNNNNACGGCGACAGGGAUGGCGAGCCCACGGCGGCGCGGCGAGGAGAGGAGGGAGACCUACAGGCGGGCGGCGAGGACGGGAGCCAGGGCGACGUCGAGCAUCGGCGAGCACGACGGUGACCUAGGGGACGACGGCGAGCUGCUGGCACGCAGGGACGCUUGCGGGGAGCUGCUGCAGGCGGGCACUGACAGGGGCUCGCGCGGGAGACGGGCGACGGGGAGAGGCCAUGGCGAGCGGGGCCGGCAGGGCGCGGCGACCGGCGCGGGCGGCGCGGCAACCUUGACAGGAAGGCCUGGAGGCGAGGGACGAGGCGGGGCCUCCAGCGGUCGAGGAAGAGGCGGCGCGCGGGCACGGCCGGGCAGCGCGGGCAGGACGGCGCGGUGACGCUGCUGCGGCGGCUCGGGCACCUCGGGGCUGCAUCGCGAGCACGGGCACGCGGGGAGGCCAGCGAGGCCAGGCGGCGCGACGAGGCAGAGGGGACUCGCGCCUGGCUGCCAUGGACACAGACACGGGAGGAGCUCGGGGAAGGAAGAGGCGGCGGCAGGGAAGGAGCUCGGCCCUGGCGUGGGAAGGGGCUCCUCGGGCAGAGGGUCCAUGGGGGCGCAGGGAGGACGAGAGAGGCACGAGACGGGGGCGAGCAUGACGCUAGGGUUGGAGGGGGCCUGGGCCUUGGUCAGGGUCCUCUCCUAUUGGGUUUUUUCUUUUUUUUAAAACAGAGAACACCACAAAAGAAAAGGAUUUAACAAAAUAAAAGAAAUACCUUUUUUGACUCCUUUAAAACAUACCCCAACUAUAAAACCAAUUGGGCAUUUUUUUAAAGGACUAAAAUAAAACCUUUUGAAGAAAUAAAAUUAAAACCCGUUUACAAAAGAAUAAAAAUCGAACCCCUUUUAAGAAUUAAAUAAAACCUCUUUAUUUAAAGAAUAAAUAAAAACCUUUUAAAAGAGAAAAUAAAAUGGGAGGGUUUUAAAAUAAAACAAACGGAGAAAUAAAAUAAAAACCUAAGGGUAGCCCCUACAUUUAAUAAAAGGGCUUUUAUUGAAAAGAAGAAGACACACCCUUUUGAAUAGGGGUUUAACCGAAGACUUUAGCAAAACCACAAAAACGAAAUGAGAGAGGAGAGAAGGGGAGAAGGUUUAGGUCGGCGGUGCAACAGGGUUUAGCGGUGGCUCUCACGCACCCGCUCUCAACACGCCAACAAACGACGUCACACUCACAAGCUCUAACACCCAACAACANNNNNNNNNNNNNNNNNNNNNNNNNNNNNNNNNNNNNNNNNNNNNNNNNNNNNNNNNNNNNNNNNNNNNNNNNNNNNNNNNNNNNNNNNNNNNNNNNNNNCGCCAUCCCUGUCGCCGUCGUUUUGCUGUGUAGCCUGCAUUGCUUCCUGCUGGCCGGCGUGUUGCUGAUGCUGUAGCGUAGACGUUGUUCCUGUAGCCAGUUGAUUUUGAUGCUGCUACUUCUGUCGAGCCCCCUUGGCGUUCCCCUCCCGAGCUGUGCCGUUGUCGUGGUUGCUCUGCCAGUUGCCUUGCAUGUUGCUGUCCUGCUGCUUGUCAUAUUGCUGCUUGUUGCUUGCUUGCUGCCUGCCUGCUCGCUGUUGCCGAGCUUGCCUGUGCGAUGGUGGUGCUAUAGCUACGUAGCCUGCUGCCGCUGUUGCUGCCUGUAGCCAUUAGAUUUUGCUGCUGUUUGCUAGCUGAUAGCUGUUGUAGGUUGCUGCUGCUAGGUAGAUGUUGUUGCUGUUGCUGUGUGUCGCCUGCCGUUGUCGCGUGCACCAUCCCCGCCUGGCGUGGUGCGUCGACAAGUUUGCCGAGAAUCCCGUCGUCCUCGACGACUCCGAAAGCGAGUUCGACUUCCUCGACGUCGCCGAAGACCCGUGAUCGACUACCGACGCGAAGACCGUGCACCGACGACAAGAGAACGACUACCGUCGACGAGACCGUGUACCACUACUUCAACUACUGGCGCGUGUACGACUACUUCCANNNNNNNNNNNNNNNNNNNNNNNNNNNNNNNNNNNNNNNNNNNNNNNNNNNNNNNNNNNNNNNNNNNNNNNNNNNNNNNNNNNNNNNNNNNNNNNNNNNNCGGAGGGAGCCGGAAGUCCGAGGCAUUAGUCCUGUUUUGAGAUAAGAGCAGAGUAGUGAAGAUGUGGUAUUGAGCAGAAUAGUGAAGAUGUGGUAUGAGCAAAUUCAUCGCAAAACCUGUGAUCCCCUCUUAAUAGUGUGGGAUCCCUAUACUCAAGAAUAGUAAACUUAAAAGGGAUAGUCUACAUCAUCUUUUCUCAAUCCCGAGCCUUCUUGACAUAUAAAUCCCGAUCUUCUCAGACCACCUUGGCACAUGAUUCUCAAUCUACUAAAGUACUUGCCAUCCUGAGAUACACUCAACAAAUAGGAUUAGUUUCCUAUGUAUGUGUUGUCAUUAACACCAAAAGUCGAUUAGGGGCAUAACAUGCACUUUCAAUCUCCCCCUUUUUGGUAGUUGAUGACAACAUAUACAUAUGUCUCAAAAAGAUUUAACAUACAUUAUAGCCUUGGAGAGGUUUAGUACGGAGCUCCCCCUUAGUAUGUGCAUGAUAAAAUAUCGGAGCUCCCUUUUAAUGUGUGUAUCGAACAUAUAAUGGAUCAUCAUGUAAAGAUAAUAGAUCAUCAUAGAAAGACAAUAGAUCAUCAUAGAAGUAAUGGGGCAAAACAUAAUAGCCUAUGAUGAUAUCAUAGCAAUCACAACAUUCAUAAGUAGCCAUACAUGAGUUUAUCCAUUACAUUACACAAACAUGCAAAUUUAGACUAAAUCUCCAAAGACUAAAAACUACGAUACAUUACUCCCCCUUUGGCACCAAGUACCAAAAAGGGAGGCACCAACAGCAUCAACCAUGCUCAAAGCUCAUCAGCAUCAUCAUCAUCAUCAUCCUCAUCAUCAGGCAAGCCACUGCCACCAGCCUCGUCAAGAAAAUCAGCCCACUCAGGACCAGAUGGGAAGCCAAAGUCAGAAGGAGGAGCAACAGGAAGGGCCUCAUCAUCACUCACAUCAAGAGCGCCCGAGUCUCUCAGACGAGCCUUGAGGGCAUUCUUGGAGGAGACGAGGCGAGAAACCACAUCAUGGGUUUGACCACACUGGAAAGAGAAGGCCUUCAUCAUAGCAGAAUGUGCCUUGCCAAUGAAUUUGGCAAAGCGACUGAGAGAAGCUGAGCUAGAUGAAGGGGUUGCUGACCGGGCAGCAGUGCGGCGAGUGGAUGUGGAGGAUGGGGUUUUCUUGGGAGCAUAGUUAUCCGCCAUGUGAGCGGGAAUGACCCACUUGUGAUGUGUGUGAGUGACAGCAACAGAGAAUUCACCAACAUGAUUAAUAAGAGCCUGGAUGAAGGGGGCAUGAGGGAAGGCUCGCUUGUAUUGAAAACUAGCAAGCCGAAUCUCAUGCCAUAGAAAGUGAGGCACAUUAAUUUUGCUCUUGGGGUGCUCGUACAAAUGUGACAUGAUGUCAAUACAGUAGCCACUGCAAGAUCCCUUAUCACCCAUCUUGGGAUAGAUGGUGCGGAUAAGACUCUGAAAGAUGAUAAAGUAAGGAGAGCGCCAGAUGGAUACCUGGUUAAGAUCCUUCAUGCGUUCAUCUGCAUCAAGUUCACGGAGUGGUUUGAGGAGAUACCCACACGCCUUAAUUGGCUUAUGUGCAUGGUUAGGAUCAUUCUUAUGUAUUUUGAAGCCGGAGUUGGGGAAACCAAGUGCGGCAACAAACGUAUCAUAAGAGGCUAUGAAGUGAACGUCAGAGGUUAUCCAGCUAACAGUGUUGUUUGGAUCAAAGAAGCAUGUGGCAUAAAACUGGUGACUAGCAGCAGCGUUAAAAUCGCGACGAAAAGCAAAGGGGGCAGCAAGCCUCGAUGACUCAAUGAGUUCAAUGGCACCCGGGUAUUUCGCCGGGUGCGCGCGAAUAUGCUCAAGAUCUAUGAAGUGAUGAACAGAGGACCCUUAGGAACUAUGACCGUAGUAAAGAUGUCCGCGUGGACAUUGGUGCGGAAACGUGAAUCCAUAGAGUCACGUACGACAGAGAAUUGAUCAACAUCGCGGCAGAAAGUGAAAUAGGAAGACUUAGCAACCGUGGUGAAGUUCGUGACUUCACGACCUAAAGUAGCAGGAGGCUCAAGUGAGAUGCGACAAGCUUCACCUUCGGGCUGAGCAGGAGGAGGUGGUGGCAUAUAGGAGGGCCUGCGAGUCCCGGGCUUUGGCAUGGACCUCCGAACGGCGGGCUGGUCAGCACGGUCCUCGGCGGCAAGCUCAUCCUCGAAGUCAGAGCCAUCAGACGACGAGGGGAGCUAUUGAGACGGAGGACGCCGGGAAGUCCGUUUGAAGGGACGACGUUGCCCUUCCGAGUCCGACACCGUGCCAGUAGGGGCACGAGCGGAUGAGCUAGCAAUGUCCUCGUGGGCGGCGUGCUUAAUCUUGGGCAUGAUGCACAAAAACCUACACGGAUGGAAACCCAAUGGGGAACGGUCACGGGCAAACCAUAUGAACGAACACGUGAACUUGGGAGAAAAGGAAUCCAAACGCGAGCGGAACGGAGGAGAUACCUGCAGAUCGAGAGAGGAGAGCAAGAAGAGAUGGAUCCCGCGGAGGAGAUUGGAUCCCUCGGAGGAGAUGAGGCAGAUCCCGGAGGUGGCGGCGCGGGCGAGCUCUCCAGGUGCUGGCGGCGGCGGCGGCUGGGGGAAAGGAGGCGCGUGGGGGCUAGGGCAAAGCCCAGCCCGCGCCCUUCUAUUUAUAGGGCCCUGAUGUGUCGGACGUCCGACAGGCGUCGGACGUCCAGAGUGGAUUUAGCCGUCGGACGACCGACACUGGCCGGGCGUCCGGAAUGAGGUUAGCCGCCAGACGUCCGAGACGCGUGAGACGACCGGGAGAGGAGGAGGCAGAGGCUGAUUCUGGAAUUUUGAUGAUGAGAUGAUUUUUGAUGGUUUAUCACAAAGAACACGAAUAUAGUUGCCUACAAGAAUUACAUAUACUACUUGUGGACAGAAGUUGAUUUAUGCAUAUUUUGUAAGAUCAAAACACAGAAUUAUGACCCACUCCCCCUAAAUGCAUGCCCACAUCAAGACAAGAACAUAAUGUGAGUGUGUGUAUGUGUGCAAGAUUUCAAGUUAUGUUAUCAAGCUCCAAGAUACCAAGUUCACGCCUAAGUUGACAGAACAUUGCUACGCUAAGUGGCUUGGUGAAAAUGUCAGCGAGCUGCAUGUCGGUACCCACAUGGGUAAUAUCAAUGUCACCCUUUUGCACAUGGUCUCUCAAGAAAUGAUACCUAAUAUCAAUAUGUUUUGUGCGAGGGUGAUCAAUGGGGUUCUCAGAGAUCUUUAUGGCACUUUCAUUAUCACAGAGAAGAGGCAUGUGUCGAUACGUGAUACCAUAAUCCUUUAGGGUUUGCCUCAUCCAUAGCAGUUGGGUUGCACAGCUUGCGGCUGCAAUAUAUUCGGCCUCGGCCGUGGAGAGAGAAACACAAUUCUGCUUUUUCGAGGACCAACUUACCAAGGAGCGUCCAAGAAACUGACAUGCACCGGAAGUGGAUUUCCAUCCCACUUUGUCACCGGCCCAAUCCGCAUCGGAGUACCCAAUAAGAUUGAACUUUGCAUCCUUAGGGUACCAUAAGCCUAACUUUGGGGUGUGAACAAGGUAUCUAAGAAUAUGCUUAACCGCCGUAUGAUGGCUUUCCCUAGGGGAAGCUUGAAAUCUAGCACAUAUGCCUACAGUUAACAUGAUGUCCGGUCUAGAUGCGCAAAGAUAAAGUAACGAACCAAUCAUGGAGCGGUAAGUAGAUGGGUCAAAAGGAAUACCGUUGGUGUCUUCAUUUAGAACUACAUCUGUGGCCAUGGGUGUCUUGAUUGGUUUAGCAUUUUUCAUAUCAAAUUUUUCAAGAAUGUCCUUGAGGUACUUAGUUUGAGACAAGAAAAUUCCUUCUUGAAAUUGUUGUAUUUGAAACCCAAGAAAGAACUUCAAGUCCGUGUUGAGUGACAUCUCAAAGGUCUUGGUCAUGGAGGCCGCAAACUUCUUGCAUAAAUGGAUGUUAGGAGAACCAAAAAUGAUGUCAUCUACAUAGAUUUGGCAUAAGAUCAAAUCACCAUUUUCCCUCUUAGUAAAAAGAGUGGGAUCGAUCACCCCCACCACAAAGCCAUCAUCGAGUAAGAACUUCUUAAGAUGAUCGUACCAAGCACGGGGUGCUUGUUUGAGGCCAUACAGAGCCUUGUGAAGUUUGUAUACAUGGUCUUUGUGGUGAGGGUCAACAAACCCAGGUGGUUGUGAUACAUAUACCUCUUCUUGUAGAGUACCAUUAAGAAAAUCACUUUUCACAUCCAUUUGAUGCAAAGUAAAACCAUUGAAAGCAGCAUAGGCCAAUAGAAUGCGAAUGGAUUCGAGACGAGCAACAGGGGCGAAAGUAUCACCAAAGUCCAAACCUUCAACUUGGGAGUACCCCUGUGCUACUAACCUUGCCUUGUUGCGUAGGACAGUCCCAUUCUCAUCUUCCUUGUUCUUGAAGAUCCAUUUAGUUCCAAUGACAUUGUGUUCCUCAGUUGGUCGUUCUACCAAUGACCAUACUUCGUUGCGUGUAAAACUGUUUAACUCUUCUUGCAUAGCAAGGAGCCAGUCAUUGUCACACAAUGCAUCCUGAACCCUGUGUGGCACAUUACUAGAGACAAACGAAAAGUGAGCACAAAAGUUUGUUAAUUGUUUACGAGUCACUCUACCUUCCGACACGCCGGUGAGCAUUUGAUCAAUAUCAACACGACCGACCACACGUGGCAUGACGGAGGUCAGGGUUUCACGAGGUUCGACUUCGUUUCCAUCAUCAACGUCCUCAACAUAUGGAUCAUUUACGUGCGGUGGAAGAUAUUCCUCUUCGUGUUGCACCUGUUGAGGUUCAUCAUCAAGCAUAUCCAUACUUUGGUCUAGAUCUUGAGGAUCAACUUGUUCUUGAGUGUGAUCAGAGUGAGAGACAUGUUCUCCCACUUGAUCCUCAACAACUGGCAUGAUAUGUGUGCUAGUAUCUUGUGGAGGUACGGGUAGUGAACUGUCUUGAGGAUGAGAAAUAUUCUCAUCAUCUUCAUCAUCAUCAUGGGGUCUUUGUUCCAUGGGAAGAAGUGCACCUACACCCAUGUUCAAGAUAUCUUGCGAGGAAUCUUCUUCACCUGCAUCACUUAGAUCAACUUGCUCCCCAUGGGAGCGGUUAAAUUCAACAAACGUCACGUCACAUGUUUCUAUAACACAUCCAGUGGAUUUGUUGUAGACUUUGUAGGCGUAAGAGUUUGAUCCAUAGCCAACAAAAAUCCCUUUAGUUGUUUUGGAUUGAAGUUUUCCUAACCGUUCCCGUUUGUUGAGGAUGAAACACUUGCAUCCAAACACACGAAAGUACUUAACAUUGGUCUUGUUGCCAGUUAGGAGCUCAUAUGGAUUCUUCUCUAAUAUUGAUCGAAGGAAGAGCCGGUUUGAUGCAUGACAUGCUGUGUUGACGGCCUCAGCCCAAAAACUAUGUGGUGACUUGUAUUCGUCUAACAUGGACCUUGCCAUUUCCACAAGUGUCCGGUUCUUCCUCUAUGCUACACCAUUUUGCUGAGGGGUGUAAGGUGCGGAGUACUGAUGUUCAAUUCCCUCAUCACUAAGAAAUUCUUCUAGGGUCUAGUUCUUGAACUCGGAGCCAUUAUCACUUCUUAUUGCCUUGAUGUCCUUGUCAAACUUCCGCUGGACUUGUUUGGCAAAAUCAAUGAAGGUGAUCUUCGUCUUGUCCUUGGACUUGAGAAAGAAUACCCAUGUGUAUCUUGAGUAAUCAUCAACAAUGACUAGGCCAUACUUUUUCCCUCCAAGACUUUCCCAUGAAGGAGGCCCAAACAGAUCCAUAUGAAGGAGCUCUAACGGCCUCGAAGUGGAUACAAUGUUCUUGGGUGGAUGUUUUGAUUGAUGUUGUUUCCCAGCUAUGCAUGCACUGCACACACGAUCUUUCUUAAAAGAUACAUUUGUUAGUCCAAGGAUGUGAUUGCCGUUUAAGAGAUUUUGAAUAUUUCUCAUGCCGACAUGGGCGAGCCGGCGAUGCCACAACCAUCCCAUGUCGGCCUUGGCCAUUAGACAAGUUGUAUGGAAGGUGCUCUCUUUCGAGAAAUCAACCGUGUAAAGGUUGCCAUCCAACUCUCCAACAAAGGCCACUUCGAGAGUGUCUCUCUUAAAGACUUUCACAUCCGUUAGUCUGAAUAAUGUGUCAUAACCAACGGAAGCCAAUUGGCAAACUGAAAGUAAAUGAUAUUCAAGAGAUUGGACAAGCAUGACAUUUGCAAUAGACAUGUCAUUAGUGAUUGCCACCUUGCCCAACACAAUUACCUGCCCUUUCGACCCUCCACCAAAUACAAUGCUCAUGUAUGGUCGAAUGGCUUGCAUGAAGUCAUAGAGCAAGCUACUAUCUCCGGUCAUAUGAUUGGUGCAUCCACUGUCGAUCACCCAUUUGGCUCCUCUGGAGAAAACAGCCUGUAACGAAUUAAGACUUGGUUUGAGGUACCCAUUUCGUCAUGGGGCCUCUCACAUUAGUUACAAGAGUCUUAGGGACCCAAAUAGCAUAAAAUCGGAAUGCAUUACGGGGACCAACGAAUUUAGCAUAAACCUCUCCUUCCUUUGAUUUGCGAAGCACAUAGGAUGGAGGCAUGAAUUCAGUUGUCUUGUUGAGAGUAGGCGAACCCCUAGUGGCCGACCCACUCACAACCUUACCUUUCUCCUUGUGUCCCUCUCGUACAAAUAUUUCUUUAAGCGGAGUGGUACACUUGAGAGGAGAUGCACUUUUCUUGGCGGUGCUUGGAUUGAACCCAAGCCCUUCCUUGGCAAAGCCUCCAUUGUGUUGACUUAAGAUAUCAUUGAGAGUCUUUUGUCCUUGUGCACAUGUCACGAGACCUCUAUCUAGCUGUGACUUUAACGAGCAGUUUUCCUCAAGGAUAGAUGUCAGUUCACUACUAGAGUUAGUAGUGCAGGUAUCAACAUUAAUACUAGGUGAGGAGUAAGCCUUAGCUAAAGUGUCAAGAUAAGUAACCUUUAGUGCCUCAAAGCUCUUUGUAAGAACAGUGAGUUUCUCUUCCUUGUCUUUGCGAGACAAGGAUAGACGCUCACAGUCCUUAGAAAGGGAAGCAUGAGAGUUCACUAGUCGGUUUUUAUCAUUUAGUAACUCUUUGCACACAGAUUCAGCCUUUUUCAAGGAGGCAAGAUCGUUAGCAUGUUUAUCAAGGUUUUCACCAACUUUUGAGCAUAAUGCAUCAUUUUGUGCUUCCUCAUAUAGGACUUUCUGCUCAAGGAUUUCAUUUCGUUCCUUCUCCUCAGUGACGAGGGUUUCGAGUUCCUUGAUGGUAUUGGUGUGCUUACUCACCAUUUCCAUAAGUAUGCGAAACAUAGUGAGCUUCUUUCCUUUAAGAGAGCACAUAAAUUUGUUUAUUUUGGCAAACAUGGGAUGAUCUAAGUCAUUAUCCUCAUAGUGAUCUUCCGCAUCAAGAUACUCAUCAGGUGAGGUAGAAUCUAGACUGAAAGAGUUUAACCGUGGAGUUACCUUAACCUUAUCAUGGGAGCUUUGGUCUUCCUCAUCUCCCAUGGCAGUCUUUGCCAUCAAACACUUGUGGGCGUUGCCCUUGUAGUCUUUCAUAUAGUUGUAGUGAACAACAUCACCACUUUUGUUGACUAGCCUCAAGGUGUUUUGUGUAUCCUGAGCUACUCCGGCAACCCCACCAACGUCUUCUGGAUCUGAUUCUUCUUGUGCAACCAUUGCUCUUCCAUCUAUUCUCUUGAGCUUGGAGUUCAUAGGGCUUGACAACUUCUUCUUUACAAAGGUCUUUGGAAACCUUGGUUUAUCUUCUCUCUUCUCAUAGGGGCAGUCAUUUGAGAAGUAGUUGGUUUCCUCACAGUUGUAGCAUUUCCUUACCUUCUUCUUUGGGAAUCUUCCCUUGAAUUUUCCUGCACUGAACUUCUUUACAAAGAGAGCAAUGUCCUCAUAAGAUGGGCUUUCAUCAGAGUCAACAUUAUCACCAUCUUCGCAUUCAUCAUCACCCUCUUCUUCUUCACUUUCUUCUUCAUCACAUUCAUGCUUGUCUUUCAAAGCAAGAUUGAUCUUUGAUGUUGAAGUGCCAUGCAUGGCAAGGUGCUUUGUUGCAUUUGCCUUUGACUCUUCAAAUAAUUGGAAAGUGGAUAUGAUGUAAUCUGGAGUCAUUUCUUUGAACCCAUGGUGCUGCCUCAUGUCCCAUACCAUUUGAUGGUGAUAUGGAGCAAGAGCAUGAAGUAACUUGUCCACGAGAAAUCUCUUGGUCAGAUUGAAACCAUCUUGCGUCUUGUCACAGUCACAGGACUCAAUGUCUGCGGCGAGAGUCAUGAGCCAUUCUAGCAGUUGCUUGGGAGAUUCACUCUUUUCCAUACAGAAAUUCUGUAAUUGCCCCUUGGCAAUUUCAUAUUGAGCAAGCCGAAGAGUGGAGGUACUGGUCUUGGUCCUUAUAAUUCUAUCCCAUAGUUCCUUGGCACUUGUGAUGUGAAUGUAAGGUCUCCGUUGCUUGUCAUUCAUUCCUUUUCUUAUGCACAUGAUCGCAGUGUCAUUGAGAUGCUUGUCAUAAGUUUCUCUGGGAGUGAGGCACCUUGGAUCUACAGGAUUGUACACAUGCUCGAGGAUGUCCAACAUCUCAUCAUUGGCGUACCUAAGAUGAUCGUGCAUACCAACUCUUCACAAAGCAAAAUCGGAAUUGUCAUCAAGCAAGGGAGGAUUUCCUUCAGGAUUGUACUUAGGUUUGUCAACUUGAGAUCUAGCAUAAAGCCAUGGAACACUGGUUUGGUUCCUUUCCGGAGGUUGCUGGCCAAAUGAAGAAUCGUGCACAUGUGGUCCUGAGGCCCUCGGGGACGUGGUUGUCCCCGUGGUUAAUGAUGCCAGUCUUAUUUGGACCAAGGCCUCAAGAGAAGCAUCAUGCUCCUCUUUUUGCUUGGCAAGGGCCCGUUCCAGGUCCUCAGAGGUGAAGGACUUGACUUCCGUGGAAGUUCCGUCGCUCUCCACUGGAGCUACAGUAGUGGGAAUCCCGUCCAUCUCACUCUAGGGAGGUUAAGCCACAAGAAUAGAGCACGAGGCUCUGAUACCAAUUGAAAAGGAUCGAGAUGGACCUAGAGGGGGGUGAAUAGGUACAGUUCCAAAUUUUAAUAAUUACUUAGCAAUUUUAGGCAAAGGUGCGGAAUAUGAGCGUAGGCCUAAUAAUUGCUAUGACAAGGAGUAAGCUAUUUAGAGUGAAGUAAGGCAACCGGUACACAAUAAUCAAAUACAAGUAUGUAAUAAUGAUUAACACAAGUAGAGAGUUAGGGUUAGGAAUAACCGAAACUCCAAGAGAGACGAGGAUGUAUCCCGAUGUUCACUUCCUUGGAGGGAAGCUACGUCACCGUUAGAGGGGCGGAUGUUACCACGAAGGCACACCAACGCCAUGAAGGCUCACCCUAUUCUCCCUUUGAGAUAACUCCAUGAAGGCGUUUCUCAACCACUAGUGGUAAGCCUUGAGGUGGCUUCCAAACCUUCACAAACUUUCCAGGGGAAAUCACAAUGGUUUGAUUCCUCUCCGAAGACUCCUACCGCCUAGGAGUCUCCAACCUCCAAGAGUAACAAGAUCACGGGGAUUACUCAAAACUUGCUCAAAUCACAAAUCACUUUGGUGGGAAGGAGACGAUAUAUCUUUUGAUUGGAACAACACUCAAAGGGACUCACAAAUGCUCUUGGGAUCUAAGAUUGAGUGUAGACAAGAGUGAGUGAGAAGAAAGGUGUUCUUGUAUGUGUUCUAGCUGUGUUGGACACCCUCUCACGAAGUGGGAGGGGGUAUAUAUAGUGGGGAGUGUAAAACAGCCGUUGGGGACACUUUAAGUCACACAGGGUUCGGACAUCCGGCAGUUCACGGAUGUCCGGGCGUCCACAAGGGGACGUCCGACACGGGUCGGUCGUCCGAGGGUUGUAGAUAUGUCUGGAAUCACUGUGAGUUGAACAGGGACCGGACGUCCGGAGAAGGCCGGAAGUCCGAGUUAUUCGACUCAACUUCUUCUGGUGCAAGAUUCCGGAUUUCCGAAAGGGGACGGACGUCCGGCCCUCGGACGUCCGGAGGGAGCCGGAAGUCCGAGUUAUAUGGCUCACGUUCUUCUGGUGCNNNNNNNNNNNNNNNNNNNNNNNNNNNNNNNNNNNNNNNNNNNNNNNNNNNNNNNNNNNNNNNNNNNNNNNNNNNNNNNNNNNNNNNNNNNNNNNNNNNNAGUUACAUAUCUCUCCGUGUUAUAACUGUUGCAUGAUGAAUAUCAUCCGACAUAAUUAUCCAUCACCGAUCCAAUGCCUAAUAGUUUUUCCUAUUGGUCCUUGCUACGUUACUUUGCCGCUACUGCUAUCACUGUUGCUACGUUACUCUGUCGCUGAUGCUAUCACUGCUGCUAGUAUUACUCUGUCGCUACUGUUGUCACUGCUGCUACUGUUGCUAUCACACCACCUUGUUACUGAUACUAAGUCUUUCAGGUGUGGUUGAAUUGACAACUCAACUGCUAAUACUCGACAAUAUUCUUUGGCUUCCCCUUGUGUCGAAUCAACAAAUUUGGGUUGAAUACUCUACCCUCAAAAACUGUUGCGAUCCCCUAUACUUGUGGGUUAUCAUGUUGCCUCGACACAAAUUUCUAUUUGCCCUGCGCCACCAUCUUGUUGAAGUAGAGGUUCCGCAACCUCAUCAAGUUCUAUCUUCCUCCCACUCACUUCUUUCGAGAGAAACUCUUUCUCAAGAAAAGCUCCGUUCUUGGCGACAAACACUUUGCCUUCGGAUCUGAGAUAGAAGGUAUACCCAACUGUCUCUUUUGGGUAACCUAUGAAGACACACUUUUCCACUUUAGGUUCCAGCUUUUCAGUCUGAAGCUUUUUGACAUAAGCAUCACAUCCCCAACCUUUAAGAAACGACAACUUUGGCUUCUCGCCAUACCACAUGUCAUAUGGUGUCGUCUCAACGGAUUUUGAUGGUGCCCUAUUUAAUGUGAAUGCAGCUGCCUCCAAUGCAUAGCCCCAAAAUGAUAAUGGAAAAUCGGUAAGAGACAUCAUAGAAUGCACCAUAUCUAAGAAAGUAGGAUUAUGACGUUUGGACACACCAUUAGGCUGUGGUGUUCCAUGCGGUGUCAACUGUGAAACAAUUCCACAUUGUCUUAAGUGAGCACCAAACUCGUAACUCAGAUACUCACCUCCUCAAUCCGAACGUAGGAACUUGAUCUUCUUGCUAGGAUGAUUUUCAACUUCACUUUGAAAUUUCUUGAACUUUUCAAAUGUUUCGGACUUGUGCUCCAUCAAGUAGAUAUAUCCAUACCUACUCAAAUUGUUAGUGAAGGUGAGAAAAUAACGAUAUGUGCCACGCGCCUCUAUGCUCAUCGGUCCGCACACAUCAGUAUGUAUGAUCUCCAACAAGUCACUUGCACGCUCCAUUGUUUCAGAGAAUGGAGUCUUGGUCAUCUUGCCCAUGAGACAUGGUUCGCAUGUGUCAAGUGAUUCAAAAUCAAGUGACUCCAAAAGUCCAUCAACAUGGAGUUUCUUCAUGCACUUUACACCAAUAUGAGCUAAGAGACAGUGCCGUAAGAAAGUGGCGCUAUCAUUAUCAACUCUACAUAUUUUGUUCUCAAUGUUAUGGACAUGAGUGUCAUAACAAUCGAGAUUCAAUAUGAACAAACCCCUCACAUUGGUUGCAUGACCAUAAAAGAUAUUACUCAUAUAAAUAGAACAACCAUUAUUCUCUGACUUAAAUGAGUAACCGUCUCGUAGUAAACAAGAUCCAGAUAUAAUGUUCAUGCUUAACGCAGGCACUAAAUAACAAUUAUUUAAGUUCGUCGCUAAUCCCGAUGGUAACUGAAGUGAGAGCGUGCCGACGGCGAUCACAUCAACCUUGGAACCAUUUCCCACGCGCAUCAUCACUUCAUCCUUCGUCAGUCUUCGUUUAUUCUGCAGUUCCUGUUUUGAGUUGCAAAUGUGAACAACAGAACCGGUAUCAAAUAAACAGGCACUACUAUGAGAGUUGGUGAGGUACACAUCAAUAACAUGUAUAUCAAAUAUACCUUGUUUGGCGUUGGCCGCCUUCUUAUCGGCCAAACACUUGGGGCAAUUGCGCUUCCAGUGGCCAGUCCCCUUGCAAUAAUAACACUCAGUUUCCGGCUUAGGUCCAACCUUGGGUUUCUUCGUCGGAGGGGCAACAGCUUUGCCACUCUUCUUGGUGUUAUCCUUCUUGCCUUUGCCGUUUUUCUUGAAACUAGUGGUCUUAUUGACCAUCAACACUUGAUGUUCUUUCUGGAUUUCUGACUCAGCGACUUUCAGCAUCGCAAACAACUCGCGAGGUGACUUAUUCAUCCCUUGCAUCUUAUAUACUUCAACACGAAACUCUUAUAGCUAGGUGGCAGUGACUGAAGAAUUCUGUCAGUGAUAGCUUCUUGUGGGAGUUCAAUCCCCAACUCAACUAGACACUUAGAGUACACAGACAUUCCGAGCACGUGUUCACUCACACACGAAUUCUCCUCCAUUUUGCAAGCAUAGAACUUAUUGGCGGUCUCAUACCUCUCAAUCCGGGCAUUCUUCUCAAAGAUAAAUUUCAACUCCUGGAACAUCUCAUAUGCUCCAUGACGUUCAAAACGUCUUUGAAGUCCCGAUUCUAAGCCAUACAAAACUGCACAUUGAACUAGUGAGUAGUCAUCCUUACGAGACUGCCAAGCGUUCAAAACAUCUUGGGUGGCCGUAGCGGGUGGUGCAUCAAGGACAUAUUGCUUUUGGCCAGCCGUGAGGAUAAGCCUCAUAUUACGAGCCCAAUCAACAAAGUUGCUUCCAUCAUCUUUCAGCUUAGCUUUCUCUAGGAACGUAUUAAAAUUUAGGGUUGCUACUGCGCGAGCCAUUGAUCUACAACAUAAACUUUUGCAAAGAUUACUUAGACUAUGUUAAAGAUAAUUGAGUUUAACUAAUCAUAUUAUUAAUAAACUCCGACUCAAAUAGACACCCCUCUAGUCAUUCGAGUGUUGCAUGAUCCAAAUCCACUAUCUCAAGUCUGAUCAUCAUGUGAGUUGAGACUAGUUUCAAUGGUGAACAUCUCCAUGUUGAUCAUAUCAACUAUAUGAUUCAUGCUUGACCUUUCGGUCUCUUGUGUUCUGAGGCCAUGUCUGUACAUGCUAGGCUCGUCAAGUUUAACCCGAGUGUUCCGCGUGUGCAACUUUUUUGCACCCAUUGUAUGUGAACGUUGAGUCUAUCACACCCGAGCAUCACGUGGUGUCUCGAAACGACGAACUGUCGCAAUGGUGCACAGUCGGGGAGAACAAAAUUUUAUCUUGAAAUUUUAGAGAGGGAUCACCUUAUAAUGCUACCAUUGGUCUAAGCAAAGUAAGGUGCAUAAAAGGAUUAACAUCACAUGCAAAUCAAAAAGUUACAUGAUAGGGCCAUGAACUUGUGCUUCUUGAUCUCCCACCAAAGCACCGGCAUGAUCUCCAACGUCACCGGCGCCACAGCAUGAUCUCCAUCAUUGUGAUGCCAUGGAGGUUGUCACGCUAUCUAUGUAGUUACUACUAAAGCUACUGCCUAGUGAUAUAGCAAGAGCAUCUACAAGAGUAAAAUUGAUUAGAGACAACCCUAUGGCUCCUGUCGGUUGCCGUAGCAUUGACGUGCAAGUCGAUAUUUUACUAUUACAACAUGAUCAUCUCAUACAUCCAAUAUAUCAUAUCAUGUGUUUGGCCAUAUCACAUCACAAGCAUACCUUGCAAAAACAAGUUAGACGUCCUCUAAUUUGUUGUUGCAUGUUUUACAUGGCUGUUAUGGGUAUCUAGUAUGAUAGCAUCUUACUUAUAAAAAGCCACAAUGGUGAUAUAAAAAUUGCUAUUUAACCUUCUCCAAGGACCGCCUCGGUCAAAUCUAAUUCAACUAAAGUUUAAGAAAUAGACACCCGCCAGUCAUCUUUAUGCAACAAGUUGCAUGUCAGUCGAUGACACCGGUCUCUCGUAAGCGUACAAGUAAAGUUGGUCUGGGCCGCUUCAAUCAAACAAUGCCAUUGAAUCAAGAAAAGACUAAGGAGGGUAGCAACUUGAACAUCAACGCCAACAAACUCUUUUGUGUUCUACUCGAGAUAUCAUCUACCCAUGAACCUAGCUCAUGAUGCCACUCAUGGGAACUUUGCAUGGGAAACAAAAAAAUUCCUACGCACACGAAGACCUAUCAUGGUGAUGAUCAUCUACGAGAGGGAGAUCGGAUCCACAUACCCUUGUAGAUCGCUAAGCGGGAAGCGUUAAGAAAUGCGGUUGAUGUAGUGGAACAUCUUCGCAAUCCAAAUCGUCGCCGUCCCAUGAUCCGUCCCGAUCUAGCGCCGAACGGACGACACCUCCGUGUUCAGCACACGUACAGUUCGAUGACGAUCUCCGCCUUCUUGAUCCAGCAAGAGAGACGAAGAGGUAUCUGAAUUCUUCGACAGCACAACGGCGUGGCGGUGAUGAUGGUGGAGCUACUCUGGCAAGGCUUCACCGUGCCGUACUGAACUAGCUACGAGGUGUCGCGAAGUAGUGGAGGUAGAGAGGGCUGCACAAAGGCUUGGGGUGGAAAGACCCUCUCAAAUCUCCACUAUAUAUAGGAGGAACGAGAGGGAGGGUUGGCUUGCCUCCUACUCCAAGUAAGAGGGUUCGGCCGAGCCCAAGAGGGAGGAUUCCUCCUCCAAUUCGAUUUGGUGGAGGAGUCCUUCCCAUCUUGUCCACCUCCUUCCCUUUUUUUCUUUUCCCCUUUUCUUUUGCUUCAGCCGAAAUAGGCUUAUUGGGCUGGCCUCACCAGCCCACCAAGGGCUGGUGCGCCACCCAUUGGGUUAUUAGGUCCUCUCCCGGGUGGGUGGCCACUCCCGGUAAAACCCCAGAACCCAUUCGUCACUCCCGGUACUUUACCAGUAAUGCCCAAAUGCAACAAUCCUAUAUAUCAAUCUUCAAUUCUAGACCAUUCCGGAGAACCUCGUAAUGUCCAGGAUCUCAUCCGGGACUCCGAACAACAUUCGGUCACCAACAUCAAUAAUUCAACUAUACCGAAAACGUCACUGAACCAUAAGUGUGCAGACCCUGUGGGUUCGAGAACUAUGUAGUCAUGACCGAGACACUCUCCGAUCAAUAUCCAAUAGCGGGACCUGGACAUCCAUAUUAGAUCCUACAUAUUCUACGAAGAUCUUAUUGGUUGAACCUCUAUGUCAAGGAUUCACACAAUCCCGUAUAUCAUUCCCUUUGUCCUUUGGUAUGUUACUUGCCCGAGAUUCGAUCAUCGUUAUCAACAUACCUAUUUCAAUCUCUUUACCGGCAAGUCUCUUUACUCGUUUGGUAAUACAAGUUCCCGUGGCUAAAUCUUUAGUCACAUUGCUUGUAAGGCGUGUUUGUGAUGUUGUAUUACCGAGUGGGCCCCCGACAUACCUCUCCGUCACUCGGAGUGACAAAUCCGAGUCUCGAUCCAUGCUAACUCAACGGACACCUUCGGAGAUACCUGUAGAGCACCUUUAUAGUCACCCAGUAAUGUUGUGACAUUUGAUACACACAAGGUGUUCCUCCGGUGUUAGUGAGUUACAUGAUCUCAUGGUCAUAGGAAUGUAUCCUAGACAUGCAGAAAACAAUAGCAACAAAAUGACACGAUCAUAUGCUACGUUUAUAGUUUGGGUCUUGUCCAUCACAUCAUUCUCCUAAUGAUGUGAUCCCGUUAUCAACUGAUAACACUUGUCUAUGGCCAGGAAACCUUAACCAUCCUUGAUCAACAAGCUAGUCAACUAGAAGCUUACUAGGGACAUUGUUUUGUCUAUAUAUCCACACAUGCAUUUAUGUUUCCAUUCCAUACUGUUGGGGAACAUAGUAAUUUCAUAAAUUUUCCUACGUCACGGUGUAUGGAGAAACCAGCAACGAGCAAAGGGGUAGAUCAUCUUCAUACCUUUGAAGAUUGCUAAGCGAAAGCGUUGCUAGAAUGCGGUUGAUGGAGUCGUACUCGUAGCGAUUCAGAUCGCGGUGGAAUCUGAUCUAUGCACCGAACAACGGCGCCUCCGCAUUCAACACAAGUGCAGCCCGGUGAUGUCUCCAAUGCCUUGAUCCAGCAAGGAGGGAGGAGAGGUUGAGGGAGAGCUCCGGCAUCACGACGGCGUGGUGACGGUGGAGCUACGUGAUACUCCGACAGGGCUUCGCCAAGCUCUAUGGAGGACGAGGAGGACGACGAGUAGGGCUGCGCCAUGGAGAUGGAAAACUUGUGUGAUUUGCAGCCCUACAACCCCACAUAUAUAUAGGGGGAAGGAGGAGGAGGGUCGGCCACCCCUAGGGAAACCCUAGGAGGUGUGACAGCCAAGAUGGCGAGGAGGGGCGGCGCCCUAGGGUGGCCUUGGAGCCCAAGGGAGCCCCUCCACGCCUAGGGUAUGGCCCCCUCCACCCCUUGCUGCGCCUUGGGCCCUUAGUGGUGGUGCACCAGCCCACCUAGGGGCUGGUUCCCAUCCACUUUUGGCCCAUGAAGCCUCUUGGGGCUGGUGGCCCCUCCCGAUGGACGGAACCCUUCCGGUGGCCCCAGUACAUUAUCAGUGACGCCCGAAACACUUCCGGCGAUCAAAUCCUCACUUCCUAUAUAUGAAUCUUUACCUACAAACCAUUCCGGAACUCCUCGUGACGUCCGGGAUCUCAUCCGGGACUCCAAACAACCUUCGGUAACCACGUACACUAUUCCCAUAUAACCCUAGCGUCAUCGAACCUUAAGUGUGUAGACCCUAUGGGUUUGGGAAGCAUGCAGACAUGACCGAGACACCUCUCCAGUCAAUAACCAACCGUGGGGUUUAGAUAUCCAUGUUGGCUCCCACAUGUUCCAUGAUGAUCUCAUUGGAUGAACGACGAUGUUAGAGAUUCAAUAAACCCUGUAUGCAAUUCCCUUUGUCUACCGGUAUGAUACUUGCCCGAGAUUCGAUUGUCGGUAUCCCUAUACCUUGUUCAAUCUCGUUAUCGGCAAGUCUCUUUACUCAUCCCGUAACACAUCAUCUCGUGGCUAACUCGUUAGUCACAUUGAGCUCAUUAUGAUGAUGCAUUACCGAGUGGGCCCAGAGAUACCUCUCCGUCACACGGAGUGACAAAUCCAGGUCUCAGUUCGUACAACCCAACAGAUACUUUCGGAGAUACCUGUAGUGCACCUUUAUAAUCACCCAGUUACGUUAUAAUGUUUAAUACACCCAAAGCACUCCUACGGUAUCUGGGAGUUGCACAAUCUCAUGGUCUAAGGAAAUUAUACCUGACAUUGGAAAAGCUUUUAGCAGACGAACAAUACGAUGUAUUCUCGUUAUCAUUCUCCUAAUGAUGUGAUGUCGUUACAGCCAUUUCCAACAGUCUCCCACUUGCACUAGAGUCAACAAUCUAGUUACAUUGUGAUGAAUCAAACACCCAUAGAGUGCUGGUGUUGAUCUUGUUUCGCUCGUGGAAGAGGUUUAGUCAACAGAUCUGUGACAUUCUGAUCUGUAUGUAGUUUACAAAUAUCUAUAUCUCCAUCCUGGAUGUAUCCACGUAUGGAGUUCAAGCGGCGCUUGAUGUGCUUGGUAUUCUUGUGAAACCUGGGCUCCUUUUGCAAUGGAAAUAGCUACAGUGUUGUCACAGAACAGAGUCAUCGGGCCCGACGCACUUGGAAUCACUCCUAGGACGGUGAUGAACUCCUUCAUCUAGACUCCUUCCUGUGCUGCUUCGAAGCAGCUAUGUACUCCACUUCACAUGUAGAUGCCGCCACGAUGCUUUGCUUGCAACUGCACUAGCUAACUGCCCCAUUAUUCAAAAUAUACACGUAUCCAGUUUGUGACUUGGAGUCAUCCGGAUCUGUGUCGAAGCUAGCAUCAACGUAACCCUUUAAGAUGAGCUCUUCGGCACCUCCAUAAACAAGAAACAUAUCUUUAGUCCUUUUCAGGUACUUAAGGAUGUUCUUGACUGAUGUCCAACGAUCCACUCAUGGAUCACUAUGGUACCUCCCUACCAAACUUAUGGCAAGGUUCACAUCAGGUCUGGUACACAGCAUGGUAUACAUAAUAGAGCCUAUGGUUGAAGCAUAGGUGACGGUACUCAUCUUUUCUCUAUCUUCUACCGUGUUCAGGUGUUGAGUCGUACUCAACCUCAUACCUUGUAAUACAGGCAAGAACCCCUUCUUGGCCUUAUCCAUAUUGAACUUCUUCAAUAUCUUGUCAAGGUAUGUACUUUGUGAAAGACCUAUAUGUAAGCAGCUUCUCCAAGGUCCUUCAUUGAAAAACUCUUAUUCAAAUAGGCCUUUAUGCUUUCCAAUAGUUCUAUAUCAUUUCCCAUCAACAAUAUGUCAUCCAAAUAUAAUAUGAGAAAUGCUACAGAUCUCCCGCGCAUUUUGUUGUAAAUACAGGCUUCUCCAUAAGUCUGUACAAACUCAAACGCUUUGAUCACCUCAUCAAAGCGAAUGUUCCAACUCUGAGAUGCUUGCACCAGCCCAUAGAUGGAGCGCUGGAGCUUGCAUACCUAGCAUUGCUAGGAUCGAGAAAACCUUCCGGCUGUAUCAUAUACAAUUCUUCCUUAAGAAAGCCGUUCAGGAAUGCCAUUUUGACGUCCAUUUGCCAGAUUUCAUAAUCAUGAAAUGCGGCAAUUUCUAACAUGAUUCGGACUGACUUUAGCAUCGCUACGGGUGACAAGGUCUCAUUAUAGUCAAUCCCUUGAACUUGUCGAUAACCCUUAGCGACAAGUCGAUCCUUAUAGAUGGUCACAUUACCAUCUGCAUAACCCAAAGCCUCGGUACAAUGAUGUCCACCUCCGGCGGGGCUGGGGCACGCAAGUAGUGCUCCAAGGUGAUUCCUACCUCUCACUCCUGACCGGGCAACGUAACAAACCCCGGGAAGUUUUGCCAACAAAGCACACCAAGGACGCUGUUGGGCUUGCAGACACCCUUGGCAACAAUCCAACCCCUGCAGUAUGAUAAAUUAAAGCCAAACAUUAGAUAUUUGAGAAAACGUGAAGGCAAAAGGUUAAAUAAGAGUAAAUUAACUUACUUGUCCCCAUUCGGCUUAAUCGACCACCUCUGCUCGCGAUGGCCGGCAUGAGCGGGAGCCCCGAACUACCAUGCUGGUGGACGGUGGCCCCCUCACCCAGCUCCUCGCCGCUAUCAGCAUGGCCACUUGGCUCAGGCUGACCCAAAUCAGGCGAGGUAUCCCACUAGGUCUCUUGGGACGUACCGUCAUCCCUGCUUUGCUCUGGAGUUGCGUGGAACGAAGCCUCUGGGACACGCAUCUCGUGGGUGGAAGGCUCGUCGACCUGAGGCUCGUGAAUCGAAGACCGUGUAGCCUCCACCUGAGAUGAAUCCACCCUAGCAGUCAUGUGCUGAGGUGAAUCAGCUUGGGGUGGCGGCGAGGAAGGCGUGGCAGCCACCUCCCUACCUCUACCAUGGCCACGUGUAACUUUAGUACCUCUCGGCUUCGCAGGGGGGUCGACCUCCUCUCACGGGGGCCGCGAGAGUCAAAGAAGCGGCCACUCCAUGCAGAGUAGAGAGAAACGCUCUCCGAAGAGGCGAGGCAGGAAUGGAAGUACCCAUCCCACCACCCGCCGACAAAGAAGGAGCCGCGGAGUGCUUUCGACCCUUUCCCACCAUCUUUCAACACCUGUCAUGACAAAUAGUAAAUGAAAUUAGUACAACAUAAAUACCAACAUGAGUAAUAAAAUGUAUAUAAUUUAAGUGUAUCAUCAUCAUAAAUACCAACAUGACUAAUAAAAGUUGAAUACCUAACAUGAACUCAAAAUUUAUAUAUGUAUAUAUAGUAAUAGUUGAAUAUGUGACAUGAACUAAUAACAAUCAUGCUCGUCUAUAUAUGCUUCGGGGUCAAUAAAUGCUUCAUGAUGAUCACUAUCAUCAAUAAAUGCAGCAUCAUCAUCACUAUAAGGAAGAACUUUGUGAAGGCCACCAUUAUUUAAUCGGUCAAGAAGUGACAGGUCAUCCGCAGCAGUAACCUCUUCUUCUUCCGGCUCUUCCUGUUUGGGCUCAGGGGUUAAGACGGAUUCACUAUCGUUGUCUACUUCAAUGUUCUGUGGUGAACUAGAGCGGUUCUUGAAACGUUUCUUGGACAGACGUGUUUCUUUGAAGAAUUCUCCUUCAUAUGUGUGUGGGUUAAUGUGAGGUUCGUAAUCCUCUUCAUUGAGGGUAGGUGGUCUAAAAUGUGGCGGCACUUCAUAAACGACAUCCCAACCUUUCAGAUUUGGAUCAGUUUGGCAGGCCCACGGUAGAUAGAAACUUGUGUCGCCUGUUGAGCCGUAAUAUAGACAUCGGGAACAUCUAAGUGGGUUUUUUGGUUGAUUUCAACUAGUCCUAUAUGUUCAUGAGUCCUUCUAGUCUCCCUCGGCUCAAACCAAUAACAUUUGAAGACUAUGACGGUCGGUGGGUUUUCACCAUAGAAUAGAAGUUCAUAAAUUGCUUCAACUCUUCCAUAAUACUCGGUGCCUCCUUCGCCGAUAGCAGAGACAAAACAAUUUGUAGUCUUUAGGUCGGGCAUAGAUAGCUCUUUGCCAAAGGUACGAAAGUGAUACCCGUUGAUGUUGUAUUUGUCAAAUGAACGGACCUUAUAGUCAUAAUCAUUAGCGACUUCUCUCAACUCGGCGUCCAUAGACUCUACAUCAGCCUACAAGUUUAAUACGAAAGAAUGGAUGCAUUAGCCGCAAAUUAGAACAAGAAAUCCAAUGGCCCAUUAAUGGUAAUUAAUUACCCUCUGUUUGAACCAAGAGAUGAAACCGGGAUAGUCGCCUCCAUGCUUUGCGAGAAGCUCAUACUCUUCGACGGAAUCCUUUUCGAUGACCGCUCCAUCCGAGAAUUCGGCGACGUAUCGACUAUAUCAAAUAUCCGGGAAUAAGAGUUGUUCAAAGGAAGUAGAAGUUGCGGAACAAUAAUUUAUCGAGAACUUACUCGAUGUACGGCAACACUUCUGUUAGGUUGGUGAAGGUAUACAAUGAAAUGGUCCGCCAUUCUUCGACAUCCAACGAUUUCCCUUUCGAAGAACCGGAUGGUGGGAGCAUCCCUUUGAAUAGGCUGAGGUUGGAUCGACCUUUUUUAGGAUCGCCAUCAUUGUAUCGAGGCUUCGGGUUAUGCAAAUGAUGAUUUUUGGCUUCAUAAUGUGCUCUCACGAAGUUUGCCGCCUCCUCAGUAAUGAAUGCCUCAGCCAUCGAUGCUUCAAUUCUACGUUUAUUUUUACAUUUAGCUCAAAGCGUCUUCUGCAUCCUCUUAGUUGAGUAGCACCAUCGAUUUUGAAUGCCCCCCCCCCCAAUCUUGCCUCGGUCGGGAGAUUCAAAAUCAAAUGCUGCAUUGGAUUAAAGAAGCCCGGUGGAAAGAUCUUUUCUAAUUUUCAGAUCAGCUCCGCCGCCAACUCUUUCAUUUCAUCUAGCACGCCAGGCGGUAGUUCUUUCGCACAAAGAGAACGGAAGAAAUAGCUCAACUCUGCUAGUACUAGCCUUUCAUCCUCAGCGAUAAAGCCAGGCAACAUCACCAGCGUUACCCGCUCAAUCCAUAUGUGCCAAUCAUGACUCUUGAGACCAAAUAUUUUCAAUUUCUCAAGACUCGCUCCCCUCUUUAGAUUCGCAGCAUACCCAUCAGGGAACAUCAACCGCAUUUUCACCCACAAUUGCAUUUCCCUCAUAGCUGGCCUUUCAAGAUUGAACCAUGCCUUUGGCUUCACUAUACUUUGCUUUCCUUUUCAUUGUCGCAAGUUUUGUAACGGUCUAUCGCAUAGUGCCUCCUGGUCGAUUCUAGCCUUAGGAUUAUCUUUUGACUUCCCCUCUAUGUCGAACAAUGUACCAAAAAUGGCCUCCGCAAUAUUCUUUUCAGUGUGCAUCACGUUGAUGUUAUGUGAUCCCAUAAGCAUGACUUGUGAGUCCAGGCGUGUUCCGUAUUAUACCCUUUGAAGUACCCUGGACGCAAAGGAUCAAGCUCGAGACCGUUUAACUGAUCAAGGGUAGUGUUUUUGACAACUCUACCUUUGAUGAAAUUCUUCUUGUCUUUUUUGAACUUAUGGUCAGGAUCGAGGAACUUUCUAUGCAUGUGGAAGCAAGAAAACUUGCGACCAGCCUGCAGCGAACGGAACUGAAGAGUUGCCUUGCAUGUGGUGGACGGGAACCUUCCAUGCACACACCAACCAGCGAAUAGUGCAAACGCCGGAUAAUUAUGCAUCGAGUACAUGUACCACACAUUCAUUUUGAAAUUUGUUUUGGUAGCAGAGUCGUAUGUCUUGAUCCCAUUAUCCCAGGCUUCUUGCAACUCAUCCUUAAGCGGCUGCAUGUACACAUUCAUGUUCUUCCCCGGAUAGUUGGGCCCUGGAAUUAUCAGCGUCAGGAAAAUGUUCUUUCUUUUCAUAAUCUCUCCGGGUGGGAGAUUGAGUGGAAUGACAAAUACAGGCCAACAACUUUAUUGUGAUGCAGUCAUACCAUACACAUUGAACCCAUCCGUGCUGAUGGCAACUCUAGGAUGCCUUGGAUCUUCUGAUUUAUCCUUAUGUAAUGCAUCGAAGUGCUUCCAUGCAAAACCAUCUGAAGUGUGUACCAGCAUAUUGUUCCCAUCCGCAUCUAGUUCGGUUCUUUUGCCCAAUUUGUGCCAUGCCAUCUGUGUGGCCUUCUCUUCGGCCAUGAAAAGAUGUUGAAGUCUUGGUACGAUUGGUAGAUACCGAAGAACACUAAUCGGGAUUUUGGUCUGAUUCUUCUCACCCAUACCGUUGUCUACCACAAUAUACCUGGUAGAAUUGCAAAUGGGCAGUAGUUCAAGGCCGCAUACUGAAGCCUAAAUAAGGCACAUCCAUUCUCACACGCAUGUAUCUUCUCAUAGGACAUCUUAAGUACACGGAGGAUUCUCUCUGACUCGUACGUGUUUGCAGGCUAUACAUGGCCUUUGGGUAGAAAGCGUCCAAAUAUCAUCAUCAUCACGUCGUAGAAUUCUCUGUCUAGGUUGAAUUGAGCCUUCAGAGCCAUUACUUGCGCGAUGGCAUCCAGCUGACAAAGCUCAGUGUGCUCAUGGAGAGGACGUUUUGAAGACUCCAACAUUUCAUAGAAGGCCUUUGCAGAUUCCUCCAUCUCAUCGUCCGUAUCCUGAGCAUCAUCAAAGUCUUGCACCAUGUCUUCGAUCUCGGUACCAUGCUCGUCGGUGCGACGACGAAUCACCUCAGCUCUGGCACGUUGGUCAGACUCACCAUGAAAAGUCCACACCGUAUAAUUAGGCAUAAAACACAACUUCUGCAAGUGUUUACCCAUUUCAAACUCUAUAUGAUUUUUCUAGUUGUCGCAGUUGGGACAGGGGCACCAUGUUUUUUGCUGGCCAUUUGCAAAUGCGGCUCUCAAAAACCCCCUGGUUUUUGUUAACCAUUCAUGGGUCAUGUCUUUCUGACAAGGGUGACCAGUGUACAUCCAAGCACAAUCACUCAUCUUGCCUAGCUACCUAUGGGCACACAAGAAAUAAAUAUAUAAUUCAUAAUCUAUAUUCAUCCGCUAAUCAAGUUUGUCAGUUUUAUUACGUCCAUGCAACCUACACGCUGAUAGGUAAAGAUAGGUCCUAAUCCCACCCGAGUAUGUGUAGAUUGGGUUCGUUUUCCCAUCCUCUGCUCCAGAUCUGACGCAGAAUUUUGGCAGCACCUCCCUGCUGUUCUCCUGAUACACGUCUCGGCAAUAAGAAGAGAGGACAUGUACCCGGAGAAUAACAGGGAGGCACUGACAAAAUUCUGCAUCGGAUCCGGAGCACAACAUACGGGAAAACGAACCCAUUCUACAAAUACUCGGGCUGUCCAUGGAUAACAUUGGACAAUUGGAAAGGAUGUCGGUUAUAAAUAUGCAAAGACAUGCAUAUUUAUAGAUGUCGCCCUUUCGAACGGGAGACGCAUACCGGUCACACAUACUCAUGAUUGAAGAAACCUAUAGCUAGCAAGUUUCAUCGGCACGAAGACCGGAACAGAGAAAAUUAAGGGGGUAGGAGGAGAAGUCAUUUGUGCUCACGAGCAAAAAAGCAGGGGCGGAGCUCGUCCAACGCACGUGGAGGUCGUCGAACAACUGCACAUUGAACUUCACCCGAUCAACACAAAUGUGAUGUUUUUAUAACAUAAUCGGAAAAUAUGUGACCUAACUCAUAAUUUACAAAACUAUGACCCCGUCGUCCUCUGGAAGGCCGAAAAGCACCUUCUCGUUCAACAGGAGGCAGAAGAGGUGUCGGGGGUUGGGGCUUAGUGGCGUCGGAGUCAUUGCCGUCGAGGGUCGGUGGUGUCGGGUGUCGGUGGCGUCGGGGGUCGGGGGUUAGUUGCGUCGGUGGUCGGGGGUCAGUGUCGUCGGGGGUUAGUGUCGUCGGGGGUCAGUGUCGUCGGAGGUCGAUGGUGAGUGGCAUCGGGGGUCGGGGGUCUUUUCAGUCAAUAAGAGGCCGAAGAGGUGUCGGGGGUAGGGGUGGGGGGUCAGUGGCGUCGGCGGUCAGGGGUAGGGGGUCAGGGGUCAGGGGUCGAGGAUUAGUGGCGUCGGGGGUCGGGGGUCGAGGGUCAGUGGCGUCGGGGGUGAGGGGUCAAGGGUCAGUGGCGCCGGUAGUCGAGGGUCGGUGGCAUAGGGCGUCGGGGGUCGGGGGUCGGGAGUCGGGGGUCGGGGUUUAGUGGCGUCGGGAGUCGUGGGUCAGUGGCGUCGGGAGUCGAGGGUCAGUGGCGUCGGGGGUCGAGGGUCAGUGGCGUCGGGGGUUGGGGGUCAGUGGCGUCGGGGGUCGGGGGUCAGUGACGUCAGGGGUCGGGGGUCAAUGGCGUCGGGGGUCGAGGGUCGAGGGUCAGUGGUGUCGGGCGCCGGGGGUCGGGGGUCGAGGGUCACUGUCGGGGUGCCGGGGUUCCUUUUUGCUCUUCUUUCUUCUUCUCCUCUCUCCUCUUUUUCUUCUUCUUCUUCUUCUUUUUUCUCCUCCUCCUCCUCCUCCUCUUCUUCUUCUUCUUCUUAUUAUUAUUAUUAUUAUAAUUAUUUCUCCUCCUCCUCCUCCUCCUCUUCUUCUUAUUAUUAUUAUUAUUCUCCUUCUUCUUUUCCUUUUUCUUCUUCUAAUUAUUUUCUUCUUUUGCUUUUUUCUUUUUCAUUUUUUUCCUUCUUCUUUUCCUCUUUUUUUCUUCUAACCUAACUAACUAACCUAAUUAGCCUAAUAAUCUAACCUAAUAGACUAACCUACUAAACUAACUAAAUUAACCUAAAAUAAAAAACUAACCUAAUAAACUAACUAAAUUAAUUAACUUAAUCAAACAGAACAAGAAGAAGGACUCACCGGCAGUGGGCAGCGGGGCGACGUGGGCGGCGGUGGAGGACGACAGGGGGCGACAGGGCUGCCGUGAGGGCCGGAGCGGGCUAGGGUGGCCGGGGGCGGCUGUGGCGGCCAGGGCGGGGUGGUGGGCCGGAGCGGCUCCGACAUUGGCGGUGACGGCGGCGGCGGGUGGGCACGCGAGAGAGAGAGGGCCGGGCGAGAGAGAGAGAGCGGACAGGUGGUGGGCGCGAGAGCCGUUAGGGGAGGGACCGGGUGGGGGAUGUGUGCCAUUAGAGAGAGCCCACUUUGCCAUCUGCAAAGGCUGGGUGGCAGACGACAAAGGAGUGGGUGGGGUGGGGUGGGCUCCGGCCGUUUGGGUGGCGCCCCCUUUGUCGUCUGCCUCCCCUUUGUCGUCCGCCUUUGGUUCCUUUGCCGUCUGCAAGGCCUAUGGAAAAUAGAAAUUUUGCCUUAAGUGAUAUGUUUGCCGUCUGCUUCGUGCCACCUGACGGCAAAGUAGCUCUUUGCCAUGUGUCAGUAGACGGCAAAGGCAAGGCAGACGACAAGUUUCUGAAUUCCAGUAGUGAAUAAAGUAAAGUAAUCUCAUGGCGUUGCAUCUCAUACAAUAAAUUAAGACAACUCAUAUGGCUCCUGACGGUUGUCAUACUCAUCGACAUGCAAGUCGUGAAUCCUAUUACAAGAACAUGAUCAAUCUCAUACAUCACAUAUGUAACAUCACAUCCUUUUGGCUAUAUCACUGUUGGGGAACGUGGUAAAUUAAAAAAAUUCCUACGCCAUGCAAGGACCUAUCUAUGGAGAAACCAACAACGAGAGAGGUUAUAGAGCAUCUUCAUACCUUUGAAGAUCGCUAAGCGGAAGCGUUGCUAGAACGCGGUUGAUGGAGUCGUACUCGCAGAGAUUCAGGAUUCAGAUCUAUGCCUCCGCGUUCAACACACGUGCAGCCCGGUGACAUCUCCCAUGCCUUGAUCCAGCAAGGAGGAGGGAGAGGUUGGGGAGGAGCUCCGGCAACACGACGGCGUCGUGACUGUGGAGCUAUGUGGUACUCCGACAUAGCUUCACUAAGCACUACGGAGGAUGAGGAGGAGGAGGAGUAUGGCUGCACUGUGGAGAGAUAAAUUGUGUGUCUCAAAAGGACAAAACCCUCCACUAUAUAUAGGAGGAGAGGAAGGAGGUGCCUGCUCCUGGCUACGCCUGUAGGGAUUUCCUUGGCAAAUAUGCAAAGUAUUCCCCCGCGGCCUUGGAGCCUUGUGUUGGUGUUCCCUUGAAGAGGAAAUGGUGAUGUAGCACGGCGGCGGUAAGUAUUUCCCUCAGUUUGUGAACCAAGGUAUCAAUCCAGUAGGAGAAUCGCGUCAAGUCACAAGUACCUGCACAAACACAAGGAGCUUGCACCCAACGCUAUGAAGGGGUUGUCAAUCCCUUAUAGAUUGUUUGCAAAGUGAGCACUGAAAGCAAAAAAGUAAACAAAGCAAAGUAAAAGUAAAAGCUGAGAUGAUAGUUGUGAAUAGACCCGGGGGUCGUAGUGUUCACUAGUGGCUUCUCUCAUGAAAGCAAGUAGACGGUGGGUGAAUGAAUUAUUGUCGAGCAAUUGAUAGAACCGCGCAAAGUCAUGACGCUAUGUAUGGAAAUGAUCAUAUCUAUAGGCAUCACGUCCAAAACAAGUAGACCGAUACUUUCUGCAUCUACUACUAUUACUCCACACGUCGACCGCUAUCCAGCAUGCAUCUAGUGUAUUGAGUUCCUAAGAACAGAGUAACGCCUUAAGCAAGAUGACAUGAUGUAGAUGGACAAUCUCAAAUCUAUGAUGAAAGCCCAUCUUGUUACCCUUGAUGGCAACAACAUGAUGCGUGCCUUGUUGCCCCUUCUGUCAUUGGGAAAGGUCAUCGCACGGUAUGAACCCAAAACCAAGCAGUUCUCCCAUUGUAAGAAUCAUAGGUCUAGUUGGCCAAACAAAACCCAAGACUCGGAGAGACUUACAAGGAUAUAAAAUCAUGCAUAUAAGAAAUCAGCAAAGACUCAAAUAUAAUUCAUAGAUAAUCUGAUCACAAAUCCACAAUUCAUCGGAUCUUGACAAACACAUCGCCAAAGAGGAUUACAUCGGAUAGAUCUCCAUGAAGAUCAUGGAGAACUUUGUAUUGAAGAUCCAAGAGAUAGAAGAAGCCAUCUAGCUACUAGCAACGGACCCGUAGGUCUGAAGUGGACUACUCACGAGUCAUUCGAGAGGCAAUGAUGUUGAUGUAGAAGCCCUCCAGCUCCAAAGUCCCCUCCGGCAGGGCACCGGGAAGGGUCUCCAGAUGAGAUCUCGCGAAAACGGAAGCUUGCGGUGGCGGAAAAGUGGUUUCGUGGACGCCCUGAUUUUUUCUGGGAUUUUAGGGAAUAAAUAGGCCAAAGAGCUAGGGCAGGGGAGCUCCCGGGGGGCCACAAUCCUGGUAUCCGCGGGCCCCCUAGCCGCGGCUACAGGGCUUGUGGGCCCCCUGUGGGCCUCCUGCGUUGGCCCUCAAGUCCCCCGAUCUUCUUCUGUUCUAGAAAAAUUUAUUUUGGGGAUUUUAUUCGGUUUGGACUCCAUUCCAAAAUCAGAUCUGAAAAGAGUCAAACACACAGAAAAACAAGAACUGACACUGAAUUAAUAAGUUAGUCCCAAAAAAGAUAUAAAAGGUAUAUAAAACAUCCAAAGUUGACAGGAUAACAUCAUGAAACCAUCAAAAAUUAUAGAUACGUUUGAGACAUAUCAAGCAUCCCCAAGCUUUAACUCCUGGUCGUCCUCGAGUAGGGAAGUGAUAAAGAAUGAAUUCUUUAUGCUUUCAUGCUACCUAGCAUAGAUGACCUUUGUAACUCCUCUUAUGUGACAUGAAUGUUCAGAUCCGUUAGAUUCAAAACAAUAGUUUUCUAUUGACGUGGAGACAAUAAUACUUCAAGCAAACUAGCAAGGUAAUCAUGAACUUUCAUAAUAACAAGGCCAAAAGAAAGUUAUCCCUACAAAAUCAUAUAGUCUAGCUAUGCUCUAUCAUCCUUGCACAACGAAUUUAAAUCAUGCACAACCUCGGUAUUGGCCAAGCAAUUUUUUUCACACCUUUACUUUCUCAAACCUUUUCAACUCUCACGCAAUACAUGAGCGUGAGCCAUGGUUUUAGCACUAUAAGUGGAAUGGACUGUGGCGGAGGUUGCAAGACAAAUAAGGAGAAGAUGGUCACAUUGACUAGGCAUAUCAAUGAGCUAUGGAGAUGCUCAUCAAUAGAUAUCAAUGUGAAUGAGUAGGGAUUGCCAUACAAAUGACGCACUAUAGCUAAGAGUAUGUGAAAGCUCUUAAAGAAAACUAGUGGGUGUGCAUCCAACUUGCUUGCUCACGAAGACCUAAGGAAUUUUGAGGAAGCCCAUCAUUGGAAUAUACAAGCCAAGUUAUAUAAUGAAAAUUUCCCACUAGCUAUAUGGUGGUGACAAAACGAGAGACUCUCAAUCAUGAAGAUCAUGGUGCUUAAUAUGAAGCACGAGUGUGGAAAGGAGAUAGUAGCAUUGUCCCUUCUCUGUUUUUCUCUCAUUUGUUUUUUGGUGGGCUCUUUGGCCUCUUUUUUUCUUUUUUUUUCUUUUUUAUUUUGGUGGGAAUCUUUGGCCUCUUUUAUUUCCUCACAUGGGACAAUGCUCCAUCAAUGAUGAUCAUCACACUUACAACUCAAAACUUAGAGCAAUGAUGACUCCAUAUGGAAUGCCUUCGGUAGUGUACCGUGACAAUGAUCUAGCAUGACAUAGACAUCAAUGGAAACAUCAUGCUAGCUAUCUUAUGAUCAUGCAAUGGCAAUGUAGAAGCUGUGGCACAUGUCAUGGUGGUAGUUGCAUGGCAAUAUAUCUCGGAAUGGCUUUGAAAAAGCCAUAGUAGGUAGGUAUGGUGGCUGUUUUCAGGGAGGCUAAUGGUGGGUUUUAUGCACCGGCAAAAGUUGCACGACACUAAAGAAGAUAGUGAUGGUGGAAGGUGAAAGUGCAUCUAAACCAUGGACUCAACAUUAGUCAUGAAGAAUUCAUAUACUUGUUGCAAAAGUAUUAGUAGUAAUCGAAACAAAGCAUUCAACGCAUACUCCUAGGGGAAGGGUUGGUAGGUAUAAACCAUCACGCGAUCCUGACCGCUACACAAAGGAUGACAAUCAAUAAACUAAUCAUGCUCAGACUUCAUCACAUAGAGGUUCACCAUACGUGCAUGCUACGGGAAUCACUAACUUCUACACGAGUAUUUCUAGAUCCACAACACCUUACUAGUACAACUUCAAUAUUACCACAACCACAACUCAAAACUAAUGGAGAUGAAUCCAACUUCUCUAACUACUCAAUGCACAUGAAGGUGGAAGUUUUCAUAUCCCUUUGGAUAACUACCACUUUUGAGACUACUUUCAUAGCAUAGAUCAACUACCACGCCAUGCACUACCGUGCUCCAAAAGAUAGAAGUGAAACACACAGAGCAAAAUCAACUAGCUCAAAAGAUAUAAGUGAAACACGUGUGAGCUGAAUUGUCCAACCAAAGGAUAUAAGUGAAGCUCGACAAAAUCACGAUGAGUGCAUGUCUCUCUCUCUCUAGGUGUGCAGCAAGGAAGAUUGUGACACAACAAAAAUAAAAGACUCCUAUGAUACAAGAAGCUCCAAGCAAAACACAUAACAUGUGGUGAAUAAAAAUAUAGCCCCAAGUAACGUUACCGAUGGAUUGAAGACGAAAGAGGGGAUGCCUUCCUGGGGCAUCCCCAAGCUUAGGCUUUUUCGGCAUCCUUGAAUCAACUUGGGGUGCCUUGGGCAUCCCCAAGCUUGAGCUCUUGCCACUCUUUAUCUCUUUGUCCAUAAGAACUUCACCCAAAACUUGAAAACUUCACAACACGAAACUCAAACAGAAACUCGUGAUAUCAUUAGUAUAAGAAAGCAAAUCACCACUUAUUUAGGUACUGAAGCAAACUUAAAUUCUACUUAUGUUCAUGUUGGGUUACUGUAUUUUCAAUCUUCCAUGGAUAAUACCCCCUGAUACUAUCCAUUGUUUCAUCAAAAUAAGCAACCAACUCAACAAAAACAGAAUCUGUUAACAGCAGACCAGUCUGUAGAAAUCUGUAUACUUCGUAUACUUCUGGUACUUCAAACAUUUUGAACAAUUACGACAGUCUGAAGAAUUUGCGUAGCAAUCUGCAACAAAAAGAAUCAACUCAAAAUCUCUCACAGAAAAACAAUGAAAAUUCUUUUUGUGAGCAGAAAGUUUCUGUCUUUUCCUGCAUGAUCAAACGAUCACCCCCAAGACUAAUCAUUACGGUUUUACUUAGGACAAACGCAAAAGAAACACAAAAAACACAAUCAUAACAUAAUUAUGAAAGUGUGGAAAACAUAAAACAGAAAGAAAAAGGAUAGAUUCGUUGUGUUGCCUCCCAACAAGCGUUAUUGUUUAGCGCCCUUAGCUAGGCAUAAGGUGAUGGAAUCACGUAUAGUCAUCUUUGGUGCUCAAACCAUAAGUAGCCCUCAUCAUAGAUUCAUAAGACAAUCUUAUUUUCUUUCUAGGAAAAUGCUCCAUGCCCUUCUUUAGAGGAAAUUGAAAUCUAAUAUUCCCUUCCUUCAUAUCGAUGGUAGCACCAAUAGUCCUUAGGAAAGGUCUACCAAGAAUAAUGGGACAUGAAGGAUUGCAAUCUAUGUCAAGUACAAUGAAAUCCACUGGUACAUAGUUCUUAUUUGCAACAAUAAGAAAAUAAUUGAUCCUUCCCAUGGGUUUCUUGACAGUAGAAUCCGCAAGAUGCAAAUUAAGAGAANNNNNNNNNNNNNNNNNNNNNNNNNNNNNNNNNNNNNNNNNNNNNNNNNNNNNNNNNNNNNNNNNNNNNNNNNNNNNNNNNNNNNNNNNNNNNNNNNNNNNNNNNNNNNNNNNNNNNNNNNNNNNNNNNNNNNNNNNNNNNNNNNNNNNNNNNNNNNNNNNNNNNNNNNNNNNNNNNNCAAAGCAUUGCAUUCAUAGUUUUUGAUUUUGAUUUUGAUAGUAGGUUCCCACUCAUCAUGAAGUUUUCUGGGUAUAGAGACUUUUAAUUCGAGUUUCUCUUCAAGAGAUUUCAUCAUAGCAUCUAUGAUAUGUGCGGUAAAGGCUUAGCUUUGGCUACAAGCAUGUGGAGAGUUUGCAAUGGAUUGCAUCAAGGAAAUGCAUUCAAACAAGGAGCAAUUAUCAUAAGUGAAUUCCUUGAAAUCCAAAGUGGGAGUUUCAUUACUACCCAGUAUUUUGAUUUCUUCUACUCCACUCUCCACACCUUUAUCACCAAGAUAGGUGGACUCCGAAUCAUUGGGGCGUUUUUCAACCAAAGUGGAUUCAUAUCCAGCCCCUUCAUCAAUAGGUUUGACACGCGAAAACAAAGAUUCAAGAGGAGUCACACCAAGCACUUCGUGAUUUGCAUCACUAGAACGCACCCUUUUAAACCAUUCAUACUUAACGUGAAUUUGGGUGGUUCUUUCUUUACUCUCAUUCAUGGAGACACGCAUAGAUUUCAAAGUUUCAUCCAAGUUAACCUUGGGAGGAGCACAUCUAAUUUCAAAGCAUCAAUAUCACAAGACAUCCUAUCAACGCUCUUAGCCAAAUCGUCUAUUUUGAGUAGUUUUUCCUCUAUGGACGCAUUGAAAAUCUUUUGAGAGUUGAUGAACUCUUUGAUAUUACUCUCUAAAUCAGAGGGUAAUUUGUUAUGAUUUCCAUAAGUGUUGUUGUAGGAAUUGCCAUAGUUGUUAGAGGAGUUACUAGGAAAAGGCCUAGGAACAUAGUUUCCUCUAAAAGCAUUGUUGUUGCCAAAAUUGUUCCUACCAACAAAAUUAACGUCCAAACUAGCGUUGCUACUCUCAAUCAAGGAAGAUAGUGGCAUGUCAUUAGGAUCUAAAGGAGCAUUUAUACUAGCAACCAAAUUCACCAACUCGUCCAUCUUAGCACUAAGCGAGUUAAUUUCUUCUAUAGCGUGUACCUUUUUGCUAGCAGGUGACCUUUCAGUGUGCCACUGAGAGUAGUUGGUCAUGAUAUUGUCUAGGAGUUUUGUAGCGUCUCCUAACGUGAUUUCCAUGAAUGUUCCACUUGAGGCGGAGUCCAAGAUGUUGCAAGAAGCAAAAUUCAAACCAGCGUAAAAGAUUUGUAUAAUCAUCCACAAACUCAAGCCAUGAGCGGGACAAUUUCUAAUCAUUAAAUUCAUCCUCUCCCAAGAUUGUGCAACGUCUUCAUGAUCAACUUGCUUGAAAUUCAUGAUAUCGUUACGGAGAGAGAUAAUCUUAGCCGGCGAAAAAUACUUGGAUAUGUAAGCAUCUUUGCACUUAUUCCAAGAAUCGAUACUAUUUUUAGGCAAAGAAGGAAACCAAGUUUUUGCACGAUCUCACAAAGAGAAGGGAAAAAGCUUCAAUUUAACAACAUCAUUAUCCACAUCUUUCUUCUUUUGCAUAUCGCAGAGUUCAACGAAAGUAUUAAGAUGGGAUGCGGCAUCUUCACUAGGAAGGCCAGAAAAUUGCUCUUUCAUAACAAGAUUCAGCAAGGCAGCGUUGAUUUCAUAUGAUUCCGCACUAGUGGCGGGAGCAAUCGGAGUACUAAUAAAAUCAUUAUUAUUAGUAUUCGAGAAGUCGCAAAGUUUGGUGUUUUCAGCCAUGAUGACUUCAACAAACAAACAAGAACACAAGCAAGCAAGAAAACUGGCAAAGGAAAACGGCAAAAGGCAAAUGAAAACAGCAAAGGAGAAAGGCAAAUGAAAACGGCAAAUGUGAAGUGGGGGAGAGGAAAACAAGAGGCAACUCGCAAAAAAGGUAAAUGCAAGAGAUGAGUUUGUGACACUUACUUGGAUAGAUCUUGACUUGAUCUCCCCGGCAACGGCGCCAUAAAUCCUUCUGCUGCUGGCUACGCCUAUAGGGAUUUCCUUGGCAAAUAUGCAAAGGAUUCCCUCGCGGCCUUGGAGCCUUGCGUUGGUGUUCCCUUGAAGAGGAAAGGGUGAUGUAGCACAGCGGCGGUAAGUAUUUCCCUCAGUUUGAGAACCAAGGUAUCAAUCCAGUAGGAGAAUCGCGUCAAGUCACAAGUUCCUGCACAAACACAAAGAGAUUGCACCCAACGCUAUGAAGGGGUUGUCAAUCCCUUAAAGAUUGUUUGCAUUGAAAGCAGAAAAGUAAACAAAGCAAAGUAAAAGUUGAGAUGAUAGUUGUGAAUAGACCCGUGGGCCGUAGUGUUCACUAGUGGCUUCUCUCGUGAAAGCAAGUAGACAGUGGGUGAACGAAUUACUGUCGAGCAAUUGAUAGAACUGCUCAAAGUCAUGACGUUAUCUAUGGCAAUGAUCAUAUCUAUAGGCAUCAGAUCUAGUUGGCCAAACAAAACCCAAGACUCGGAGAUACUUACAAGGAUAUCAAAUCAUGCAUAUAAGAAAUCAGCAAAGACUCAAAUAUAAUUCAAAGAUAAUCUGACCACAAAUCCAUAAUUCAUCAGAUCUCGACAAACACACCGCCAAAGAGGAUUACAUCGGAUAGAUCUCCAUGAAGAUCAUGGAGAANNNNNNNNNNCCGCCAAAGAGGAUUACAUCAGAUAGAUCUCCAUGAAGAUCAUGGAGAACUUUGUAUUGAAGAUCCAAGAGAGAGAAGAAGCCAUCUAGCUACUAACUACGGACCCGUAGGUCUGAACUGGACUACUCACGAGUCAUUGGAGAGGCAAUGAUGUUGAUGUAGAAGCCCUCUAGCUCCAAUGUCCCCUCCGGCAGGGCACCGGGAAGGGUCUCCAGAUGAGAUCUCGCGGAAAUGGAAGGUUGCGGCGGUGGAAAAGUGGUUUCGUGGACGCCCUGAUUUUUUCUGGUAUUUUAGGGAAUAAAUAGGCCAAAGAGCUAGGGCAGGGGAGCUCCAGGGGGGCCACAAGCCUGGUAGCCGCGGGCCCCCAUGGCCGCGGCUACAGGGCUUGUGGGCCCCCUGUGGGCCUCCUGCCUUGGCCCUCAAGUCCCCCGAUCUUCUUCUGUUCUGGAAAAAUUUAUUUCGGGGAUUUUAUUCCAUUUGGACUCCGUUCCAAAAUCAGAUGCGAAAAGUGUCAAAAACACAGCAAAAACAGGAACUGGUACUUGGCACUGAAUUAAUAAGUUAGUCCCAAAAAAGAUAUAAAAGGUAUAUGAAACAUCCAAAGUUGACAGGAUAACAGCAUGAAACCAUCAAAAAUUAUAGAUACGUUUGAGACGUAUCAGUGCCCACCCUUAGGGUUCCCACCCUAAGGGGUGCGGCAGCCCCAUCUAGGGCAAGGGGGCGAGGCCAAGGGGUGGAGGCGCCCUAGGAUUCGCCUUUGGGCCCAAGGGUGCCCUCCCACGCCUAGGGUUGGCCCUCCCCCACCCUUAUGCGCCUUGGGCUGAGCGAGGGAGGCGCACCAGCCCACUUUGGGCUGGUUCCCUUCCACCUUUUAGCCCAUGUACCCUUUUGGGGCUGGUGGCCCUUGUCGGUGGACCCUCGGAACCCUUCCGAUGGUCCAUGUACAUUACCAGUGACGCUUGAAACAUUUCCUGCGUCCAAAUCCUCACUUCCUACAUAUCAAUAUUUACCUCCGGAUCAUUCCGGAGCUCCUCGUGACGUACGGGAUCUCGUCCGGGACUCCAAACAACCUUCGGUAACCACGUACACUAUUUCCCUAUAACCCUAGCGUCUUCAAACCUUAAGUGUGUAGACCUACGGGUUCGGUAGACAUGCAGACAUGACCCAGACACUUCCCUGGUCAAUAACCAACAGCAGGGUCUGGAUAUCCAUGUUGGUUCCCACAUGUUCCACGGUGAUGUCAUCGGAUGAACCAUGAUGUCAAGGAUUCAAUAAAUCCCGUAUGCAAUUCCCAUUGUCUACCGGUAUGAUACUUGCCCGAGAUUCGAUCGUCGGUAUGCCUAUACCUUGUUCAAUUUUGUUAUCGGGAAGUCUCUUUACUCGUUCUGUAACACAUCAUCCCAUGGCUAACCCCUUAGUCACAUUGAGCUCAUUAUGAUUAUGGAUUACCGAGUGGGCCCAGAGAUACCUCUCCGUCACACGGAGUGACAAAUCCCAGUCCGAUUCGUAUAACCCAACAAACACAUUCAGAGAUACUCGUAGUGCACCUUUAUAAUCACCCAGUUACGUUGUGACGUUUGAUACACCCAAAGCACUCCUACGGUAUCCGGGAGUUGCACAAUCUCAUGGUCUAAGGGAACGAUACUUGACAUUAGAAAAGCUUUAGCAGACUAACAACACGAUCUAGUGCUAUGCUUAGGAUUGGGUCUUGUCCAUCACAUCAUUCCCCAAUGAUGUGAUCCCGUUAUCAAUGACAUCCAAUGUCCAUGAUCAGGAAGCCAUGAUCAUCUAUUGAUCAAUGAGCUAGCCAACUAGAGGCUCACUAGGGACAUAUUGUGAUCUAUAUAUUCACACAUGUAUUAUGGUUUCCGGGUAAUACAAUUAUAGCAUGAAUAAUAGACAAUUAUCAUGAACCAGUAAAUAUAAUAAUAACCACUUUAUUAUUGCCUCUAGGGCAUAUUUCCAACAAAUACAAUUAUAGCCUGAAUAAUAAACGAUUAUCUUGAAGCAGGAAAUACAAUAAUAACUAUUUUAUUAUUGCCUCUAGGGCAUAUUUCCAACAAUAGAUGUCCUCUGUGACCGAUCCCCCCUCCGACAGGGCAUCAGAAUACGUCUCAAGACGGACACAUGAUGAAACAGAAGCAUGCGGCGGUGGAAAAAGUGUUUUCGGAGGCUAUCUAUGGUUUUGCACAUAUAUGAGAAUUUAUAACAAAGCGAUCAGGGCCACACGAGCUAGGAGGUGUCCCAAAUCCAUCAAGGCGCGACCAUCCCCCUAGGCGCACCAUGUUGGCUUGGGGGAACCUCAUGUGCCCUUUGGUACUCCUCCAUAACUUCCAGGUCUUAUUUUUGUCCAUAAAGAAUCAUCAAAAAAAUUCAGGGUAUUUGGACUUCGUUUGGUACAAAAUUCCUCAAAGGCCAAAAACAUGCAAAGAACAACAACUAGCACUUGGCACUAUCAUACAUCCAUUAUCCAUCAUGAAUCCUUAUUGAUACUUAUGUUAUUCUUGUCCAUUAUUCCUCAUUAUGAUACAAUUCUUGUGUCUUUUCUCUAUGAAUAUGCAAGGUACACCACGAAGAGGGAAACUAACAAAAACUGGAAUUCCUGACGUGAAAACCAAGAAAAAAGGUGAGAAAUCACAAGACUCCAAAUGGCCUGAAAUUUCACGAAGAAAUUUUGUGGAAUAUAAAGGGUUAUUGGGCCAAAAAUAUACCAAAGGGGGCCACGAGCAAACAUGGCGCAACCACCCCCUCGUCGCGCCAUGUUGCCUCGUGGUGGCCUAAUAGGUAUCUCGACCCACCUCUUCUCCUAUAUGGUGUGUUUUGACCUAGAAAAAAUCACAAGCAUACUUUCGGGGUGAAGCGUUGCUGUCUCGAGGCGGAAAAUUGAGCAUAGUCCCUUUUGCUCUCUAAUAGAGAGAUUCUGCCUCAGAAAUUCCUCUCGAGGAGGGGGAGAUCGAAGUCAUCGUCAUCGCUAAUUCUCCCUCCUUCAUGGGAGGACAAAUAUUCAUCAACAUCUGCACUAGCACCAUCUCAUCUCCAACCCUAGUUCAUCUCUUGUAUUCAAUAUUUGUCUCAAAACCUCAUAUUGGUACGUGUGGGUUACUAGUAAUGUUGAUUACAUCUCGUAGUUGAUGCUUGUUGGAUUACUUGGUGAAAGAUAUUAUGUUCAGAUCCUUAAUCACCAUUAUUAUACCUCUAAUCUUCAACAUGUUAAUGAGGUGUGAGUAGUUACUGUUGUUAUUGAGGACAUGGGAGAAGUCUUUUUAUAAGUAAUCAUGUGAUGUUGGUAGUUGUUCGAUAUUUUGAUGAUGUGUAUGUUGUUGCUUCUCUUAGUGGUGUCAUGUGAACAUCGACUACAUGGCACUUCACAUGUUACAGGCCUAAGGGAAGGCAUUUCGGAGUAACAAGUAGAUGAUGGCACUAUGCCACGGUCAAGAUUUAGUGACAGAUCAAUCUGUUGGCAUAGGGUACCUUUGCCGACACAUAAAUUGUAGCUAACACCUAUGCCGACACAGGAUAAAAUAGUCGGAGGAAUCGUUGUGGGCAAAGGUAUCACCAACAUUUGUUUACUUUCUUACACAUAUUUAGUCGGCAUACACCCUACCUUUGGCGACACAUUUUCAGUCUGCUUACACCCUACCUUUCUCGACAUUUGAUUUGUGGGUAUACAACCUACCUACCCCGACAUUUGAUUUGUGUGCAUACACCCUAACUUUGGCGACACUUAAUACGUCACAUUAGAUACAUACCUUUUCCAACAUUUAAUAUGUCACGCAGCAACAGGCAGCAGGGCGACAUCAGCUCCGACAGUAGUAGCUCCGGCAGCAGCAGCUCCUGCAACAGAUGGCAACAGGGCGACAACAACUUCGGUAGUAGCAGCUCGGUGACAGCAACUCUGGCAACAGCAGCUCCUGCAGCAGCAGCUCUAGCAACAGAUGGCAGCAGGGCGACAGAAGCAGCUCCGGCGGCAGCAGUUAUGGCAGUAGGGCUCUAGCAGCUCCGGUAGCAGCAUGCGAGAGGUGGAGCUCGAGGCCGGCGCGCGAGGGAGGCCAGCUCAUGGGCGAUGCCGGCGUGCGAGGGAGGCCGAUGCGUGAGGUGGAGCAUGCGAGGUGGAGCGCGUGGGAGUUGUAGCGCGUGGGAGGCUGGCGGCAUGGGAGGUGGAGCAUGAGGCCGGUGGCACAGGAGGUGGAGCCUGAGGCACGAGUAGGGUUGGGGUUGACUGGAUUUGUGGGAUAUUUUGCUCCUGAGCCAAAAAAUUCAUCCUCGCGCCUAAAUCACGCGCCAAAUUCAUGACCAUCCGUGUUUUGACACAUGUCGACCUACGCUGACACUUAGUCCGUGUGCAUACACCCUACCUAUGCCGACAAUUUUAAUGUCAUUAAGUGCGUGUAUACGUCGACUGAUAAACUGUUAAGGGACAUACAUAUGUCGACACAUACUGUGUUGUACAAGAAAUGCCAACACAUACAUUGUAGCUUUGUGGUUGCCGACACUUAUUGUGUUAACGAUGAUGUAACCUUACUGACACAUGAUCCGAAGGCAAAACUUAAAAGCUAUGCUGACAGUUAUUUUGUGGGCAUUAGUGGACCUUUGCCAAUAGAAUGGUGUCACCUAAGCUCUACCGUGGUGUAGUGUGGGUUGCGAGAGUGACAGAAGCUUAAACCCCAGUUUAUGCGUUGCUUCAUAAGGGGUUGAUCUGGAUCCACAUGUUUCAUGCUAUGGUCGGUUUUAUCUUAAUUCUUCUUUCGUAGUUGCGGAUGCUUGCACGAGGGGGUAAUCAUAAGUGUCUUUCUUGUUCAAGUAAGAACAUCACCUUAGCACGGGUGCACCCACACAUCAAAUUAUCAAAGUAGCGAAUGUGAAUCAACUCAACAUGAUGAACAUGACUAGACAGUAAUUCCCAUGUGUCCUCUGGAGCGUGUGCUUUAUAUAGGAGUACUUUCGGGAUUGUCCUUUGCUACAAAAGGAUUGAGCUACCUUUCUGCACAUUUUAUACUAUUGUUAUUUGUCACUUGUUAUGAAUUAUCUUACUACAAAACUAUCUAUCACUCUUACUUACAACACUUGUGGAGAAUACCAUGCUGAAAACUGCUUGUCAUUUGCUACUCCUCCUCAUUGGGUUUGACACUCCUGUAUACUUGUGGGUCAUCAAGACUCUUUUAUGGCACCGUUUUCGGGGAGUGCAGCGCCUUUGGUAAGUGGAAAUUGGUAAGGAAACAUUUUUGGUACGUGCCGAAAUUUACUAUUGCUUGUUACUAUGGACGGUUACCCUUUGAGUGACUUGUUCGGGGCAUCUUUUCCUUGAAUGAAAGUUGAAAAGGUUUCUCCUCAACGUACUGAACCUACUGAAAAUAUUUAUUAUGAGAUUCCUUUGGGUAUGCUAGAUAAACUGAUAGCUAAUCCUUAUGAUGGGACAACUUAUCCUGAUUACCACUUGAUAUAUGUCGAUGAGGUUUGUGGAUUAUUUAAGCUUGCAGAUUUGCCUAGAGACAAAGUUAAGAAGAUUUUUUUUUCCUUUAUCUUUGGAGGGAAAAGCAUUGAUGUCUUAGAUGGUAUUGGAUGAUAUUGGAUCAUGGGAAUGGAAUCGCUUAAAGCUAGAAUUUCAUUAGAAGUUUUAUCCUAUGCAUCUAAUUCAUCGUGAUCGGAACUUUAUUUAUAAUUGUUGGCCUCAUGAAGGAGACAACAUCGCUCAAGUUUGGGGAAGGAUUAAAUCUAUGAUGCACACCUUCCCCAAUCAUGAUCUCUCAAGAGAAAUGAUUAUACAAAAAAAGUUAUUUUCGACUUUCUCAUAAUGAUCAAGUACAACUCGAUUCUUCUUCUACUAGUUCUUAUAUGAAAUACUAUUGAAUUCAAAUGUGAUCUUCUGGAAAGAAUUGAACAAAACUACGAGGACUUGGAAUUCGACAAAGGUAAAGAGCUAAGUAUAAAUCUUAAGUUUGAUUAUGUUAAAUGUUUUAUGGAAACCGAUACUUUUCAUAAGUUUAGUAAUAAAUACGGGCUUGACUCUGAGAUAGUAGCUACUUCAUGUGAAUCAUUUGCUACUCAUAUUGAUCUCCCUAAGGAGAAGUGUUUUAAAUAUCAAUCACCUAUUGAAAAAUUAUAAGAGGAACCAUUAAAUUUAAAUAGGAAGCAAUUGUUUAUCGUGUUGAUCCAGUUGUACCUACUGCUUAUAUCGAGAAACCGCCUUUUCCUAUUAGGAUUGGGGAACAUGCUAAAGCUACAACUAUGGUUAAUAAAAGUUAUUUUAGAACACCCCAAACCUUCUAAAUAAAUAAAUGUGGAGCCUAAUAUUGUUGUAAUUGAAGAUAUUUUGGUUGAUAAUAUUGAUGGGUAUGUUAUUUACUUCUGUUCUAAAGCUCCUAGAAUUGCAAAGCCUAUUAGAAAUGAACAGGACAAGCUAGAUAAAAACAAACCAAUCGUUGGCAUGCCUACUGUUUCUGUUAAGAUGGGAGAUCAUUGCUAUCAUGGUUUAUGUGACAUGGGUGCUAGUAUUAGUGCAUACCUUUUACCUUAUACAAAGAAAUUAUGAAUGAUAUAACACUCUCUGAGAUUGAAGAUAUUGAUGUCACUAUUAAACUUGCAAACCGAGAUACUAUCUCGUCGCUUGUUAUUGUUAGAGAUGUUGAAGUCUUGUGUGUAAAAGUCAGUACCCCACCGACUUCUUAGUACUUGGUUCUGAACAAGAUAACUUUUGUCCCUUUUAUUUGGUAGACCUUUCCUGAAUACUAUUAAUGCUGAAAUUAAUUGUGUCACACAGGAAGUUAUAGUAAGCUUUGCUAAUGAGUCUCAUGAAUUUAAUUUCACUAAUGGUAGACAACCACAUGAGAAGGAGUUAUCUAGUAAAUUUGAAAUUAUUGGUCUUGCUUCUAUUGUUGUGCCUCGUACAUAUCCUUUAGAACGAUAUUUGCUAGAACAUGAGAACUAUAUGCAUAUGAAUGAAAUAAAUGAGAUAGAUGAUAUAUUCCUUAGACAAGCACUUAUCCUCAAACACAACUUACCUAUUGAUUGACACGUCUCCAACGUAUAUAUAAUUUUUGAUUGUUCCAUGCUGGUAUAUUAUCAUUCUUGGAUGUUCUACGAUCAUUUUAUAGCAACUUUAUAUCAUUUUGGGACUAACCUAUUGACAUAGUGGCUAGUGCGAGUUGCUGUUUUUUCCUUUGCCAAAAAUCCAUAUCAUAUGAGGUACAAUGCCAUGAAACUUUACCAAGAUUUUUUUUUGUACCAGAAGAAAACUUGGGAGCCAAGAAUGAGUAGCAGACGAGGACCAGAGGGGCCACUAGACAUCAGGGCGCGCGAGAGACCCUUGGCUCGACCCGAUGGCUAGUGGGGCCCUCGGGCACCUCCUCCACCGCCUCUAGGCUCUAUAAGUACCCCAAUACUAAAAAAAUCUAGGGGAGUCGACAAAAAUCAUUUCACCCGCCGCAAGUUCUAGAGCCAUGAAAUCCAAUCUAGAGCCCAUUCAGGAGAGGGACACAAUCAUGGAGGGGUUCACCAUCCUCAUUGGUGCUCCUCCGAUGAUGUGUGAGUAGUUCAUAUCAGACCUACGGGUCCGUAGGCAGUAGCUAGAUGGCUUUCUAUCUCAUUUUGUUUCUCAGUACAAUGGUCCCUUGGAGAUCCAUAUGAUGUAACUCUUUCUUUUGUGGUGUGUUUGUUGGGAUCCGAUGAAUUGUGAGUUUAUGAUCAGAUCUAUGAAAACAUAUUCAUGCUUGAUUAUUAUAGCCUCGUAUUUCUUCUCUGAUAUUUGGUUUUGGUCUGGCCAACUUGAUCUUUUAUCUUGCAAUGGGAACAGGUGCUUGGUGAUGGGUGCGAUCUUGCGGUGCUCAAUCUCAGUGACAGAAAGAGACAUGACACACAUGUAUCAUUGCUAUCAAGGAUAAAACGAUGGGGUAUAUUCAUACAUUAAUAGAUAUUGUCUACAUCAUCUCAUCAUUCUUAAGGCAUUACUCCAUUUCUCCACGAACUCAAUACACUAGAUGCAUGUUGGAUAGCGGUCAAUGUGUGGAGUAAUAGAAAUAGAUGCAGGCAGAAGUCAGUCUGCUUAUCUUGGACAUGAUGCCUAUAUACAUGAUCAUUGUCUUGAAUAUUGUCAUAAUUAUUUUCUCUUCUAUAAAUUACCCAACAGUAAUUUGUCUACCCACUGUUUGCUAUUUUCUCGAGAGAAGCCACUAGUGACACCUACGGCCGCUGGGUCUAUUCCACAUCAUCUAUUUGCAAUCUCUACCUUGCUAUUUGCGUUUCUACUUUAUUUACUCUUUUGUUUUCAGAUCUAUAUUAUCAAAAAAAACCAAAAAUAUGUUGCUGCAUUCUAUUUGCUAUCACUCUUUUUUGCAUCUAUCAAUCUAUCCUUACUUUACCCACGAGGGAUUGACAACCCCUCCACACGUUGGGUUGCGAGGAUUUUCUAUUUGUGUGCAUGUGCUGCUUAGAUAGUCUUGUGGAUCUUCCUAUUGGAUUGAUACCUUGGUUUCUUAACUGAGAGAAAUACUUGUUGUUGCUGUGCUACAUGACCCUUUAGGCUUGGAGGGAAACCAACGCAUCAGCGAGACUAAGCAAGAUUAAUGGCAGUUUUCCACGGAAGAUCAAGUCAAGAUCUAUCAGGUUCCUACACACAAAUCUCUUCUCCUUGCAAUUAUAUUAUUUGCCAUUUGCCUCUCGUUUUCCUCUCCCACACUUCACAAAAAAUUUCCUUUAUAUUUGCCUUAUUUUCGUUUGCCAUUUUCUUGCUGGAUCUCUUGUUUGCCUUAGUUUUUUCUUACAUAGUCCCGAUGACUCAAGAAAACACUAAGUUGUGUGAUUUUUCCAAUACCAACAACAAUGAUUUUAUUAGCACUCCUAUUGCUCCUCCCGCCACUAGUGCCGAGUUUUAUGAUAUUAAUGUCGCUUUGUUGAAUCUUGUUAUGAAAGAGCAAUAUUAUGGUACUCCUAAUGAGGACUCCGCGUCCCAUCUAAACACUUUCAUAGAAUUAUGUGAUAUGCAAAAUAAGAAAGAUGUGGACAAUGAUAUUGUCAAGCUGAAAUUAUUUCCCUUCUAUUUGUGUGUUCGUGCUAAAAUUUGGUUUUCAUCUAUUGUGAGAUUGAUAGAAGAGGCGUAUAGAGGGGGGGUGAAUAGACUACUUGCAUAAAUUAAAAUCCUAUCUUUUUCCCAAUUUAAUGGUUGGAAGAUUUUAGCGAUUCUAACAAGUCUAGUGGACCCUACACAUGCUAGUCAAGAAAUAUGGUAGCAGAAAGUAAAGACUUUGCACAUGUAGUAAGGAGUAGAGUUUAGGAAGAUGAAAGCAAAGAAGUUGAUACAGUGCUUUUUGGCAUGGUUCUGAUAGGUGGUGCUAUCAUACGUCCAUGUUAGCGGAGACUUCAACCCAGGGAGGGUAACGGUUGCGAGAGUCCAUGGAGGGCUCCACCCACAAGGGGUCCAUAAAUAAGCGGCCUUGUCUAUUCCACCACGGCUUCCGUCCACACAACACUAGCCUCACUCACGGUAGAUCUUCAAGAAGUAGGCGAUAUCCUUGCCCGUACAAACAUCUUGGUUCAACUCCAGAACACGAAUUAGGAGGAUCUCAAGCGACACCUAACCAAUCUAGGAGGCACCACCCUCCAAAAGGUAAUAGAUGUGGUAGAACGAUGAAUUCCUUGCUCUUGUGCUUCAAAAUAUAGUCUCCUCAACACUCAGUCACUCUAUCUCAGAUUUGGAUGGGGUAGGAGAGAUUGAUCUUGUGGAAAGCAACUUGGGGAGUCUAGAGAUCAAGUUUCAAAUGAUUGGAAUGGAAUCUCUCGAUCUCAACACAGGAGUAGGUGGCUCUCUCUCACAAAAAUGGAUCUGGAAAGUGUAAGUGUGUUCUGAGUGCUUUCUCUACGAAUGAGAGGUAGGUGGAGAUGUAUAUAUAGGCAUCCCAUAAAAUCCAACCGUUACAACACCGAAAUGAAUCUCGGUGGUACCAAGUUGCACUAAAUGUGGCAAUUUUCAAAUUCUCGGUGAGACUGAUAUAUAAAUAUCAGUGGUACCAAUAUUGGUGUCCUAGCAAGUUUUCAAAUCUCAGUUAGACCAAUUCUCAAAACUUGGUGGUACCAAUUCUUGAAAACGGCUAACCAGAGAGUUGGUCCAAAACUCGGUGAAGCCAAUUCUCAAACUCGGUGGUACCGAUUCUUGAAAAUUGCUUACCUAAAAGUUGGUCCAAAUCUUGGCGAGACCAAUUCUCAAAGUCGGUGGUACCGAUUCUUGAAAAUGGGUAACCAGAAGGUUGGUCACUGAUUUCGGUGGCACCAAAUGGAAUGUUGGUGGUACCGAGAUAUUAGGGUUUGGCAAAGGAUCUGUCAAGUGGAAAAUCGGUAGGGCCGAGUGGAAAUAGUUGGUGGCACCGAUUUUACUGGUUUGGCUUUGGAGAGAGAUAUUUUGUGGGAGAAUGGGUAAGUAUUUUUGGUGGCUACCUCUAAGCACUUGAGCAAGCAAUUCAUCAUAACACCUCACCCCCUUUUAAUAGUAUUGGCUUUCCUAUGGACUCAAAGUGAUUUCUCACAAAUGUAAAAUGCAGAGUCUUCUUGCUUGAAGCUUGAGCCAAUCCUAUUCCUUUCCUACAUCAGGAGGCUUCUCCUCAGAAUCCUUUAGCCAAGGUACUUUAUGGACUAUAUGUGAAAUAUACUAGGUAAAAGUGUUAGUCCAAGAGACAAUGUAUGUUGUCUGAAUUAUCAAAACCACCAAUGGAGCGUAUGUUCUUUCAAUCUCCCCUUUUUGGUAAUUGAUGAAAACAUACAAUCAAAGCUUCAAAUAAAUAUAGACAUUAGAAUAUGACAGCUUUGAAAGAUACAUGACUAGUACAAGCUCCCCCUAAAUGUGUGCAAACCCUUUUUAAUGGAUAGUUGCUUUGGAUUGCAGGGCACACACAUGAUAGAAGGACAACACACGCCAUGUAGAUCUUGGCUAUAUGCAUCAAACAUAUGUGAAUAAAAAACUUCCAUGUUCAAGACUCACCCUUGCAAACAAUAUGUGCAAGAGACAAGAGAUCAACAUGAACAAGGAUAUCAUGUGUAUACUUGUCUUGAGGUUCUUGAGCGUCUUAGAAGUAGGAGUACACUUGGGAAAACAAAUGUUAGAUAACACAAGAGUACUCUAUUGUAAAGAUGCAAAUAACUUCAAAAGUACCAAGAUAUGGAGAACAUAUGAGAAAUCUAUUUUGAUGAUAAAUAUGUCUCCAAGAAAAAUUAGAACUUUUACCCUAAAGAUGACUAUGUAAGAAUUUCCUCUACCCCUGAAUCAUAGCAUGUAGAUAUUGGGAGGAGGUAGGGUAAGACAAGUUCAAUCCAAAGAUAACAAUAAAACAAUUAUAUCUGAAGCAAUUUUAUAUCUCUCCCCCUCAAUGGUAUUACUCCCCUGAGUGUGUAAAGUUUAAUAUAUCUCCCUUUAGGUAGACCUUCCUUUAGGAACAAAUAUCUCCGCUCUUGAUAUUCCCCCUUAUGCAAACUUAUUGGAAGAUUUGAUAUUUCUCCCCCUUUGGCAUUAAUUUCCAAAAAGGUCACAGGGUAAGGGCUCAUUGAGAGAAAGGGAUCCUUGAUUCUUCUCUUUGAUAAGGGUUCCUUGAACUUGACUUUUCUCCCUCUUAAGAUUAGAUAAGAGUUCCUUGGACGAUCUCCCCCUAUAUUUGGGAUCCUUGAUGUUUCUCCCUCUUAUAUUGUAUGGGAUCACUCAGAUUUUCUCCCCCUAGAGAAGUCCCCCCCCCCUUGAAGAUAAUGCUAAAAUUAAUUUUGUUUCCCAAAAUGUUCAAUAAGAUCUUAGGAGGUAAUGAAAGUUGGGAACAUUGACAAUCUUUCUCCCCCUAAGGCAAAGCUCCAGAAAAUAUAUGAAAAUCGAGGGCAGUAAUAAAUUUUGGAGUCACGAGGCAAUAUAGUUUGGUAGAACCGAGAAUGAAAGCCGGCCUUUGGAAGAAAUCGGUUGGACCAAGUUUCCCAGAUCGGUGAAACCGAGUUGCAAUGAAAAUCAACUCUUUAACUUAAAGUAGAAAAACAAUAUCCACAAACUUUGAAAACGAAACUAUCCAAAGAUAAAAAUGAAAUAAGAGAAAACAUUAUUAUUAUUAUGUGUGUUUUUUGAAAAUAUAUACAUAUAUAUAUAUAUGAGAGUUGAAUGGUUCCAAGAAAGCAUGCAACAAAAAUGUGAACCAUACAAAAAUCUCCAUCUAGAUGUAGGGUGAUCACUAGUUCACCUAUACUAGAGUAUAUUGACUUGAGGAGUCAAACAAGAUUGCUUGAUCAUAGGUCAUACUUAUCAUUAAGUGCAAAAUGGGGUUACCAUUUUUCGAUUAAGCUUUUAAUGUCUUCACAUCACUUGAGUUGCUUUACCUCAUUACUUGGGGCAAAGCUUUAUCAAGGAUAUGAGUACAUACCUUCGAAUGAUGUUGAUGACGUGGCAUGUAGGUGAACUUGUCGUGGAUGCUCAGUGUUGAUGAAGAUCAUCUUGAGUUGGUAGCUAUCCAUGUAGUUUUGUUUCACUUUUCACCUACAGUGGUUAGUCAUGAAAGGAAGAACAUAAUAUAUCCAAAUGACAUGAGUGAAUUACGUCAUCAUAUAAUUGUCAACGAUAUGAUUUUGUUGUCUUCUUCUUCCAUCUCCAAAGAAGGGGUUGUUGAUACUUGGCCAUGUCAAGAUUGCUUUUGAUGUGAGUUGAUGGCAAUCUUGUGAAGUGUAUUUCUUCCAAGUACCUACAAAAGGGUUAGAUGCAAUACAAGGGAACAUAGUUUUCUAAGAUAUAAGAAUGUGUCAAAUCAAUAACAUGAUGGAAUGGACAAUCAAGCUCAUGCCCUUGCAUGCAUCCCAGUGAGUCUAGCUCAAGUUUGAAGCAUCAAUGAUGUUCAACUCACUCCUCAAAUGACAAAAUAAUUUCUCAUCAAGUGGUUUGAUAAAGAUAUUAGCUUAUUGUUUGUUGGUACAAACAUGCUUAAGAUCUAUAUCUCCUUUACCAACAUGAUCACGAAUGAAAUGUUGUCACAGUUGAAUAUGUUUUGUUCGAGGAUGUUGCACAAGACUAUAGGAAAUUUAGUAGAACUUUCAUUGUCACACAAUAAUGGAACAUUUUUUAACAUUAAUGCCAUAAUCCUUAAGAGUUUGAGUCAUCCAUAGUAAUUGCGCACAACAUGAUCCGGCGGCUAUAUAUUCAACUUCGAAAGUGGAUAAAGAUACUAUGUUUUGUUUCUUGGAUGACAAAGACACAAGAUAUCUUCCAAGAAAUUGACAUGUACCCGAGGUGGCUUUUCUAUCAACCUUGUCUCUGGCAUAGUCCGAGUCGGAAUAGCCAACAAUAUUAAAACAGGAUCCCUUGGGAUACUAUAUGCUAAAGUUUGGUGUAUGUAUCAGGUAUCUCACGAUUCUUUCCCAGCCAAUAGAUGACACUCUUUAGGUGCCGCUUGGUAUGGGCCACACAAGCAAACACUCAACAUGAUGUCAAGAUGGGAGGCACAAAGAUAUAGCAAUGAACUAAUCAUUGAUUGAUAAACUCUUUGAUCAACUAGUUUGUCCUCCUUAGUGAGGUCAAUAUGGCCACUAGUAGGCAUGGGGGUUCUCAUACCUUUGCACUCUUUCAUAUUGAACUUCUUGAUUAAGUCCUUGGUGUAUUUGGUUUGAGAGAUAAACGUACCUUCUCUCGAUUGUUUGAUUUGCAACCCAAGGAAUAAUUUGAGCUCGCACAACAUUGACAUCUCAUAUUUCUCUCACACCAACCUUCCAAAUUUCUCACUAAAAUGUGGGUUAUUAGAAGCAAAGGUAAUAUCAUCCACAUAUAUUUGGCACACAAAUAGUGCACCAUUAACUCUUUUAGUGAAUAAGGUUGCAUGAAUUUUACCAAUCUCAAAACCUUUUUCAAUGAGAAACUUCGUUAGGCAUUUGUACCAAGCUCUAGGGGAUUGUUUUAGACCAUAUAAAGCUUUACGAAGUUUGUAAACAUGAUUAGGUUUCUUGGGGUUCACAAAGCCGAGUGGUUGUUUGACAUAAACCUACUCCUCAAUUUCACCAUUUAGAAAAUCACUUUUGAUAUCCAUUUGGUAAAGAGUAGUAUCAUGGUGAUUGGCAUAAGCGAGAAGAAUGUGAAUGGCUUCAAGUCUAGCAAUAGGGGCAUAAGCCUCACCAUAGUCCAUACCUUCGACUUGGAUGUAUCCUUGGGCUACGAGACGAGCCUUGUUGCGUACAACUUGUCCAUCUUCAUAUUGCUUGUUUUGAAACACCCAUCUUGUACAGAUGAUGUUGUGCUCGUCUUCGGCCUUUUUAACAAGUGUCCACACUUGAUUCCUCUCGAAGUUGUGUAGCUCUCCUUGCGUGGCAUUCACCCAACCCGGGUCUUGAAGGGCUUAUUCUACCUUCAAAGGCUCAAUGCUAGAGAUGAAAGAGUAAUGCUCUCAAAAGUUAGCUAAACGAGAUUUAGAGAGAGUGAUUCUCCCGGCUUGUAUGUCACCGAAGAUUUGAUUUAGCAGAUGAUCUUUGUCCACUCUUGCUCGAACUCGUGUCAACUUAUUCUUGUUGGACGGUGGAGCUUCUUCAUCAUCAUCUUCUUGCACAUUGUCAUUGACGGUUCCAUCUCCUUGCGGUGGUGGUGAGGAAGGUUGAGGUGGAUCAUCACGAUGUACUUCUUCCUCUUCUUCAUCAUGUCGUGUAUCGCUUGUGGAUGCCUCCAUGUCGUUUUGUGGUUUGCCUUGAAUCGAAGUAGGAGUUUCCACUUGAGUUGACGAAGUACUUUCCUUCACCUCCAUGGGUCAAAUCUUGCCGAUAGGUAGAUCUUGGAUGGCUUGCGAAGGUUCCUUAUUUCCUACAUAAUUUGGCAAUUGUUCGACUUGAAAACCAUUAGAUUCAUCAAACUUCACAUCUACCGUCUCUUCAACUUUUCGAGUGAAGCUGUUGUAGACACGGUAAGUGUGAGAGUUUGAUCGGUAACCGAGUAGGAAACCUCCACGAUAUUUAGGAGCAAAUUUAGUGUGACUAUGCUUAUCAAGAAUGUAGCACUUUGAUCCGAAUACUCGAAAGUAUCCAACUUGGAGUUUGUUACCGGUGAGUUGCUCGUAUCCCGUUUUACCGAGAAGCUUGUGUAAUUAGAGUCAGUUUAUGGUCUGACAAGCUAUUUCCACGGCUUCUGCCCAAAUGUGUCUUGGCAUCUUGUAUUCGUCAAGCAUCAUUCUGGACAUCUCUAUGAGAGUCCGGUUCUUCCUCUCAACAACUCCAUUUUGUUCAGGUGCGUAUGCCGCCGAGAACUCAUGUGAGAUACCUUCUUCGCCAAGAAAAGUAUCCACAUUUGUGUUCUUGAAAUUUUUUCCAUUGCCGCUCCAAACUUUCUUGACCUUCACUUCGAACUAAUUUUGAGCUUUCCGAGCAAAUUUCUUGAAGAUCUUUUGUACCCAUGACUUAUCAUCAAGAAAGAGUAUCCACGUAAAUCUGGAAAAAUCAUCAACAAUGAAUAAACCAUAAGAAUUUUCACCGAAGCUCUUGUAAGCAUUGGGACCAAAAAGAUCCAUGUGAAGCAGCUCGAGUGGCCUUCUAGUAGUCAUGAUGUUCUUCACGGGAUGACUUCCACCGACUUGCUUUGCUGCUUGACAAGCACUACAAAUUCUAUCUUUGUUAAAGAUAACAUCUCUAACACCAAGAAUAUGAUCACCUUUGAUAAACCUGUGAAGGUUAUGCAUACCUACAUGUCCUAACCUUCUAUGCCAUAACCAACCUUUAGAAUAUUUUGCAAUAAGGCAUGUACGGGGUUUGGAUUUUUUACUGAAAUCGACAAUGUAUAGAUCAGCUCGAUGGAAACCAGUAAAGACCAUGUUAUAGUUAUCACGACGAAACAUUUGGCACUCAACUUCCAUAAAUAGCACAUUGAAACCAAAGUCUGCUAGUCUAGAUACGGAAAUAAGAUUGUAGCCAAGAUAUUCAACAAGCAUGACAUUUUGAAUAGAACUAUCAUGAGAUUUUUCUACCUUACCAAGACCAAGUACCUUACCCUUGGAGUUGUCUCCAAAGGUCACAUACCUUCGAGGUCCACGGUUUGGUGUGAUCUCAUGGAACAUCUCUUUAUCUCUGGUCAUGUGAUCGGUGCAUCCACUGUCGAGAACCCACUCCUUUCCUCCAACCAUGUAGCCUCUAAGGAUCGCCAUAAGACUAAGGUUCCUCAUGGUCUUCUCAUACUCGAUGUCAAACUCUUCAUCUUCAUUGUAGUAGCCAUGCUCCACAUUGUCAUCGUUAGACGAAAUAUCCUCGUUGUAAGAACCAAAAAUUUCAUCAGAAUUUUGACUAUGACAAUGUUCAUGUUUAUGCAUGCGUAUGGCUUCAACAUUGACAUUGUUAAUGGUAAUGAAAUCUCCUUUAGCACGGAUGAGGUCACGAAGGUCAAAAAGACAUUUAUCAAAACUAGGGCCAGUUGGCUUCAUUUUGUGAAAGGCAAUGCAUUUAUGGAAAUUGAUCUCGAGACUUUUUAGUGAGUAAUGAGGAUAUCUUUUCCCUAAGUUUUUCCAAAAAGUGUGAGCACACUCAAAAUUAUGCAAUUGAAUAAGCACAUUUCUUGGCAGUCCUCUAAUGAUUAGAUUUACAGUUUUAAGAUUACCAAGCAUAUCAAGUUCUUCAUCAUGAGAAGGAUGCAAAGGAUCAAUGGGAGGCUCAUAGGGAUAUUUAACAUACUUGCACAAAUGGAAUUCAUCAAAUAUAUCAAGCAUUUCAUCUUUCCAUUAUCUAAAAUAUUCCCCAUCAAGAAUAGGCACUCUACAACUAAUAUUCCCCAAACUAGGCACAUCCAUAUUCCUCCAAUGGUGUUUAAACCAAGGUUUUGGAGACCUUGCUCUGAUACCAAUUGUGAUAUCGAAAGAAGAUGUGUCUAGAGGGGGGUGGAUAGACUAGUUGCAUACAUUAAAAUCCUAGCCUUUUCCCAAUUUAAUGGUUGGCAUAUUUUAGCAAUUCUGACAAGUCUAGUGCACCCUAUACAGGUUAGUCAACAAAUAUGAAAGCGGACAGUAAAGACUUUGCACAUGUUGUAAGGAGUAGAGUUUAGGAAUAUCAAACGUGAAUAAGUUGACACGAUGAUUUUGGCAUGGUUUCGAUAAGUGGCGCUAUCGUACAUCGAUAUUAGUGGAGACUUCAACCCGCGGAGGGUAAUGACUUCGAGAGUCCACGGAGGGCUCCACCCACAAGUGGUCCAUGAAGAAGCGACCUUGUCUAUUCCACCACGGCUUCCGUCCACACAAGACUAGCCUCACUCAUGGUAGAUCUUCAUGAAGUAGGGGAUAUCCUUGACCAUAUAAACAUCUUGGUUCAACUCCACAACACGAAGUAGGAGGCUUCUAAGAGACACCUAACCAAUCUAGGAGGCACCACCCUCCAAAAGGUAAUAGAUGUGGUAGAAGGAUGAACUCCUUGAUCUUGUGCUUAAAAAUAUAGUAUCCUCAACACUCAAUCACUCUCUCUCAGAUUUGGCAGGGGUAGGAGAGAUUGAUCUUGUGGAAAUCAAUUUGGGUAGGCUAGAGAUCAAGUUUCAAAUGAUUGGAAUGGAAUCUCCUGAUCUCAACAAAAGAGUAGGUUGCUCUUUCUCAGAAAAAUUGAUCUGGCAACUGUAAGUGGGUUCUGAGUGCUUCCUCUAUGAAUGAGAGGUAGGUGGAGGGGUAUAUAUAGGUAUACCCCAAAAUCUAAGUGUUACAACAUCAUUUCCCAACUCGGUGACACCGAAAUGAAUCUCGAUGGUACCGAGUUGCACUAAAUGUGGCAACUUUUGAAUUCUCGGUGGCACCGAUAUAUAAAUCUUGUUGGUACCAAUAUUGGUGUCCUAGGUAGCUUCCAAAUCUCAGUGAGACCAAUUCUCAAAACUCGGUGGUACCAAUUCUUGACAACAGCUAACCUGAGAGUUGGUACAAAACUCGAUGAGACCAAUUCUCAAACUCGGUGGUACUGAUUCUUGAAAACGGCUAAGCCAAAAGUUGGUCCAAAUCUCGGUGAGACCAAUUCUGAAACUAGGUGCUACCAAUUCUUGAAAAUGGCUAACCAGAAAGUUGGUCACUGAUUUCGAUGGCACCGAAUGGAAUGUUAGUGGUACCGAGAGAUUAGGGUUUGGCAAAUGAUGUGUCAAGUGGAAAAUCGAUAGGGCCGAGUGGAAAUAGUUGGUGGCACCGAUUUUACUCGUUUGGCUUUGAACACAGAUAUUUUGUGGGAGAAUGGCUGAGUAUUUUUGGUGGCUACCUCUAAGCACUUGAGCACCCAAUUCAUUAUAAUAUGUAACCCCUUUUUAGUAGUAUUGGCUUUCCUAUGGACUCAAAGUGAUUUCUCACAAAUGUAAANNNNNNNNNNNNNNNNNNNNNNNNNNNNNNNNNNNNNNNNNNNNNNNNNNNNNNNNNNNNNNNNNNNNNNNNNNNNNNNNNNNNNNNNNNNNNNNNNNNNNNNNNNNNNNNNNNNNNNNNNNNNNNNNNNNNNNNNNNNNNNNNNNNNNNNNNNNNNNNNAGGGGCUUAUCCUCACAAUCCUUUAGCCAAGGCACUCUGUGGACUACAUCUGAAAUAUAGUAGGUAAAAGUGUUACUCCAAGAGACAAUGUAUGUUGUCAUGAAUUAUCAAAUCCACCAAAGAAGAAUAUGUGAUUUUAUCUUUGCCACAAUAUAGUAUCGAUUCUUGGAACAAGUGCAAUGAUGCUUUUUAUCACAAAGUAUUUUACUCUCGCAAAAAUUAUUUCUCUUAGAAAUCAGAUUUUAACUUUUAAACAAAUUGAGCAUGAGCAUGUUGCCCAAUCUUGGGAAAGUAUGAAAUUGAUGAUAAGAAGUUUCCCAACUCAUGGUUUGAAUUGUGGAUGAUCAUAUAAAUUUUUUAUGCGGGAUUGAAUUUUGUUUCUAGAAAUCUUUUAGAUUCCACCGCAGGUGAUACUUUUAUGGAAAUUACUUUCGAUGAUGCUACUAAAUUUCUUGAUAAUAUUAUGUCUAAUUAUUCACAAUUUCAUAGUGAAAGAGCUCCUACUAGUAAAAAAGUUAAUUCUAUUGAAGAAAUUGGUGUUUUGAGUGAAAAAGUUGAUGCGCUUAUGAAAUUGGUUGCUAGUAAGCAUGCUCCUAUUGAUCCUAAUGUUGUGCCUUUGUCUACUUUGAUUGAGCAUAAUAAUGACCCCGUAGAUGUGAAUUUUGUCUCAUGAAACAAUUUUAAUAAAGUGCUUAUAGGAACAAUUUUAAUCCUAGGCCGUAUCCUAGAAGUUCUUCAAAUAAUCAUGGUAAUUCCUAUGGUAAUCAUAUUAAUAAUAAUGCUAUGAUACCCUCUUACCUUGAGAGUAAUAUUAAGGAGUUUAUCAAUGUGCAAAAAGCUUUCAAUACUACGAUAGAAGAAAAGUUUAAUAAGAUUGAUGAUAUGUCUAGAAGCAUUCAUAGAAUUUCGCACGAUGUAGAAAAUCUCAAGAAUAAUUUUUUUCCCUAAGGUUCACAUUAAUGAAUAAAUUAAACCUUUAUAUGUUUCCAUAGAUGAAAGUAAGAAAAGAACCGCUAUGAUUAGAGCUAAAAGAGAAUUUCUAGAAAGAGCAUUUCCCGAUUGCUUUCAUAAAAAUGAUGAUGAUAUUAAAUUGAUCGGUGUUUUUUCUAUUGAUUCCCUGUUUAAUAAUGUUAAAAUUAAUGAUGAGGGAACUAAAGAAGAGUCAAAUUUAGCUAGAGGGUGUUCCCAUGAUUCGAAGGGUGAAAAUCCUAUUGAAAAAAUCGAUAAAAGUGGGAUUGAAGAGGUCAAAACUUUAGCUAGUGAUGCACCCACUAUUUCGGAUUGCAAUUUUUUUUAAUUUUGAUAGCUGCUCUUUGAUUGAGUGUAUUUCUAUUUUGAAAUCUAUGAUAAAUUCACCCAACGCCUAUGAACAAAAUAAAGCUUUAGAGAAAACGUUAGAGCUAGAGAUUUUAAUUCCUAGAAAAUGACAUGAUGAAUGUGCCACACCGUGUGUUUUGCCUUACUUUGCUAACUUAACAUAGCUCAAAAGUAGGACCAAUUUUUUCUGAAGCGCUUGUGAUGGUGAUGUGAUCGUUGUUUGCUUGUUUGCUUACUAGUGUUUAUAAACCACUAAAGUUCCUACUACUCUUUAGGCUCACCACCUUGCCCAAAGUAUUUGCCAAUUGACCAUACCAUAUGUAUAGGACCUAAAAAUAUUUUAACCAAAUAUUAUUUUGACCAAAAAGAAUUUAUUUAAUUUAGGCUUUCAAAAAUCCCUCACUAGGGAUUUGUACUACAAGUCCUGAGUUAGGGAAGUUGUUUUGACCCAAAUUUUUUACUUAAAUCCCAUUAUCAAAAAGACUUCCCAAAAUCACAAAAUUAUUAUUUUAAAAGUUACUUUACUAUUUUAUUUAAAUACCUUCUUCUGUGUCCAUAAAUGGUCUUUUAUGAAGGAAAAUUAUUUUCUUGCUUUCAAAAUAUUUGAGAAAAUUUAGGGAAACUAAGUGGACAUAUAUAUUCCAUAUAUAAGAGUUUAAACACAUGGUCAUGUUCAAAAUAUUGUACAAAACUCUCCAAAACCAUUUCUGUCUAGUCUAAGCUUUUGAAAUAUUCCUACAAGAAAUAUUGUCAACAAAUUCCAGUAAAAUUAUAGAAGGUCACACAUGAUAUAUGUGAUGAUCUUGCCAAGUCUCAUCUCAAUCCAAGUUGAUUUGGUGAACCUAAAUAUUCCAAACCCCUAUCUGUCCAGAACAAAAUUGAGCAACUCUUCAUUGCCAAGUCACUACAAGAAAUAUGGCAACUUGUGACCUCCAAUAUUGGUCACUAAUUGGUCGCUAAUUUUCAUUGUUUGACCUUUUUACGACCAAAAUGGGUUGGACAAAAGCUGACCCUUUCUAAUGAACUAUGACGACCUUUCUUCUGGAAUGGCCGAAGUCAUUUACGACCAAACGAAAAGGUCGCUGGUUCUACGACCAAUUGUUUUGGUCAUUGGUUGUCUGCCCAGGCCACGUCGGAUCCAACGUGGCAAGCUGACAUGGCAAAGUUACGACCAAUUGGAUUGGUCGUUGAUAAGAAACAACCCAGUCCAAUUCGGUGCUUUAGCUGGGCUCAACCCACUAUUUCAGCCUUUUUAAUUAUCAUUUUUUUGUCAUUCUCGUCGGCUACCUGGGCCUGGCCCAAUAUUUCUGCCUUUUUUUUGGUUGUGGCCUUUCUGGCCCAAUGGUUCCAGUUUUUUUAAAGAUCGGUCCAAUACUCAAAUGGGUCCCGAUUGUGAGGUUCUAGUAUGAGGAUUCAUGUUUUCAAUUCACCAAUGAAUAAAUAACCUAUAUUCAAAUCAAAACAGACAAAAAGAACACAUAAUACUUUAAAUAACAGACAAAAUAAGUCUAUUACAUCAUAUAACUUAGAUAAAAUGGUAAUCAGAGCCACAAGCUCUAGAAGUGUAAACACAACCACAAGCUCUACAAGUUUCUACAAAUGUAAUCACAACCACAAGCUCUAUAAGUGCCCUUUGACAGAUGGUUUCUAGUAGUCCUGAUUUGAGGAACACACCGACUUCAAGGGUCUUCUCCAUAGUGCCGACCAAGAUCUCACCCUUCAUGGGCAUCAGAAUGAUGCAACUAAACGUGGCAGGGAAAAGGAUUACCUUCCAAAAGCCAAAUUUAUACAAGAUAUUAGCCUUUUAGUGGUGCAGAAUAUCAUAGAUAGAGACAUGCUUCAGCAUUACAUGGCAUGGAAAAGAAGAAUGCAUCUUUUUUUACAAAGGGCAUACAAUUGCAAAUUUACUAUCCACAAAAUAAAAUUAGAAAAAAACAAAUAAAAUAGUGAAGUGUAAAAAAUAUCAUCCAUAGUGUUUCUACUUCCUACAAAUGACUGAGACCAUGGUGUUUGAACCUUUUGUAGAACACUAUUCUAUAACAAUAUAUAUUGAGCAUGCUAAAACAGAAGCUUGAAUUUAUGGUUUCUCUACUUCUACAUAAUACAUCCCCGGUAAUAUAGACAUGUUUAUCACAUAUAGUGUACACGACAAUAGGAGCAAAAUUCUAAUAAAUUCAUUAGAGGCUUGUCAAUAAAAAUGACAAAUUACCUACAAACCAGGAAACAUAAACUUGAGAGGUUCAGAUCAAGGCCUAUCAACUACAUCAUAUAUAUGCAUAAAAAACAAGACCAAUGGACCAAUGCAUCAUAAUUAUCAGUUUGAAACACUACAGGACCAGGAAGUAGGUGUUGCUUCAAAUUUACAAACUCAACCAUUCAUCAUUAAGAGUAGCAAUUUAAUCUAAUAGUAAAACAGUGCUCCUAAAAUAGUUUUCACACUAGAACUAUGAGGCAGCUAAAUUACAAGAUAUGGUUUGCUCUUAAGCCUGACCAAGAAGGCUUUAUGACACACUAAAAAUCUAAUCAGCUAAAUGCGCGUUUGGAUGUUUUCUCCACAAAAGCAAAAGACCAUGAGUAUUUAGUGGUUUCCCCUUUUUCACAACAGCGAUGCGACAAAGGGUUCUGCAGGGUUAGGCAACUCAUCUAAAACUAUGAAUAUACUCCAUGCCAUCAUCUAUUCACACAGAGGCCAAUCAUUCUCACAUAUAUUAAUAUAAAGAAGGGAUCCUAGUCAUCUACUUAUGUAGUAUACAUGGCAACAAGCUUAGCUAGCAACACAGUCUCACGGUAACUUGCCAAUUGGAGUAGCAACAAUCAUCGAGAUGCAAUCUCCUCAUCUUCUUGGCAAUCUGCAUCGUAAAGGAAAAACAAUCGAAAGGAACAACUUCGCUCAUUACACCUGCACAUCAUGCAUGUAGUUUUAAUGUGUAAAUUGAUUGGAGACAAGCAAAUCAUUGGAGAGUGGAAAUAAAUACAGAGCACCUACCCAUCAUCUUAUCUUGACGUAAUUUGGUUAGAAGUUAUUUCUUGGACACCCUGCUGAUGGUGCUGCUGGACAUGCUCGUCAUGUGCCUAGGCCACCGCACCCCAGCACUCUACAAAGGCCCCCACCAGACCUCUAGCCACCACCCGCGUCGCGGCCAAGCCCCCUGCACCCGGAUCCGGCGGACCUGGACAUGGCACUUCUCGCACGCUCCCGCCAGAGAUGGGUCGCGCCAACGUCAUGCUCGCCCACCCGCGACAGCCCCAGAUCUUCGCCUGAGCAGCGCCCCCUUGCUCGGCCGCGAUGCUGCUGGACAUGGUCGUCGUGCUCUGCGGGCAGACCGUGGCCACCCUGCUCGGCCGCUACUACUACAACUCCAGCAGCAACAACAAGUGGAUGGCGACGCUCACGCAGUCAGGUGGCUCGCCCUUGCUGGCCAUCCUCCUGCUCCUCACCCCUUCCGACCCCGUCGGCGAGCCGCGGCCGGUGGCGGCCAAGAUGGUGCCCAUCUACCUUGGGCUCGGCACCCUCGUAGCCGGAGGUGGUGGCACAUGGCGGAGGGAGCAGCCAAAGGUGGUGGUGGUGGGGAGGGGGAGGAAGGAGCCGAUGGCUCAAUGGAAUCGGGAGAGGCGACUCGAUGGGAUCUGGAAACUGAGGAAGGGUGGGUGGGCAGGGUUGUGCUUUCUUAGGAGAGGCUCCGCCGUUGGAUGGAUGCUGAUGGAUGGCUUAGAUCGCGUCCAACUGGGUGAUCCGUGUGAAGGCAGUUUCACGUCCCUCAUUGGUCGGCUCAAAACACGAUUUUUUUUACCCAAAUCUUUGGAAAAAUUACAGAAAAUUUUAAAUACUGUUGCAAAAUUGGACUACACCAUUUUUCAGAAAUAUUAUAUCACAUUUUGAGUGUCACGAUGUUGCCUAAGGAAGUUUUCAUUUUGUUUGGACGAAAAAAUCAUUUUUCAUUUUUUGAGUGCCCAAAAUCAGUAUUUUUGUGAAGGACCUACCAUAUAUUUGUUAUAAAUUUUGACCAAUUCAAUUUUCUAAACUAUUAGACAAUAUUUAAUGUAUAAUUGACUAAAUGGUUGGUUGUCAAAAACUUUUAUCCACCUCUUGUGAAAAAGACAAAUUUCCGUCAAUUCAGCUCGAAGCAUGUCAAAUUUGAACUACAAUUGCCUCAUACAUUGUAAGUUAUUUUUUCUAAAAAAUAUUUCUAGGGACAAAAGUAUCUAUUUAGUCAAACAAACACCAAAAAAAUUCCAAUAUUCAACCACCAGCUAGGAACGGUCAUACCCGUCGUUUUGACCGCAUUUUCAAAUGGACAUGAAAAAUUCAAAAAAAAUAAAAAAAUGGAAAACCUUCGCAUUGUGUCAUUAUAUUUGACCAGGGUACUAGAAAAAAUAUUAAACUUUCGAUAUGGCAAUUAUUUUAAAAAGUGUUCUAAGAAAUGAGCUAUCAUGUGUGAAGAUUCAUGGCUUUCAAGCCAAAUGAUCAAUCAUAUGGCCACAUUCAUGGCAUAGUUUGUGCCAAUAAUCUCAUAUUGUGCAUAAGGGUGCAUAUUGGAACGGAAAACAAUGUUGCCUAAGGAAGUUUUCAUUUUCUUUGGACGGAAAAUUCAUUUUCCAUUUUUUGUGUGCCCAAAACGAGUUUUUUGUGAAGGACCUACCAUAUAUUUGUUCCAAAAUUGGACCAAAUCAUUUUUCUAAAAUACUAGGCCAUAUUAAUGUACAAUUGACCCAAUGGUUGGGUGUCAAAAGCUUUUAUCCACCACUCGUGAAAAAGACAAAUUUUCGUCAAUUCACUUGGAAGCGGGUCAAAUUUGAAUUGCCGCUGCAUUGUAGAUUGCUCUUUAUUUUUUCCAAAAAUAUUUAUAGGUACAAAAGUAACUAUUUUAUUAGAGAAAUACCAAAAGUUUCCAUGCUUCAACCACUAGCUAGGAAAGGUCAUACCCGCCGUUUUGACCGCAUUUUGAAAUGGGCAUGAAAAAUGGAAAACCUUCGCAUUGUGUCAUUAUAUGUGACAAAGUUACCACGUAAAAAAAUAAACUUGUAAUAUGGAAAUUAUUUUUAAAAAGUUUUCUUAGAAAUGAGCUCUCAUGUGUGGAGAUUCAUGGGUUUCAAGCCAAAUGAUCAAUCUUAUGGCCACAUUCAUGGCAUAGUUUGUUCAAAUGAUCUCAUAUUGUGCACAAGGGUGUGUAUUGGAAUGGAAAACAAUGUUGCCUAAGGAAGUUUUCAUUUUCAUUGAACGAAAAAUUCAGUUUCCAUUUUUUGAGUGCCCAAAAUGAGUUUUUUGUGAAGGACCUACCAUAUAUUUUUUUGCAAAAUUGGACCAGAUCAUUUUUCUAAAAUACUAGGCCAUAUUUAAUGUACAAUUGACCCAAUGGUUGGGUGUUAAAAGCUUUUAUCCACCACUCGUGAAAAAAACAAAUUCUCGUUGAUUCACUUGGAAGCGGGUCAAAUUUGAAAUGCAGCUGCAUUAUAGAUUGCUCUUUUUUUCCAAAAAUCAUUUAUAUGUACAAAAGUAUCUAUUUUAUCACAUAAACACCAAAAGUUUUCUAAGAUUCAACCACUAGCUAGGAACAGUCAUACCCGCCAUUUUGACCGCAUUUUGAAAUGGGCAUGAAAAAUUCAAAAAAACAAAAAAAGGAAAACCUUCGCAUUGUGUCAUUAUAUGUGACAAAUUUAUCACGUAAAAUAUUAAACUUGUAAUAUGAAAAUUAUUUUAAAAUAGUGUUCUCAGAAGUGAGCUACCAUGUGUGAAGAUUCAUGGCUUUCAAGCCAAAUGAUCAAUAUUAUGGCCACAUUCAUGGCAUAGUUUGUUCAAAUGAUCUCACAUUGUGCACAAGGGUGCAUAUUGUAAUGGCAAACAAUGUUGCCUAAGGAAAUUUUCAUUUUCUUUGGACGGGUAAUUCAUUUUCCAUUUUUUGAGUGCCCAAAAUGAGUUUUUUUAAGGACCUACCAUAUAUUUGUUGCAAAAUUGGACCAAAUAAUUUUUCUAAAAUAGCAGGACUUAUUUAAUGUGCAACUAGCCAACUGAGCAAGAGCAUGAAGUAACUUGUCCACGAGAAAUCUCUUGGUCAGAUUGAAACCAUCUUGCGUCUUGUCACAGUCAUAGGACUCAAUGUCUGCGGCGAGAGUCAUGAGCCGUUCUAGCAGUUGCUUGGGAGAUUCAGCCUUUUCCAUACAGAAAUUCUGUAAUUGCCCCUUGGCAAUUUCAUAUUGAGCAAGCCGAAGAGUGGAGGUACUGGUCUUGGUCCUUAUAAUUCUAUCCCAUAGUUCCUUGGCACUUGUGAUGUGAAUGUAAGGUCUCCGUUGCUUGUCAUUCAUUCCUUUUCUUAUGCACAUGAUCGCAGUGUCAUUGAGAUGCUUGUCAUAAGUUUCUCUGGGAGUGAGGCACCUUGGAUCUACAGGAUUGUACACAUGCUCGAGGAUGUCCAACAUCUCAUCAUUGGCGUACCUAAGAUGAUCGUGCAUACCAACUCUUCACAAAGCAAAAUCGGAAUUGUCAUCAAGCAAGGGAGGAUUUCCUUCAGGAUUGUACUUAGGUUUGUCAACUUGAGAUCUAGCAUAAAGCCAUGGAACACUGGUUUGGUUCCUUUCCGGAGGUUGCUGGCCAAAUGAAGAAUCGUGCACAUGUGGUCCUGAGGCCCUCGGGGACGUGGUUGUCCCCGUGGUUAAUGAUGCCAGUCUUAUUUGGACCAAGGCGUCAAGAGAAGCAUCAUGCUCCUCUUUUUGCUUGGCAAGGGCCCGUUCCAGGUCCUCAGAGGUGAAGGACUUGACUUUCGUGGAAGUUCCGUCGCUCUCCACUGGAGCUACAGUAGUGGGAAUCCCGUCCAUCUCGCUCUAUGGCGGUUAAGCCACAAGAAUAGAGCACGAGGCUCUGAUACCAAUUAAAAAGGAUCGAGAUGGACAUAGAGGGGGUGAAUAGGUACAGUUCCAAAUUUUAAUAAUUACUUAGCAAUUUUAGGCGAAGGUGCGGAAUAUGAGCGUAGGCCUAAUAAUUGCUAUGACAAGGAGUAAGCUAUUUAGAGUGAAGUAAGGCAACCGGUACACAAUAAUCAAAUACAAGUAUGUAAUAAUGAUUAACACAAGUAGAGAGUUAGGGUUAGGAAUAACCGAAACUCCAAGAGAGACGAGGAUNNNNNNNNNNAAGAGUGAAGUAAGGCAACCGGUAAACAAUAAUCAAAGACAAGUACGUAAUAAGGAUUAACACAAAUAGAGAGUUAGGGUUAGGAAUAACCGAAACUCCAAGAGAGACGAGGAUGUAUCCCGAUGUUCACUUCCUUGGAGGGAAGCUACGUCACCGUUAGAGGGGCGGAUGUUACCACGAAGGCACACCAACGCCACGAAGGCUCACCCUAUUCUCCCUUUGAGAUAACUCCACGAAGGCGUUUCUCAACCACUAGUGGUAAGCCUUGAGGUGGCUUCCAAACCUUCACAAACUUUCCAGGGGAAAUCACAAUGGUUUGAUUCCUCUCCGAAGACUCCUACCGCCUAGGAGUCUCCAACCUCCAAGAGUAACAAGAUCACGGGGAUUACUCAAAACUUGCUCAAAUCACAAAUCACUUUGGUGGGAAGGAGACGAUAUAUCUUUUGAUUGGAACAACACUCAAAGGGACUCACAAAUGCUCUUGGGAUCUAAGAUUGAGUGUAGACAAGAGUGAGUGAGNNNNNNNNNNUCGGGGGAAAUCGCAAUGGUUUCAUUCCUCUCCGAAGACUCCUACCGCCUGUGAGUCUCCAACCUCCAAGAGUAACAACAUCAAGGGGAUUGCUCAAAACUUGCUCAAAUCACAAAUCACUUUGGUGGGAAGGAGGAGAAGGAGACGAUCUAUCUUUUGAUUGGAACAACACUCAAAGGGACGAACAAAUGCUCUUGGGAUCUAAGAUUGAGUGUAGACAAGAGUGAGUGAGAAGAAAGGUGUUCUAGUAUGUGUUCUAGCUGUGUUGGACACCCUCUCACGAAGUGGGCGGGAGUAUAUAUAGUGGGGAGUGUAAAACAGCCGUUGGGGACACUUUAAGUCACACAGGGUUCGGACAUCCGACAGUUCACGGAUGUUCGGGCGUCCACAAGGGGUCGGACGUCCGACAGGGGUCGGUCGUCCGAGGGCUGUAGAUAUGUCUGGAAUCACUGUGAGUUGAACAGGGACCGGACGUCCGGAGAAGGCCGGAAGUCCGAGUUAUUCGACUCAACUUCUUCUGGUGCAAGAUUCCGGAUUUCCGAAAGGGGACGGACGUCCGGCCCUCGGACGUCCGGAGGGAGCCGGAAGUCCGAGUUAUAUGGCUCACGUUCUUCUGGUGCAGGGCUCCGGAUUUCCGAAGCUGGUCGGUCGACCAGCCCUCGGACGUCCGGAGGGAGCCGGAAGUCCGAGUUAUAUGGCUCAAGUUCUUCUGGUGCAGAGCUCCGGAUUUCCGAAGCUUGUCGGUCGUCCGACCCUCGACCGGCCCUCGGACGUCCGGAGGGAGCCGGAAGUUCGAGGCAUUAGUCCUGUUUUGAGAUAAGAGCAGAGUAGUGAAGAUGUGGUAUUGAGCAGAAUAGUGAAGAUGUGGUAUGAGCAAAUUCAUCGCAAAACGUGUGAUCCCCUCUUAAUAGUGCGGGAUCCCUAUACUCAAGAAUAGUAAACUUAAAAGGGAAAGUCUUCAUCAUCUUUUCUCAAUCCCGAGCCUUCUUGACAUAUAAAUCCCGAUCUUCUUAGACCACCUUGGCACAUAAUUCUCAAUCUACUAAAGUAUUUGCCAUCGUGAGAUACACUCAACAAAUAGGAUUAGUUUCCUAUGUAUGUGUUGUCAUUAACACCAAAAGUCGAUUAGGGGCAUAACAUGCACUUUCACCUGUAACUUUGCCAUGGCCCCUGAUCAAUUAUUGGGGGUAACUCCCUCUCUUUACCUCUCCUUUUUACCAUGAGAGCACGUCUUUUACCCCUCUUCCAUUUUUAUGUUCGUGCGGAUGCCCUCAAAUCUUUCCACAACACCUCUAGUGUGCUAAUGCACCAUUUCAAUCAAAGAUAUGGCAUGCUCACGUGGAAAAUAUGAGUAGCCCUUCUAAAACUUGAUUUUGACACAAAUGUAGCCUUGAACUAAAAGGACUAGCUACACUAUUCUCCCUCAUCUCAAACUAGACAGUCUUGAAGUUCUUGCAUAGCCAGGGCUAUUAGACAUGGUUUAAUCCCAAGUAAGCCCCAGUAAAACACUUUUAGCUAGCCCCAAGAUUGGUGCUGCAAACUUAACCAGAGAUGAAACCCCACCUACACUGCCCCAUAUAAGACCAAAUUGCACCAGUACCUUUCGCACGCAUGCCUUGCAUGCUAGACACCUUGGUUUGACCAUAACACUUCUGUGGACACUAGUGGGCACGGUGACCACUCCAUUCGCAUGUAGUAACGGUGCUCUGCUAGGCAACCUUGUCUUGUAGCACAUGGCAGGCUGUGGCCAGAUGCCCACGCGCGCCAUAGAGCCUCCCUCGACGUCCCACGCUCCUCCCUGAUGCCAGGAAGCCGCCAAAGCCUCUCUGGCACGUGUGCUCCCCCGCGCCCGAGGGCAUCUGAGGCCUCUCAAGCUCCUCCCCAUCGCCCCCUCCAUAUGAGACCCACCUCGGCUACCCUCCCCCCACUUCGCUCUCUCUCAAUCUCACGGAGUUCCAAGUGCUCCCCAUUCACCCUCUUGCCCCUCCAUCGCCGCAAAUGGCCGGAGCACUACCGGUGGCCCCUUCUUAAAUUCUGGCUCCCCCAAGCCCCUUCCCACCAUUGAGCAGCACCAAGGUGCUCCCCUCCUCGCUGCAAGCUCCCCCGUGCUCUCCUGCUGCCUCCCAGUGCCCGGGACGCCACCCCACCGCAACCGCUAUUUCUGGUCUCCGCCGCGGCCAAGGUCCCCUUAUCCCCGGUGCUCCCUGUCUGAAUGAGUCCACGAGGUUGGUCUGGGAUCCUUCGUUGGGCAUUCCGGCAGUCGGAGCCUGGCUAGAGAUGCCCCAAGCCGCCGGGACGGUGUUGGUGCGCCCGUUGCCCCCACCUUGCCUGGCUCGACUGUUCGAGCGGGAGGUAGGAUAAGGCAUGACGGCCAGGCCCUGCUUGUAAGCGAGCCAAGGGGCAGCCCCCACUUGUUUAAGUGAAGGCGGAUCCGCUCAUAGCCGUCUUCCUGCACCGAAGUCGUAUUGCAUCUGAUGCGCCUCCGACGUAGCCGCAUCACGCGCUCAGUCGAGUAGCUGGGCCGGCCCACUCUCUCUCCACCGCCUUGGGCGCGGUAGAACCCCCAUGGUAUAAACUUUCCCCCUUUUUCUUUUUAACGGAAACUUCCAAAAUUCAUAACUAAUUCAUAUGGUCUCCAAAUUUAGUGAUUCAAAUUUCUAGGAGCUUCUAAAAUCAUGACCCAUCCAAAGACGUUCUUUGCACAUUUUUCUUGAAACUAUUUCUAUAGAGAUCAAAUUCAAAUUUGAACUACUCAAGCCACACCUUGCACAAGUCCUAGAGGACUCAAAUCAGCUCCAACUAGAGUGGUUUCAAUUUCUAGAUGACUCUGAAAUCAUGCUCUAUUUUUCUAGCCUAGGUGAACAUUUUCUCAUACAUUAUUUCUGUUGGACCAAAUAAAUAGUCCCCUUUACCCAUUUAUUCCAACUUAUUAAAUUGAUAGAAAAAUCAUCCCAACUCCAAUUCCAAUCAGACCACUCCAAAAGUCUCCUAAAAUCAUGCCCUAUCAGAUGGAUACAUCCACUCCUUUUAAGAAAAUAUUUAGUGUAGACUUCUUGUGGGGCUAGUGAUUCCUCCAUUUCCACCGCUUAAAAAUCUGUGGUGAUCCAAAUCUCUUAGAACAAGGUUUAGAGAUUUUUUCUUAUGGCGAGAGAUGUCCUAGAAAAAUAAAAAUCCUAUAUUUAGAGCACUUAUAUUUUCUGCUUGUGGUGUUUCUCAUUGUGGUUGUUCCGUCGAAGUUGAUGAAGUUGACAAGGUGCUCGGAGUGGACUAGAAGCUCGUGAAGACCCCAAAACUUUGUUGAGAAAGGCAAGAAGCCCCUUGAACAUGUCUAAGAGAAUACUUUCAUGCAUGUCAUAUUUAGCAUUUUAUUCGGGGUGCAUAAGGCCAUGUUGAGUCGGCAACUACCUCGGUGAGGUGUUUCCGAUAGUUCCUCGAUGACACUUGCACUUGGGCAUAAACCUAUCUACCUAUGAGGAUUGUAUAGGUGGGGUGUAGUUAUGUUUCUAGUAGUGCUACCCAUGGGUUGGGUAUAUGCAUGAAACUGUAAAAGAAAAUGAUUUCAAAUGUUUUACGAAAACCCCGUCGGGUGCCACUAAUGCCCUAGUGUGACAACCCGAGACCGACUCUCCAGAAGAUUCCCCUUUUAUUUCGUUCAUGUCAUGCGAUUAGAUUGUCUGUCGUAUUCAUCAUGCACAUCAUUUACAUUGCAUCGACACUCUGUAGCCUCCAGUUUUCAAAACUUGCAUCAGUUAUUAGUUGUCGGUUCUCACCGUUUUUGUCCUUGGCCGUUUUAAGACCAACCACACACGCACGCACUCGCGAGAUCGAUUAAUCUUGUUUUUAAAAGUAUGUGUAAAACUUUCUUCGAAUGGGUUGAAACUUAACGUGCGGUCUUAAUAUAGUGUAGGUAAGCCGCGUGUCAAUUUUCAUCGCAAUCGGAGUUUGUUUGAGACCUGGACCGUUAAACCUAUAGCGACACUAUAGCCAGUCAUUUCGUCGGACGUCUUCGUUUAUAAAAUUUUGUCUCCGGGUUACCCGUUUUCCCUCUCAUCUUUGCCUAGCCCUUCUGCAUAGUGCACCUACCUUCGCGCAACCUAGCCCGAAACUCUCCCCGGACCCGAACCUACGGUUGUGACCGUUGGGUCCGGAUCAACCCCUAAUACCACAAACCAUCAUCAGUUUGUACACUAGACUCCCUAACCUAAUAAUCUCGACCGUUCAAUUUCGGUCGAAGGGAUGAGAUAGACCUAACCUAACCUACCUCGCGUGUAUAUAUAUAUUAGCAACCCUAAAUUCUAGGAUCUAUGACCCAUCCCCCAAUCCCGAUUCAGCCGCCGCCAACCACACGUGGUAUCCUCCUUGAUUUCCCCUCCUGCCCAAUCCUGUGGAGCCUCCUCGCUUGACAGUGCCCGAGGCCACCUCCUCUGCUCGAUCCCAGGGGAAUCACAAGUAGCUCAUCCCCGGCAACCAGAUCGCUGGACGUGUCUAGCUCCCAGCAGACGCAAGCGCUCGCCCCGAACUCCUUGAUUCGCCGAGCACGAGCACCACCUCAUGAACGCCUCUUCGGUCGGCCGCCCUGCAGGAGCUUCAUCUGCGCCACCGUCCGGCCGUCGGACCAGCAUGUCCCCAGCUCAUGUCUUUUUUCCUUCUUGGUUCUCCUUCCUCCUACCCUUCUUCCUCCCCUUCUCUCAUGUCUCUCUUGCUCUAUUGCAUCAGGUUCCAGCCAGGGAGUAUGCCAUGAAUGGCUGGCCUUAAGCUUGUGUGGUGAGUCCCUCAAUCACCGGGAACGAGACCAAUGCCUCAAGAUCCGGCGCCCCAAGGCCUCGAUCCGGUUCGUCCCCGUCGCCUUCGGCCAGGACCUCAUCACCCUCGCCGUCCCCGUGUAGUUCUUGCCGGAUCACGCCUCUGCUUCGCCACUGACCAUCGACCCCGAGCCCCUGGUGAGCGCCCUGCCUACAACCCGCUUUGCUUCAUCGCUUGCACGCGAGACGAGCCAGCCCCCCGUAGCUCAUUUGCAUGCACGCACGCACGCACGCACCAACACACAUUCCCGCACGCCCGCAGCUGCUCUGCAUCGUUGUGAAGGCUUGGCCUUGCCCAGCUUAAGAAGCAGCGUCUAGCCUCUAAACACUCGCUCACAGCAAGCCUAGUUGGCUAGCAAGCCAGUCUUCCUUCCAAGAGAUAGUGGGUUCGAUUCCUAGUGAGCACACAUUUUACUCUAUUUUGGUAUUUUUUUUCCUAGAUUUGUUCCCCAUUUAGGGGAUACUAAGGUCCUGUUUCAUACUACUUUGGUCCUUAAAAUUCAUCUUUCUUCCACAAAAGACAAGCCAAACGAGGUAACUCCACGAUAUGCUGCUCCAUAAAAAAACUAGAAUGUGGGGUACAACUUCAAAGUUUUUAUGAAGCUCAAGAGGGUGCUUCAAAUAACUCUAAAAGUUGGAGUUGGGGGAAAAUUACCCACCACUGCCACCAGUAAGUGGAUACCCCUUCAUUUCUUUCUCCUCAACCAAUCAAAUAGAUUUUUUCCACCAAAAUUUCUAUUCUUGAAGCUGGAGCUACAUAGAAGCCAAACAUUCUCUUGAUAGUGCUAUAGCUUUUGUAUGAAACUACUCUAAAGUGAAUUUGAUGAAGUGAAACUGGUUUUGGUGAAUUGAAGCAGUCCUAAACAGGCCCUAAGAAAUGGAUUUAUGUUAGGACUCGAGCCCCAGUCGGAGAGGCUAGUACCUAGCGUGUCCAUUCAAGAGGUUUGGGAUCGAAACCCAAAGCCACCCCUAUUUUUUUUUUUCUUGUUCUGCUAUAUUUGUUAUUCCCUCUCGUUUUGCACUCAGUCAGUUCCUUGGGCCGAUUUCAGCCUUGGGUCGUUACACUACGUUGCAAUUCAGUCCAUGUAUAUUUCUUUCCACCUACAGUUUGCUAUUUGUUUCUUUAGAAAAACCAUUGAUUUUAAAAUGCUUGUACUGUGGUGAAUAACUUGUGUUGAUUCUUGUUUCCGGUUUGCUUCGUCUCGAUAGAGUUCCGUAAGCAUGUCGGAAUGUGAUGAUCCAUUCGACUACAUCGAUUCGUCUGCUUCACGGAGUCGUUCUUCUUCCAAGCGGGAUCAUAGGCANNNNNNNNNNNNNNNNNNNNNNNNNNNNNNNNNNNNNNNNNNNNNNNNNNNNNNNNNNNNNNNNNNNNNNNNNNNNNNNNNNNNNNNNNNNNNNNNNNNNCCGAUGGAGAGACGAGGACUCCCGGUAGGGCUUCGCCAAGCACCGUGGGAGAGGAGGAAGAAGAAGAGCAGGGCUGCGCCGAGAGAGAGAUGGAAUUCGGUAUCUCCAAUGGGCAAACCCCCCGAUAUAUAUCGGGGCAAGGGAGGGUGGCGCCCCCUAGGGUUCCCACCCCUAAGGGGUAGGGCAGCCCUAGAUGGGGGGAGGGGGUGGCGGGGAGGAGGGGUGGCGCACCCCCUGGUGGGCCUUAGGCCCACCUGCGCUAGGGUUCCCCCCUUCCCCUCUUAGGCGCCAUGGGUUGGGUGUGGGGGCGCACCAGCCCACCCAGGGGCUAGUUCCCUCCCACACUUGGCCCAUGUAGCCUCCUGGGGCUGGUGGCCUCUCCCGGUGGNNNNNNNNNNGUGGUUCCGGCAAUUUGCCAGUGGUGCGUGAAACAUUUUCGGCGUCCAAACCCAUCCAUCGUAUAUAUCAAUCUUUAUCUCCGGACUAUUCCGGAGCUCCUCGUGACGUCCGGGAUCUCAUCCGGGACUCCGAACAACCUUCGGUAACCUCGUAUAACAAUUCCCUAUAACCCUAGCAUCAUCAAACCUGAAGUGUGUAGACCCUACGGGUUCGGGAGGCAUGCAUACAUGACCAAGACACCUCUCCAGCCAAUAACCAUCAGCGUGGUCUGGAUACCCAUGGUGGCUCCCACAUGUUCCACGAUGAUCUCGUCGGAUGAACCAUGAUGUCAAGGAUUAAAUCAAUCCCGUAUACGAUUCCCUUUGUCUAUCGGUAUAGAACUUGCCCGAGAUUCGAUCGUCGGUAUCCCAUACCUUGUUCAAUCUCGUUACCGGUAAGUCUCUUUACUCGUUCUGUAGCACAUCAUCCCGUGACUAACUACUUAGUCACAUUGAGCUCAUUAUGAUGAUGUUCUACCGAGUGGGCCCAGAGAUACCUCUCCGUCACACGGAGUGACAAAUCCCUAUCUUGAUUCGUACCGACCCAACACACACUUUCGGAGAUACCCGUAGUGCACCUUUAUAGUCACCCAGUUAUGUUGUGACGUUUGAUACACCCAAAGCACUCCUACUGUAUCUGGGAGUUGAACACUCUCACGGUCGAAGGAAAAGACACUUGACAUUAGAAAAGCUUUAGCAUACGAACAACACGAUCUAGUGCUAUGCUUAGGAUUGGGUCUUGUCCAUCACAUCAUUCUCUUAAUGAUGUGAUCCCAUUAUCAAUGACAUCUAAUGUCAAUGAUCAGGAAACCAUGAUCAUCUAUUGAUCAACGAGCUAGCCAACUAGAGGCUUGCUAGGGACACAUUGUGAUCUAUUUAUUCACACAUGUAUUAUUGUUUCCUGUUAAUACAAUUAUAGCAUGAACAAUUGACGAUUAUCAUGAACAAGGAAAUAUGAUAAUAACUAUUUUAUUAUUGCCUCUAGGGCAUAUUUCCAACAGUAUCCCACUUGCACUAGAGUCAAUAAUCUAGUUACAUUGUGAUGUAUCGAACACCCAUAGCAUUGUGGUGUUGAUCAUGUUUUGCUCGAGAGAGAGGUUUCCUCAACGGGUCUGCAAUGUUCAGAUCCGUGUGUACUUUACAAAUAUCUUUUACUCCUCUCUGGACCUGGUCCUGGAUGGAGUUGUAGCAGCGUUGGAUGUGCUUCGUCUUGCGGUGAAAUCUGGGCUCCUUGGCUAUGGCAAUGACUCCAGUGUUAUCACAGAAGAGUGUCAUCGGACCUGACGCGCUUGGAACCACUCCAAGGUUGGUGAUGAACUCCUUCAUCCAGAUCCCUUCAUGAGCUGCUUCCAAAGCAGCUAUGUACUCCGCUUCACAUGUAGAUGCUGCCACGACGUCUUGCUUGCUGCUGCACCAGCUCACUGCCCCACCAUUCAAAACAUACACGUAUCCGGUUUGUGACUUAGAGUCAUCCGACUCUGUGUCUAAGCUAGCGUCGGCGUAACCCUUUAAGACGAGCUCUUCGUCACCUCCAUAAACGAGAAACAUCUCCUUAGUCCUUUUCAGGUACUUAAGGAUAUUCUUGACCGCUGUCUAGUGUUCCAUACCGGUAUCACUUUGGUACCUCCCUACAAACUUAUGGCAAGGUGGUACACAACAUGGCAUACAUUAGAGAGCCCACGGCUGAAGCGUAGGGGACAGUACUCAUCUUCUCUCUAUCUGCUGUCGUGGUCGGUGACUGAGUCUUACUCAAUCUCAUACCUUGCAAAACUGGCAAGAACCCCUUCUUUGAGUUUUCCAUAUUGAACUUCUUAAAUAUCUUGUCAAGAUAUGUACUUUGUGAAAGACCUAUGAGGCGUCUCGAUUUAUCUCUAUAGAUCUUGAUGUCUAAUAUGUAUGCAGCUUCUCCAAGGUCCUUCAUUGAAAAACUCUUGUUCAAGUAGGCCUUUAUGCUCUCCAAUAACUCUAUAUUAUUCCCCAACAAUAGUAUGUCAUCCACAUACAGUAUGAGGAAAGCUACAGGGCUCCCACUCACUUUCUUGUACAGAUAGGCUUCUCCAUAAACCUGUAUGAAUCCAAACGCUUUAAUCACCUCAUUAAAGUGACUGUUCCAACUCCGAGAUGCUUGCACUAGCCCAUAGAUGGAGCGCUGGACCUUGCAUACCUUGUUAGCACUCUUAGGAUCGACAAAACCUUCUGGUUGCAUCAUAUACAACUCUUCCUUAAGGUACCCGUUAAGGAACGCUGUUUUGACGUCCAUUUGCCAAAUUUCAUAAUCAUGAAAAGCAGCAAUUGCUAACAUGAUUCAGACUGACUUUAGCUUCGCUACGGGAGAGAAAGUCUCAUCGUAGUCAACUCCUUGAAUUUGUCGAAAACCCUUUGCGACAAGUCGAGCUUUGUAAACGGUCACAUUACCGUUUGCGUCAGUCUUCCUCUUGAAGAUCCAUUUAUUUUCUAUGGCUCGCCGAUCAUCGGGAAAGUCCACCAAAGUCCAUACUUUGUUCUCAUACAUGGAUCCUAUCUCGGAUUUCAUAGCCUCAAGCCAUUUGUUGGAAUCCGGGCCCGCCAUUGCUUCUUCAUAGUUCGAAGGUUCACCGUUGUCUAACAACAUGAUUUCCAUCACAGGGUUGCCGUACUACUCUGGUGCGGAACGUACCCUUCUGGACCUUCGCGGUUCAGUAGCAACUUGAUCCGAAGCUUCAUGAUCAUCAUCAUUAACUUCCUCUUUAGUUGGCGUAGGCGCCACAGGAACAAUUUCCCGCGUUGCACUACUCUCUGAUUCGAGAGGGGGUACAAUUACCUCAUCAAGUUCUACUUUCCUCCCACUUACUUCUUUCGAGAGAAACUCUUUCUCUAGAAAGGAUCCGUUCUUGGCAACAAAGGUUUUACCUUCGGAUCUAAGAUAGAAGGUAUACCCAUAGUUUCCUGGAGGUAUCCUAUGAAUACACAUUUCUUCGCUUUGGGUUCGAGCUUUUCUGGUUGAAGUUUCUUCACAUAAGCAUCGCAGCCCCAAACUUUAAGAAACGACACCUUAGGUUUCUUGCCAAACCAUAGUUCAUACGGUGUCGUCUCUACGGAUUUAGACCGUGCCCUAUUUAAAGUGAAUGCUGCAGUUUCCAAUGUGUAUCCCCAAAAUGAUAGCGGUAAGUCGGUAAGACACAUCAUAGAUCGUGCCAUAUCUAAUAAAGUGUGAUUACGACGUCCAGACACUCCGUUACGUUGCGGUGUGCCAGGCGGCAUCAGUUGUGAAACAAUUCCACAUUUCCUUAGGUGUGUGCCAAACUCGUGACUCAAAUAUUCUCCUCCACGAUCAGAUCGUAGACACUUUAUUUUUCUGUCACAUUGAUUCUCAACCUCACUCUGAAAUUCCAUGAACUUUUCAAACGUUUCAGAUUUGUGCUUCAUCAAGUAGAUAUACCCAUGCCUACUCAAAUCAUCGGUGAGAGUGGGAACAUAACGAUAGCCACCGCGAGCUUCAACGUUCAUUGGAC
RNAcentral lists this long non-coding RNA (93351 nucleotides) under Hordeum vulgare. RNAcentral's name for it is "long non-coding RNA (HVUL_LNC001113)". The record is from RNAcentral. Lineage: Eukaryota; Viridiplantae; Streptophyta; Magnoliopsida; Poales; Poaceae.